CUAAACUCUAAACUCUAAACCCUAAACUCUAAACCGUAAACCCUAAAUCCUAAACCCUAAAUCCUAAACCCCAUCCCUUAACUCUAAACCCUAAACCCUAAACCCCACCCCUAAACUCUAAACUCUAAACUCUAAACCCUAAACUCUAAACCUUAAACCCUAAACCCUAAAUCCUAAACCUCACCCCUUAACUCUAAACCCUAAUGUCUAAAUUAAUUUACCAUUGGGAUAUAAAUGUAUAUUUAUCUCUUUUGAUAAAACAUUAAGUGCUAUUUUGGUCAUUUUUAUUUUUAAAGGUUAUAUUUAUGAUAAAAAUUUUUUUAUUGAUAUCUUAGUCAUUUUCUCUUUAUUUAAUUCAGUUUUCGAGCAGGAAUAUUUGUGAAUAAAUUUUUUCGGGCAGGGGCACUUGAGCCAUUGAUUCAUAAAAAUGUUGAAAACCAUCUUUCAAAAAAGUAAUUGGUGAUUAGAGUAAGAUCCAAAACGCCCAGCAAUGAUCCAUAUAAAGGCCCGCCCAACAAACGCCGACCAUAAUACUUGUGCUGACGUAAGACAGCGUCGUAAUAUCCAAGAUAAUUAAAAAUAAAAAUAAAUAGUAAAAUCCAAAGUUAGGGUGCCGUGUAGGAAACAAUCACUAAACCCUAAAUACAUUCUUUAAAUAUUCUCUUCCUUCAGGCUUUGAUCACCGAACCCUAGUUUCUCUCGAUCAUCGAUUCGCUUCUUCUUCUUUAGGUAUAUCUUCGAUUUCGCCUCUGUUCUAUCAAUUACAAAUUCUGGGUUCCAUCUCGAUUUCGCCAAAAAGGAUAAAGAUUUGUUUUUUUUUUGUUUUUUAAUUCUUUCGUAAUAAUCGCAGAUACGGAUCGAAUCGCCAUGGCAAAAAACUCCUUCAAGCUUUCUAACCCUCUGAGUAAGUUCCGUUGUUUCUCCUCUCUCUUGCUUGAUCGUUAAGCGUUUAUUGUUCUUGUUUGAUUCUAUCGGUUUAAUUGUUUAGAUUGUGGUAUGAUUCUGAUCUUUGUUAUAAUGAAACUCAAUUUUGGAUUAGCUUAUAUAACUUUUGAAUAUGGUUCUUUGAUCUUUGAUGCUCGUUUCUACGCUUGUGUUUGAUAUAAUCGAUUUCGAUUCUUAAGGAUUUUAUGUGAUUGGUUAACUUAUGGUUUUGUUUCUCUCAGAGGUGAGAAUGGCUGAAUCUACUCGUAUCAGAGAGAAGUACCAAGACAGAGUUCCUGUAUGUUUCCUUGAACUUUGACUAGUUCUUUCAAGUACAUAUUUGUUCUGAUUAGAAACUGAAUACAGGUGAUUGUGGAGAAAGCUGGACAGAGUGAUGUUCCUGACAUUGACAAGAAGAAGUGAGUACAUAUGUUACAUAUUGAUUAUUGAUUCUCAGCUUGAAAAGCUGUAUUGAUUCUCAAUCUUGUUUCUUGGUUGAUGAUGAGUUUAAAGCGAGUUCCUUAGUGAAGUUUAAACUUGAUUUUGUUUCUUCUCUUAGGUAUCUUGUGCCAGCUGAUCUAACCGUUGGGCAAUUUGUGUACGUUGUGCGCAAAAGAAUCAAGCUUGGAGCCGAGAAAGCAAUCUUUGUCUUUGUCAAGAACACGCUACCUCCAACUGGUAAUUAAAGAUUGAGACUUCUCAAUACUUUCUGAAUCUUCAACUUGUAUCCUUCCUGUCUUGACUUGGUCUCUCUUUUUCUUGUUCUUAUGAACAGCUUCAUUGAUGUCUGCAAUCUAUGAAGAACACAAAGACGAAGAUGGGUUUCUCUACAUGACAUACAGUGGAGAGAACACGUUUGGAUCUGCCUCUGCUAAUAUUGCUCUGCCAUGACACUUUGAUCUUCUCUGUGAUGCUCUUAUUGUACAUUCGUUUUCCCCUCUAGCUUCUUUCGCUCUGAUAAUGUAUUUUUCUUUCUGUGGUUUUAUCUUCUGAACCUCGUUCUCACUGGAUUUGAACAAAUAUUCUAUCUUCAGUUAAUUUGAGACUCUGUUUACAUUGCUUUUGUUUCCUCUGUUUCAUUCUUCUAUCUUGACUCACUAGUGCUCUCUAUGGUCAUCUCUGUUAGUUACACUUCAUGAUAACUGAGUAGAAAUCACAAAUGAUUUGAGAGAGAGUGGUAUGUACUCUGGUUCUGAUUCUUAAAAUCUCAACUUAUCCUUGUAAUUGAGGAUAAUUCGACAUCAAUGUGAAGAAACAAGAGCUUAAUUUCACUAAUAACCACAAGUUUACAUUGAAAAAUCUUCACUGUAGUACAAAAACUCGAGCUUUGUUGCAGAGUGGAUCUCUAAAGUUAUGAAGUGUUCUUCAAACACUAACUUCCAUCUGUUAUAGCAACCAGGAACGAGAUGAGAAGGUUCUUAUUUGAUCUCUCUUUCUCAUGGAAAUGUCGGACUGGUUUGGCUGUUGAUCUACCGGACAAGAUUAAAGAACGAGGUCAAAGAAUCAACGUCUCUCUUCUCAGAUGGAUACUUGAUCGGUCUUGAAGAGUUCUUGGGGAAGCCUUAGCAUCUUCCCACCACCAUCUCCCUUCUCUCUCGUGUUGUCCCGGUAAAACCGCUCUCGUGCACGGCUCACAGCCGAUGGAAACAUACCGCGUGCAAUGUGUUAACCGGAACGUCAUAGCCCUCAAGAAACUCCACACAUGGUUCCUUUCAACAUUAGCAACCGGAUUCCACUUCACCAAACUACCAGCUCCACCAUCCAAACCUUGGAAAACCGGAUCAACCUGAACAACGGGAAUCUCAGACCAUGUCCCCGGAGACUGAUCUUUCCUCUGACCAGUGAUCCCAGCUCUUAAACCCACGCCUCAAAGGUCUCACCUUUCGAACACGGCAACACUCUUGAUGACCAUCCUCAUAGAAAGAGAACAAACCCUUGUUCCUAACCAAACCUUGAACCUCGACAGAGUCAGGAAACAUAAACUCAAUCCUUAUCCCAUAGUGUCUCUCCACCUCAUCGAAAAACCGAUAAGUCUCAGGGUUCAAACUCCCUGUAUCCAAGCUAAACACACUGUAUGGUCUCCCAGUUAAACGUGCAUACUCAAUUAGAGCAACAUCUUCUGCAAACACAAGAAAACAAAAGAAUCAGAUUCAUCAUAAUCAUAUCAUGGGACCAAUCUGAAAAUGUAAUAUCUACCUAAUUGCGAUGGCAAUAUGGUUCCCGAAUGUCUCGAGGGCUUUAUCCAUAAUCUCAAGAGGUGAAGCAUUCUCUAGCAUCACGGAAUGGAGUUGCGAUACUGUAGAGUUCUUCCAAGACUACUACCAUGGUCUAUCUUUUAUUAGCCGGAGAAGAUAAUGUCAAAGUUUCAAUGGAUAAUUACAAAGAUGAGAAAAAUUGGAACAUUUUCGCAAAGAGAUAAUUUGGGCCCAAAGAUAAAAUAGGAAAAGGGCGACCGACUUUAAAGACAUAUAUAAGAGAGGCUAAAGUAAUGAGCACAAGGACGAUGCUUGAGACUCUAUAAUUCUCUGCACUUAGAAACCUUAGUCUUAUUUCUCAACAAGUUUGGUUUCUAUGACUGGCACUCGAUUACUAAACGAACUCGUCCAUGCAAUUUGAUCUCUUGUUCCACUCUCUUAAUUGAACUACGUUCGGCUUGAUCCUCGAAAGGGGUAUGUAGGCAGCCUUUCAUAAGGUCCAGUUCGAAAUCUUUUAAACCUUUUUUGUCUUUUCGUCUAUUGCUAAGCGAGUUGCGGCCACAUAGGUUUUUCUCCACAUAGGUAGUAAUACUAGCAAGCUUAGUCUCAUUUUACCGUUUGUGUUAUACGAUUUCCUUUGUGAUCCCGUUUCCAGACGAGCUUCAUGUAUGCUUUUGUCUCUGAAACGCUCAUACGCAAAUUCCAAAUAAAGAUCUAUUGUUUUCUAAACUCGUUUUGUUAUCUUUCAUAUUUUCAGCAUUUAUUUGGUCACUUGUUGUCGGCUCUCAUAAAGAAUCCGGACCUCAAGGAAAGUAGGGUUUUCUUUGCUCUCCUCCGUUAACAAAAAUCGACGAUGUGAAUUUUGGUUUCCACAUUUUGGCGCUAGAAGGGGAGGAAGGAUUACUCUUACUCACACAGCUGCAAAACGCUUGAUCAAAACUGUGUCUAAAGACAAACUCGCAGCUCGCAACAACACUGGUAAAACAAUUCUAGUAGUGACUGAUCCUAUGGCUAACGCUUACGCAAAUGCCGCAAUGCUCGAAAAACUCGAAAACCUAGUCGCGACUUUUCACCACAGGAAGAGCACGAAUACAAGCUCGUGAUUUCUAUGUCUAAACAGAAAGGAAAAUGAUAAAAUCUCUCGAACUCCGCAAGAACUUGUCUCAUUACCGAGUCAGAGAAAUCUCAACAAGUAGGGAUUUGACCGAAAACAGUUUUCCGUGAUUUUCUCGGAAAAAUAAACAUGUUCUCCUGAAAACCCUGGAGAAACCCUUGAUUCCUCGCGGAAUAGAAGCACAAAAAAUCGGCUUGCCAAUUCCCCACUGCUGUGAUUCUUCCGAAUAACUUUCAGAUGAACAAAGUUGAUUUUUUUUGAAUCGCUCGAAACCUAAAACAGUUGACGAAGACUAAACUAAGAAAAAGGGGAAUGUAUCCCUCACUACAAAAACGUUUUCUGAAACCUAAGAUUUCGUAAAAAUUCUAGCGUCGAUUCUAUAGUAACAUAUUCAGAGAAUUCAAGAUAAUUGUCACCUAAGCUUACUUCACCUAAGCUCCCUCGGAUCAAUCCUAUGGAAACCAGAAAAUUUCUGAUUGAGUUUAGUAGUGAUAAUUAAGCUCCUAACAGCGAGUGUUUCUGAUCCAGGAACUAAAUUUGCGGAACAGCCGCAAAACAUGAGUUUUCCGGCUCUCCUACAGCCAAACUCGACGAAAAAAAGGGAAAACCAGUAUCGUCGGGAAGCUACCGAGCUGCAACUCCUGCUUAGCAAACUCCUUCUGCUCACCAUCAGCUCUGAACUUGGCAACCUUAACCCCACUUCCAGCCAGUUUAUCAGCCAGUUCAUCAUACGAUGCUUCCAUGGCUUGACAAAACGGACACCACGGAGCAUAAAGCACAACGAUCCAAGGCUCUUUACGGUUCUCCAACUUCACCAAAUUAUCAAUCCCUUGCCUGCUCAGAGCCACAAGAUUCUCACUCUUAAAGAUAUCCUCAACAAUGGGUUUUGACUCUCCGUUUACAUUAGCAUUCUCCUUGAUGUUCCCUUUGUGAAGUCCACACUCUUUCGCCUUAGCAUCUUCCCACCACCAUCUCCCUUCUCUCUCGUGUUGUCCCGGUAAAACCGCUCUCGUGCACGGCUCACAGCCGAUGGAAACAUACCGCGUGCAAUGUGUUAACCGGAACGUCCAUAGCCCUCAAGAAACUCCACACAUGGUUCCUUUCAACAUUAGCAACCGGAUUCCACUUCACCAAACUACCAGCUCCACCAUCCAAACCUUGGAAAACCGGAUCAACCUGAACAACGGGAAUCUCAGACCAUGUCCCCGGAGACUGAUCUUUCCUCUGACCAGUGAUCCCAGCUCUUAAACCCACGCCUCAAAGGUCUCACCUUUCGAACACGGCAACACUCUUGAUGACCAUCCUCAUAGAAAGAGAACAAACCCUUGUUCCUAACCAAACCUUGAACCUCGACAGAGUCAGGAAACAUAAACUCAAUCCUUAUCCCAUAGUGUCUCUCCACCUCAUCGAAAAACCGAUAAGUCUCAGGGUUCAAACUCCCUGUAUCCAAGCUAAACACACUGUAUGGUCUCCCAGUUAAACGUGCAUACUCAAUUAGAGCAACAUCUUCUGCAAACACAAGAAAACAAAAGAAUCAGAUUCGUCCUCCUUUGCGUUUUCUUUUGAAUCCUCAUCGUAACGCUUUUUGUUUCGAAAAUGUAAUAUCUACCUAAUUGCGAUGGCAAUAUGGUUCCCGAAUGUCUCGAGGGCUUUAUCCAUAAUCUCAAGAGGUGAAGCAUUCUCUAGCAUCACGGAAUGGAGUUGCGAUACUGUAGAGUUCUUCCAUGACUACUAUGAUGGUCUAUCUUUUAUUUGCAGGAGAAAAUAAUGUCAAGUUUAGAUGGAUAAUUACAAAGAUGAGGAAAAUUUGAACAUUUCCGCAAAGAGAUAAACUUGGGCCCAAAUAUAAAUGAGGAAAAGGGCGACCGACCUUAAAGACAUAUAUAAGAGGGGCUAAAGCAAUGAGCACAAGGACGAUGCUUUGAGACUCUAUAACUCUCCGUACCUAGAAACCUUAGGCUUAUUUCUUGACAAGUUUGGUUUCUAUGACUGACACUCGAUUACUAAACGAACUCGCCCAUGCAGUUCGAUUUCUUGUUCCACUCUCUUAAUUGAACUACGUUCGGCUUGAUCCUCGAAAGAGGUACGUAGGCAGCCUUUCAUAAGGUCCAGUUCGAAAUCUUUUAAACCUUUUUUCGUCUUUUUCGUCUAUUGCUAAGAGAGUUGCGGCCACAUAGGUUUUUCUCCACAUAGGUAGUAAUGCUAGCAAGCUUAGUCUCGUUUUACUGUUUGUGUUAUACAAUUUCCUUUGUAAUCCCGUUUCCAGACAAGCUUCAUGUAUGCUUUUGUCUUUGGAACGCUCAUACGCAAAUUCCAAAUAAAGAUCUAUUGUUUUCUAAAUUCUUUUUGUUAUCUUUCAUAUUUUCAGCAUAUAUUUGGUCACUUGUCGUCGGCUCUCACAAAAAAUCCGGACCUAAAGGAAAGUAGGGUUUUCUUUGCUUUCUUCAACAAAAAUCGACGGUGUGAAUUUCGGUUCCCACAGUUUGGCGCUAGAAGGAGGGGGGGGGGACGAUUACUCUUACUCACACAACCGCAAAACGCUUGAUCAAAACAGUGUCUAAAGACAAAUUCGCAGCUCGCAACAACACUGGUAAAACAAUUCUAGCAGUGACUGAUCCUAUGGCCAACGCUUACGCAAACGCCGCAAUGCUCGAAAAACUCGAAAACCUAGUUUUUCGCCACAGGAAGAGCACGAAUACGAGCUAGCGAUUUCUAUGUCUAAACAGAAAGGGAAAUGAUAAAAUCUCUCAAACUCCGCAAGAACUUGUCUCAUUACCGAGUCAGAGAAAUCUCAACAAGUAGGGAUUCGACCGAAAAACGUUUUCCGAGAUUUUCUCAGAAAAAUAAACAUGUUCUCCUCAAAACCCUGGAGAAACCCUAGAUUACUCGUGGAAUAGAAGCACAUAAAAUCGGGUUGCCAAUUCCCCACUGCUGUGAUUCUUCCGAAUAACUUUCACAAAAACAAAGUUGAUAUCUUUUGAAUCGCUCGAAACCUAAAACGGUUGACGAAGACUAAACUAAGCAAACCGGGAAUGUAUCCCUCACUGCUAAAACGUUUUCUGAAACCUAAGAUUUCGUAAAAAUUCAAGCGUCGAUUCUAUAGUAACAUAUUCAGAGAAUUCAAGAUAAUUGUCACCUAACCUUACUUCGGAAAAACUACUCAAAACUCCCUCGGAUCAAUCCUGUGGAAACCAGAAAAUUUCUGAUUGAGUUUAGUAGUGAUAAUUAAGCUCCUAACAGAGAGAGUUUCUGAUCCAGGAACUAAAUUUUGCAGAACAGCCGCAAAACAUGAGUUUUCCGGCUCUCCUACAGCCAAAAUCGACGAACACUUUACAGAACAAAUUUCGUAAAUUUAAGCUCGACAACAUAUUCAAAACAACUUUCAUAAGAUUAAGCUCGGCAAUAUUCUAUGAAAUAUCAUUCGUAAAGUUAAACGAGACACUAUUUCACGAUACAAUCUUCAAAGAGUAGAUUUGACAACAUUUGCGAAACGCCUCUCGUAAAUAAAACUCAAAAAAAAAAACUCGACAACCUUCAAGAAGUCAAACAAGAUCGAACAAUCAACGGAAACACGAAGACAAUAAGGGCUAGGGCAGGACCAGUUCGCUCACAGCUUGACGAACUGAGCACCCCACCCAAACAACAUCGUAUCCAUUGUUUCUUUUUCCCAAUCGCCAAAUUCAGCCUUAUUCGAUUCAUCACCUACUUCCCCCCACUUUGUUUCAACAAUUUCGUUAAAUUCCUUUUGUACAAAAAACGCAAUCCAGUUUUACAAAAAUUGCCACGUUGAGUCAAAAACAUCUAUUCAUAAAUGUUUGAUAGAAUUUUCGAUGAUAUACAAAGCACACUUGGUUAAUUUAGUAAACUCAGCGGUCAGAAGACACAAAGAGAAGGAGAAUGAAGAAGAUGCAAACCUUGAUCUCCGAUAAGACUAAGGUCAGAAGACACGAAGAGAAGGAGAAUGAAGAAGAGGCAAACCCGAAUCUCUGAUAAGACUAAGGUAUGUCCGACAUAGAAAAUAUUAUCAGACUUGGAAUUUUUCGUAGAAAAGGAAUCAAAAUGUCUUAGAAACUGCCGUAAACUUUAGGGAACUUAGAAUCUAGGUGGAUAGUCUAGCAAGCGAAAUCUUAGGCGGUGUUUUCCAGUCUUGUACUAUUGUUCCUUAACUGUCAAGUCAGAACUUACAAACUGAUCUAAUCUCUCGUACAACCGUGAAACGAUCGCCACACGUUCGAGCGUAGUCAUCUCAUAAUAAUCAUUAAACCCUAAACCUAAAUGCUAAAGCUCUUAACGUCCUAAACAGACUUAGCCAUCUCGUAGAGAUGACUCUCGUACAUCCGACACACGGAUAAUAGCGCUAUAAAAUAAACCACAAAUUUUUGGUCAGCACAUCCAGGAGGCUUAAAAAUUGUCCUUGGAAGAUUUGGCUAGUAAUGUGGAAAGCUGGGACUUGCUGGAAAACAAGUCUCCAUCUCUUCUCUGCGCUUGUUGAACCAUGUACCAGUGAAGUCUCGCAUUGCUUCAUCUCCUCUGCGUCAUUUGUCCUUCAUUGUUGCAGUUACAUUCUCUAUCUUCUGCAAUCUUUCUCCGAGACUCUCAAGUUGGAACUGAUUCCUGAUGAGUGUGGCGUAUGUGUCGUCUGAGAUCUCCUCUCCAUGGUUGUUUGUAUCAGACAUGUCUGAUUUUAUCUUUGGUACUAGCCUCCCUCGGGUUGCUGAUGUAGCUUCGUCGGUCGAUAUGUUGAUGCGUCUGUCGAUCGAUGUUGAUGCCUCUGGUCGACGAGCGAUGUAUCUCUGAAUCUCUACUAACUCCCUAUGUAUUGCUUCCAUCUGAGAAGUUAAAGAACUCAUUGUAAGGUCCAAUGGGAAGUAGAUGUCAUCACAUCUCCUAUCAAGCCUCUCUUCUGCUGAUUCCAGAGUUCUGUAGAUCUCUUCUACCAACUGAUCAAUCUCUGCUCUGGUGUAGGAAUCUGGUUGAGACUUCAUCGGAUUUGAAUGUGGUGGGUUGUCGUCGAUCGAUAUUGAGAGCUUUCUUUCGAUCGAUGCUGGUGCAGUUGCUUCGGCCGCACGCUCUGUUUGGAUUUUGGCUAUGUCUUGCUUCGUCUCCUCCAUGCAUGUAGUCAACCAACUGAUGCUAUCAUUCAGUGGGUAGUAGACACCAUCAAGCUUCAUCUGGAAGUCACCUUCAUUCUUUUCUUGGGCUCCACAGACUCCAUAAAACAUCUCAUUGAUCUCAUCCUUGGUGUAGAUCUCUGGCACUAGCUUGGUCUGUGUGAAUGACCUAGCAUGCUCUGGAAGACAUAGGUAGCUGUGCUCAUCCAUUGAGGCUCCUUCCAGAAGACUUCUGAUAUCAUCAUUGGAUACUCUGAUGAUGUGCCCACCUAUAUCUCUGGCAUGUCCAUAAUCAUCUCUGUAGACUCCAUAUUCAUCCUUCUCCUCCCAGUGGAAUCUCCUUGUGCCAUCACGGUCAUAGGCUCUUUUUCCAAACUUUGGGCGUCUGUCGAUCGAUGAUGGGUUGUCAACGUCGAUCGACGGUCGAGUAUGAUGUCGAUACUUCUAAUUGGAACGAUUGUCUCCGCCACCAGCUUCUGCUUGAUGUUGAUCUACUUUAUCACGUUCUCGCAUGUUUAGAAGUUUCUCUGUAGUGAAACCCUCAUGAAGCUCGUUUGCGCGUGGUUGAGAUAUUGCUGUCUCUACUGCAAAGCUCUCGUGACAGUGAUCAUCUGCCCAACUUCUAAUUGAGUAAUCUCCUUCUCGUACACGGUCGACUCCAGUGUCGAUCGAUGGGUAGUAAGCAAUGUCGGUCGAUGCGCGUUUGCAACUUGUCUGAUGAAGAUGAGCGUCGAUCGAUGUUGGGAAGCAUCUGUCGAUCGACGUCGCAUUCCUUUUCCAAGAGGAAUGGUGGAGAAGUCUAUCUUCCUCAGAAAUAAUGGCUCUGUACUCUAUAGCUCGUUCCUCCUCAUGAUCUUCAUCAUACUCCUCUGUCUGCAGGGUAGUAGUGUGCAUCGCCAUGGUGGGAUUGUAGUAGUCAUUCUCCCAAUCGCCUGGACUACUGUCGAUCGAUUCUUCCUUAUGAAUGUCGAUUGAUUUUUGAUUGGCACUGUCGAUCGAUGUGGCAGUGUGAGUUUCGAUCGACGCUGAAUAUUCUAUCUCAUACUCAGCUCCACAGUGGCAUGCUGCGAUGAGUUCUAGAUCAUCAUUUCUUCUGGAGGACGUCUGUGGCUUCAUGACUGGAAUAGGAUUUUAGUGGACAUGUGGAUCUAUGAGCGUCAGGCACAACUGGUUGGUUUGCAUGUUGCACACUGCUCCUACUGUUGACAAGAAGGCUAUCCCAAGCAAUAGAGAAGAGUUCCAGUUUAGCUUGAUAUCCAAGACAUGAAAAUCAACAGGAACUAGGGCAUUACCAAUCUGCACCUCAAGGUCUCUUACAAUUCCUCAUGAGCUUCUCUGAGAACUGUGGGAACCGAAAUUCGCACUGUCUAUUUCCGUUUAAAUAAGGAAAGUAGGAGAAUCCUAAUUUCCCAGAGGUCCCAGAUAUCUGCUAAUACCACACGCCAAGCAAUCAGAACACGAAAAAAAGACGAGAAAAUAUAAGAAAUCGAAAAGAGAGCAAAGUAGAUCUUAUUCCGAAUUCGUGUUUGAGCGUUACAACAAGGUAAGAGUCUGGGCUACGAGAGCUGUCGGCGAGAUCCCAAGUUCUAAAACCAUAAAGCUGCUAAACCUAAUUGAGUCGCAGCUCGAAUAACAAAAACGGAAAAUUGCCUAAAUUGCUCUAAGUGCUAAAUUUGCCGUGUAUCGCAAAUCCUUCUUUGCCUCUCACCUAGGACUCCUUAUAUACUUGCUCCUAGGUCGGUUGGCACCUUUCCUCUUCUGCCCCUAAGCCGUCAUAACUCAAAAAUGGAGAUAUUCCAAUUUUCCCAUCUUCGUGAUUAUCUUUGGAAACUUCACAUUUAUCCGCGGAAAUUUGACAUUUAUCUUGCCAUACGAACCAAGCAUAAACCGUCAUAAGGCUUAUGGAUUUUCGGUUAAGAAAUCGUAAGUGGGCUUCGAGUUGCGUUUUAGGUCUCUUUGGAACGUCUUUGACUCGAAAGGUUUAUUACGGUUUCUACGAUAAAAACAAACUUCCCGUGGUUUUUAUCAUAACAAAAUUCUACGAUAAAAACAAACUUCCCUAAGCCAUCAUAGCUUAAAAAUGGAGAUAUUCCAAUUUUCCGAUCUUCGUGAUUAUCUUCGGAAACUUCACAUUUAUCCGCGGAAACUUGACAUUUAUCUUGCCUUACGAACCAAGCAUAAACCGUCAUAAGGCUUAUGGGUUUUCGGUUAAGAAAUCGUAAGUGGGCUUCGAGUUGCGUUUUAGGUCUCUUUGGGCCGUCUUUGACUCGAAACGUUUAUUACGGUUUCUACGAUAAAAACAAACUUCCCGUGGUUUUUAUCAUAAAGUUUGACUGAUGACUUCGAGUGAUGAGAAACAAAGAAUGGUUUAGCCAUGGCCUACGAGAGAUAACAUUAAAGAGUAGACGAGAAUGCAUGGAUUCGUGUCGUAUCGAUGUUUUGGGAAAGUUCGGUCGCUACGUAGCGACCGAGCCGUGUGCGUGGUCCGAUGGCCAUACUUGAGCUUGUCCGUGGCCGAUUUGGAUACGUGUCCAUUGACUUUCAGACAUUGAUUCCGUCGUGACCCAUUUUGACCCCAACAGUUAGUCCCCCAGCUCGUUAGAACUAUGAGCUUCUAGCGUGAGGUUCUAGCGAGUGGCUUGGCGAGUUAGGCAAGUUAGGCGGAAUUAAUGGUUGAAAGGUCCGUGGUAAGUGUUCUUCUCACUCUUCUAAGAGUGGAACGCGAUAAAAUUGGGGCUGCACCUUAUGACGGCUGCCUACGUACCCUUGUUGAAGGGAUCAAGCCUUUUGUAGUUCAUCUUGGAGUUAAGGUUCUUAUGACAUGUUUUCCGGCGAGACCUUUACGGUCUAGUUUAUAUGUAGAGGUUAUCAGGCAUGCUGCUGCCGAUGGCAUUUUAUAUGGGUGUAGAGGGAAGACUACGAGUUGUCAUCUCGUAAUCUAACUCUGUAUGAACUGCUAUAUCUGUGAUAUGUUUCGAGAGUUUUCUGCAGUGUGUAAACUCGCGGGAUUUCUGAAGACGCUCGAAUAUUGGCCUAGAGACAAAUUUUGGGAUCUCGUAUCCGGGUGUUUGAUACUAUGCCUAGAGAUGUUAGAGACCAGUGUGCUGGGUUUAGGGCAAGACCUAGGUCUAAUCACGACUUUAGGGGGUGCGAUGACUACUUCGACUUACGUUUCCCGUAUCGUUUUCGACCUGAUUCCAUCCCGCUUUAAAGUCCGCGAUAUGUUCUUGGCUUACGUGACUUGUAUGGUAGGAAUCGAUUAAUAAAAUAAGAAAUCGAAAAAGAGAGCAAGAUAGUUCUUAUUCCGAAUCUGCGUUUGAGCGUUUACAACAAGGUAAGUGCCUGGGCUACGAGAGCUGUCGGCGGGAUUCCUAGUUCUAAAACCCUAAGACGGCAAAAACAUAUUUGAGUCGCAGCUCGAAUAACAUGCAAGGGUUUAGUCAUAACCCUGCGUUUGAGAAACAUUCUGGUUUGUCUAUGGAUGUUCGCAGCCAAAAUUAUUGUACCUGUUUGGAUGCUAAUAAUUUGAUUUGCGAUCGAGGAAUUAGGACCGAGGGGUCGCGUAAAUUUGUCCCUGGAAGAAGUGUUUUCCUUCGUAGUGCUUUGUGAGGUGUUGGCUUUUCGAGAUCUAUUUCGUGUACAUUUGAUGAUGUUUCGUAUAGCUCUAGGAGCUCUUUUACGAGUUUUCCUUACAUGCCGCAUUUUACGGGUAAAACGUAGCGGGAUUUAAAGUUAUCGAUGGAACGUAUUGAACUCGGUCUAUUGUCAAUAAGUUUAGGUUUUCUGUUAACCGUUUGGUUGUUAGGACUGAGUUUUGUUACGAAGAAUUUAUCAUAUAAUUUCCGACGGUGGGCUAUACAAUAAUUAUUCUCUUAAUAAUCACACGACGUUUUUAGACAAAUCGUAGAUUGUUGUUUAGCCGUUAAGUGAUGGAGCGAUGGUUUCUCAAAUUGUUUGGCUUGGUGUAAAGGAUGUGUUCACUCAGAUCGCCAAGGACGUUGUAGGUCAAGGAUUAGACCAUGGUACUUUCGUGUUAAAAUUAAGGUCAUAUUAGUUUACGAUCGUCCUUAAAGGGGAUGCCAAAUUCUGGUUUGGACCUAUACUGGAAGGCGUAAUUGACCGAGGGCCAAAGAGCGCUUGUCGAGAUUGAUAGGCCAAGUUUGCCAGAGUUAUUCGUGUUAAGAUGGCUGAUAGUCAUAGAAAACGAUUCUAUGCUUUAGGUUUCAGUUAUACGAUGAAUGUUUCGUAUAAUAUUCCCUAUAGUCUUAUGAAAAUUGAUUCGUUUUUGUCUGAGGAAGACGUAGCCUAAGAGGUUUGAUACAGAACCAAUGCGGAGUCAGUUGCGGGAUGAUUGCCUGCUCGGAUGUGACCGAGGUGAACGAAACGCAGAAGCCAGUGAGCCGCAUCGCUAAAAUAUGAGAUCUAUUAAAUCGUAAUGCGAAGAGAUCUCUCUAUAGAUUGGUCAUCCAAAGUCAAAUUUUAAAGCUUUGUGUCUGCUAUACAAAAUAUACUUCUUCGUAAAACCAAUUAUGUUACUUUCAAAAGUUUCUUCGUAAGACUUGGUCUGAUUGUACGAAAGAUUUUUCGUGUAAGUAAUGGGGACCGGUUUUACGAAGAUUGUAAAUCGGUGAUAUGUAUACACAUGUCGUUGUUUCUGCGGGUUUUACGAGAAACGUUUCUGCUGUGAUAUCGAUCUUAGGUGAAAGUUGCUUGGAGUUACUCAUGGAGUGUUACCAAAGUUUAUUUCACUACGAUCUAGUCGCAUAACGUUUUUCAUUGGUUUUUUGAGAGGAUUCUCAUGACACAUUCGUUUCUGGAAUGAAUUGGUCAACCAGCGGUAGAUCUAGCCAACGAUCGGGAAGAAAGUGAUCCUCUUAAUGUGCACAAUGCUACAUCUAUUCGUCGCAAAUGUUUUCGAUGCUUUUCCGUGACUCACUUGGUACAAUGGAAACUGAAAGAAAUUCUUUGGUGCUUGAAGAUUUCUCGUAGAAAUUUUUAAACGAAACUGGCUUUAUAAAGCCGGAAAGGGUUUCAAGACUUUGGCUAAUCGUCGAGUUUUCAGAUUAAUAUUGGUACAGGUUUUCUAUACGCAUGAUUGCGACAAGAAAUGCUGUAUAGUCUUUGAGAUUAUGUUCAUGAUCGUCUGGAUAUGUUGCUAGCGUUUAGACGAAUUUUAGAUUUAUGUUUGCCUACUUGGGACGAUUUGCUUUGACGAAAGCGUUUUCUUGACGAUUUGCAAAAGUUUUUGAAGUUUGGGAGUAUACGAGUAUAAUAUACGUACCUACUCCCCCAUUUUUUACGAAAGAAAACGGUUGAACCGAUACUUUGAAGGGUUGUGUACGUUUAUUCUUCCGAGGUCUGGAAUGAUCGAUAAUCCGGGACGAUUUAAAGACGACGCUGGGUCUGUGAUUUGGUGGUUUCUAGGUUGACGACUUGGAAUGUGUCGGUUUUAAGAAAAUCGCUAGAAACGAAUCGGUUUUAAGACGACGUUCGUGUCUCUAGUUUUUUCUCUCUUUAGGAAGCGAGCUGGAUAUGCGUGGCGAUCGUUUCUCGAUUUUCAGAGAGUUUAGAUGAGUUUGCAAGAUCUGGCUGAACAGUGAUAGAACGAUAUAUCGAGAUAGGAAAAAUUGCCUAAGACUUAGUCCGCUAUACUAUCUGAUACGCCCUAAAAUAGGGAAGGAUCACUCGACUUCCUACUGUUGACAAGAAGGCUAUCCCAAGCAAUAGAGAAGAGUUCCAGUUUAGCUUGAUAUCCAAGACAUGAAAAUCAACAGGAACUAGGGCAUUACCAAUCUGCACCUCAAGGUCUCUUACAAUUCCUCAUGAGCUUCUCUGAGAACUGUGGGAACCGAAAUUCGCACUGUCUAUUUCCGUUUAAAUAAGGAAAGUAGGAGAAUCCUAAUUUCCCAGAGGUCCCAGAUAUCUGCUAAUACCACACGCCAAGCAAUCAGAACACGAAAAAAAGACGAGAAAAUAUAAGAAAUCGAAAAGAGAGCAAAGUAGAUCUUAUUCCGAAUUCGUGUUUGAGCGUUACAACAAGGUAAGAGUCUGGGCUACGAGAGCUGUCGGCGAGAUCCCAAGUUCUAAAACCAUAAAGCUGCUAAACCUAAUUGAGUCGCAGCUCGAAUAACAAAAACGGAAAAUUGCCUAAAUUGCUCUAAGUGCUAAAUUUGCCGUGUAUCGCAAAUCCUUCUUUGCCUCUCACCUAGGACUCCUUAUAUACUUGCUCCUAGGUCGGUUGGCACCUUUCCUCUUCUGCCCCUAAGCCGUCAUAACUCAAAAAUGGAGAUAUUCCAAUUUUCCCAUCUUCGUGAUUAUCUUUGGAAACUUCACAUUUAUCCGCGGAAAUUUGACAUUUAUCUUGCCAUACGAACCAAGCAUAAACCGUCAUAAGGCUUAUGGAUUUUCGGUUAAGAAAUCGUAAGUGGGCUUCGAGUUGCGUUUUAGGUCUCUUUGGAACGUCUUUGACUCGAAAGGUUUAUUACGGUUUCUACGAUAAAAACAAACUUCCCGUGGUUUUUAUCAUAACAAAAUUCUACGAUAAAAACAAACUUCCCUAAGCCAUCAUAGCUUAAAAAUGGAGAUAUUCCAAUUUUCCCAUCUUCGUGAUUAUCUUCGGAAACUUCACAUUUAUCCGCGGAAAUUUGACAUUUAUCUUGCCUUACGAACCAAGCAUAAACCGUCAUAAGGCUUAUGGGUUUUCGGUUAAGAAAUCGUAAGUGGGCUUCGAGUUGCGUUUUAGGUCUCUUUGGGCCGUCUUUGACUCGAAACGUUUAUUACGGUUUCUACGAUAAAAACAAACUUCCCGUGGUUUUUAUCAUAAAGUUUGACUGAUGACUUCGAGUGAUGAGAAACAAAGAAUGGUUUAGCCAUGGCCUACGAGAGAUAACAUUAAAGAGUAGACGAGAAUGCAUGGAUUCGUGUCGUAUCGAUGUUUUGGGAAAGUUCGGUCGCUACGUAGCGACCGAGCCGUGUGCGUGGUCCGAUGGCCAUACUUGAGCUUGUCCGUGGCCGAUUUGGAUACGUGUCCAUUGACUUUCAGACAUUGAUUCCGUCGUGACCCAUUUUGACCCCAACAGUUAGUCCCCCAGCUCGUUAGAACUAUGAGCUUCUAGCGUGAGGUUCUAGCGAGUGGCUUGGCGAGUUAGGCAAGUUAGGCGGAAUUAAUGGUUGAAAGGUCCGUGGUAAGUGUUCUUCUCACUCUUCUAAGAGUGGAACGCGAUAAAAUUGGGGCUGCACCUUAUGACGGCUGCCUACGUACCCUUGUUGAAGGGAUCAAGCCUUUUGUAGUUCAUCUUGGAGUUAAGGUUCUUAUGACAUGUUUUCCGGCGAGACCUUUACGGUCUAGUUUAUAUGUAGAGGUUAUCAGGCAUGCUGCUGCCGAUGGCAUUUUAUAUGGGUGUAGAGGGAAGACUACGAGUUGUCAUCUCGUAAUCUAACUCUGUAUGAACUGCUAUAUCUGUGAUAUGUUUCGAGAGUUUUCUGCAGUGUGUAAACUCGCGGGAUUUCUGAAGACGCUCGAAUAUUGGCCUAGAGACAAAUUUUGGGAUCUCGUAUCCGGGUGUUUGAUACUAUGCCUAGAGAUGUUAGAGACCAGUGUGCUGGGUUUAGGGCAAGACCUAGGUCUAAUCACGACUUUAGGGGGUGCGAUGACUACUUCGACUUACGUUUCCCGUAUCGUUUUCGACCUGAUUCCAUCCCGCUUUAAAGUCCGCGAUAUGUUCUUGGCUUACGUGACUUGUAUGGUAGGAAUCGAGCAUCCCUUCGAGGACAAUUUUUAAGUCUCCCGAAAGUGCUGACCAAAAUUUUGGAUUAUUUUUUAUAUAGCGCUAUUACCCUUGUGUCGGGUGUUCGAGAGCUAUCUCUACGAGAUGGCUUUGUCUGUUUAGGACGUUAAGAGUUUGUUGUGAUCAGAAACAAACUUAUCAGUAGAUAUUACCGUUUUUGAGUCUUCGCGAAUAAUACAUGUUUGAGAAGAUGUUAGUAUGACUGUUUGGUCUUCCAAGAAGGUGCCUUUAUCGAGGAAGGUAAUUUUGUCGAAAAAUUGUUCUUUAGGCGUCUGCGACGUCUCGCAAUGCUGAAGAUUGAUUUUUCUUUCGUAUGCCGCGCAAUCGUUCUUGGAAUGUUCGCGGGCUUGAAGAUGUUUCGUGAUAUUGCAAGGGUUUAGUCAUAACCCUGCGUUUGAGAAACAUUCUGGUUUGUCUAUGGAUGUUCGCAGCCAAAAUUAUUGUACCUGUUUGGAUGCUAAUAAUUUGAUUUGCGAUCGAGGAAUUAGGACCGAGGGGUCGCGUAAAUUUGUCCCUGGAAGAAGUGUUUUCCUUCGUAGUGCUUUGUGAGGUGUUGGCUUUUCGAGAUCUAUUUCGUGUACAUUUGAUGAUGUUUCGUAUAGCUCUAGGAGCUCUUUUACGAGUUUUCCUUACAUGCCGCAUUUUACGGGUAAAACGUAGCGGGAUUUAAAGUUAUCGAUGGAACGUAUUGAACUCGGUCUAUUGUCAAUAAGUUUAGGUUUUCUGUUAACCGUUUGGUUGUUAGGACUGAGUUUUGUUACGAAGAAUUUAUCAUAUAAUUUCCGACGGUGGGCUAUACAAUAAUUAUUCUCUUAAUAAUCACACGACGUUUUUAGACAAAUCGUAGAUUGUUGUUUAGCCGUUAAGUGAUGGAGCGAUGGUUUCUCAAAUUGUUUGGCUUGGUGUAAAGGAUGUGUUCACUCAGAUCGCCAAGGACGUUGUAGGUCAAGGAUUAGACCAUGGUACUUUCGUGUUAAAAUUAAGGUCAUAUUAGUUUACGAUCGUCCUUAAAGGGGAUGCCAAAUUCUGGUUUGGACCUAUACUGGAAGGCGUAAUUGACCGAGGGCCAAAGAGCGCUUGUCGAGAUUGAUAGGCCAAGUUUGCCAGAGUUAUUCGUGUUAAGAUGGCUGAUAGUCAUAGAAAACGAUUCUAUGCUUUAGGUUUCAGUUAUACGAUGAAUGUUUCGUAUAAUAUUCCCUAUAGUCUUAUGAAAAUUGAUUCGUUUUUGUCUGAGGAAGACAGCUCAUGAACUCGCGGAGGGGUUCGUCUUCCCUCUGGGACAGACUCCAGAGAUCGACAUCGGAAGUUUCUCUAUCUAUGAACAUAGAGUAUUGCUUGGGAAAUUCCGAUGCGAGCUGUCGAAAACUUCCGAUAGAGUUUCGCUUAAGGCGUGCGCACCAUUCGAGGGCUGCUCCUUCUAGAUUCUCGACGAACAGGCGGCAGUAGCCGGCGUCUCUUUCGCCGUCCUUCAGCCUCGCUCUUCCCAACCUGAUGUGGAAAGCCUGAAGGUGUGCUCUCGGAUCGGUCGUGCCAUCAUAUUUCGGUACUUUGAUUUUUCCUAGAUCGGAUACCCUUUGCCUUGUGGAGGGCAUCCUGGAUCGUCCGCGGUUUGUCGAGGGAUAUCCAUUUUUGGAAUUUCGACUUGUACCAGAGGGCCUUUCUGAGUGCAUCGAUGGCCACCUUGUCGCUUAUCCCGCUGACCCUGGACAUUACCAACUUGAAUCGGCUGAUGAACUCGCGGAGGGGUUCGUCUUCCCUCUGGGACAGACUCCAGAGAUCGACAUCGNNNNNNNNNNNNNNNNNNNNNNNNNNNNNNNNNNNNNNNNNNNNNNNNNNNNNNNNNNNNNNNNNNNNNNNNNNNNNNNNNNNNNNNNNNNNNNNNNNNNNNNNNNNNNNNNNNNNNNNNNNNNNNNNNNNNNNNNNNNNNNNNNNNNNNNNNNNNNNNNNNNNNNNNNNNNNNNNNNNNNNNNNNNNNNNNNNNNNNNNNNNNNNNNNNNNNNNNNNNNNNNNNNNNNNNNNNNNNNNNNNNNNNNNNNNNNNNNNNNNNNNNNNNNNNNNNNNNNNNNNNNNNNNNNNNNNNNNNNNNNNNNNNNNNNNNNNNNNNNNNNNNNNNNNNNNNNNNNNNNNNNNNNNNNNNNNNNNNNNNNNNNNNNNNNNNNNNNNNNNNNNNNNNNNNNNNNNNNNNNNNNNNNNNNNNNNNNNNNNNNNNNNNNNNNNNNNNNNNNNNNNNNNNNNNNNNNNNNNNNNNNNNNNNNNNNNNNNNNNNNNNNNNNNNNNNNNNNNNNNNNNNNNNNNNNNNNNNNNNNNNNNNNNNNNNNNNNNNNNNNNNNNNNNNNNNNNNNNNNNNNNNNNNNNNNNNNNNNNNNNNNNNNNNNNNNNNNNNNNNNNNNNNNNNNNNNNNNNNNNNNNNNNNNNNNNNNNNNNNNNNNNNNNNNNNNNNNNNNNNNNNNNNNNNNNNNNNNNNNNNNNNNNNNNNNNNNNNNNNNNNNNNNNNNNNNNNNNNNNNNNNNNNNNNNNNNNNNNNNNNNNNNNNNNNNNNNNNNNNNNNNNNNNNNNNNNNNNNNNNNNNNNNNNNNNNNNNNNNNNNNNNNNNNNNNNNNNNNNNNNNNCGAGCAUCUUUCCUGAGACAAUUUUUAAGCCAACUGGAAGUGCUAGACCAAAAUUUCGGAUUUUUUUUGUAGCGCGCUUUCGUCCUUGUGUUGGAUGUUCGAAGAUCAAAAGAGUGAUCAAGUUGCGUUUGUUUAAGACGGCUGAUGUGUUCGUCGGGGCCAAUCGACGAACGGAGUGUAAGAUUUGUAGUGGUCGCGUUCGGACAAUUUGUUCGUAUCAUCUCGAUUUUUAACUUGGCGAUGUCUUGCAGUUAUUUCGAAGACUAUACGUAUAUUUUCGGUGCUGAAAUGAGAUUGUUUUGCGAUUUUGGGCCUUACGAGGCUGCUGGCAAGAGUAUUAACGUUUGUAGAUUUUCUAGGCGUGUUCUGAGACUUUUGUAAGUGUCUUAAAAAGGAGCGACGCAUAUUGAUCGUAAAAUUUUUUGAAAUCUCUAAAGAACUCGAUUACAAUAACGCAUCUUUUCCUAUGUGGGAGUAUACGAGUAUACGCACCCACUCCCCCCCCCUUUUCAGAGAGGGGGAUACCUGAACUCGUCUUUUGACGAGCUGCCUACGUACCUCUUUAGAGGAUCAAGCCAUCCCGUAGUUCUAUUUUAUGCCGCGAGUGUUUUCACUCGGCGGUUGUCGCCGUGCUGACCGCCUUGAUCGUGAUGAUCGGGGCUGGGUCAGUGUUCUCUUCCGGAUGUUCCGGUUGAGUUGUAGUGUCGGAUUUGGACUAUGUUGAUUUUCGACACCCGAAGCGUUUGCGUCAGCAGACGAUGUUAAAUCGUCUUUUCUUGAAACGCUUUUGGUCAAAGAUUUAUCAAUCUUCGUGCGUUUGCGAUUUGCCGUUGCAAAGGUCGUCAUCUGCCUUAACUUGUGCUCCGCGAGGAAGCACAGUCGCGACUAUUUCUGACAUCCCCAGAUAGCUACGACUCCGUUUGGGAUCGGGAAUUUGACACCCAGGUGGUACGUCGAUGGAACGGCUUGCAUAGCGUUGAGCCAUGGGGUUUCCAUGAUCACGUUGUUGAUGGCAGGAUGAUCGACUACCGCGAAUUUGACGAUUUUUGUGAUCUCCUUGGCCAUGACUGGUCGCUGAAUUGACCCGAGGGUCAUCGAUACUUCGCCUGAAAAGCCUGUGAGCGGUUUCAGAGUUGGAGUUACUUCUCCGAGUUAGAUGCUCAUCCGAUUGAGAGUGUCGCGGAAGAUUACAUUGACCGUGCUUCCCGUGUCAAUGAGUACUCUUCCGACUUCCAGAUCUCGUAUGACGAGAUCUAUGACGAGCGGAUCNNNNNNNNNNNNNNNNNNNNNNNNNNNNNNNNNNNNNNNNNNNNNNNNNNNNNNNNNNNNNNNNNNNNNNNNNNNNNNNNNNNNNNNNNNNNNNNNNNNNNNNNNNNNNNNNNNNNNNNNNNNNNNNNNNNNNNNNNNNNNNNNNNNNNNNNNNNNNNNNNNNNNNNNNNNNNNNNNNNNNNNNNNNNNNNNNNNNNNNNNNNNNNNNNNNNNNNCCGUUGCAGAGGUCGUCAUCUGCCUUAACUUGUGCUCCGCGAGGAAGCAUAGUCGCGACUGUUUCUGACAUCCCCAGAUAGCUGCGACUCCGUUUGGGGUCGGGAAUUUGACACCCAGGUGGUACGUCGAUGGAACGGCUUGCAUAGCGUUGAGCCAUGGGGUUUCCAUGAUCACGUUGUUGAUGGCAGGAUGAUCGACUACCGCGAAUUUGACGAUUUUUGUGAUCUCCUUGGCCAUGACUGGUCGCUGAAUUGACCCGAGGGUCAUCGAUACUUCGCCUGAAAAGCCUGUGAGCGGUUUCGGCGUUGGAGUUACUUCUCCGAGUUAGAUGCUCAUCCGAUUGAGAGUGUCNNNNNNNNNNNNNNNNNNNNNNNNNNNNNNNNNNNNNNNNNNNNNNNNNNNNNNNNNNNNNNNNNNNNNNNNNNNNNNNNNNNNNNNNNNNNNNNNNNNNNNNNNNNNNNNNNNNNNNNNNNNNNNNNNNNNNNNNNNNNNNNNNNNNNNNNNNNNNNNNNNNNNNNNNNNNNNNNNNNNNNNNNNNNNNNNNNNNNNNNNNNNNNNNNNNNNNNNNNNNNNNNNNNNNNNNNNNNNNNNNNNNNNNNNNNNNNNNNNNNNNNNNNNNNNNNNNNNNNNNNNNNNNNNNNNNNNNNNNNNNNNNNNNNNNNNNNNNNNNNNNNNNNNNNNNNNNNNNNNNNNNNNNNNNNNNNNNNNNNNNNNNNNNNNNNNNNNNNNNNNNNNNNNNNNNNNNNNNNNNNNNNNNNNNNNNNNNNNNNNNNNNNNNNNNNNNNNNNNNNNNNNNNNNNNNNNNNNNNNNNNNNNNNNNNNNNNNNNNNNNNNNNNNNNNNNNNNNNNNNNNNNNNNNNNNNNNNNNNNNNNNNNNNNNNNNNNNNNNNNNNNNNNNNNNNNNNNNNNNNNNNNNNNNNNNNNNNNNNNNNNNNNNNNNNNNNNNNNNNNNNNNNNNNNNNNNNNNNNNNNNNNNNNNNNNNNNNNNNNNNNNNNNNNNNNNNNNNNNNNNNNNNNNNNNNNNNNNNNNNNNNNNNNNNNNNNNNNNNNNNNNNNNNNNNNNNNNNNNNNNNNNNNNNNNNNNNNNNNCUCUUCUUGUUCGUUCCAAUAGAGGAUUUCCUCCUCUUCUGUCAUUGGUUUGUCGAACGGAGAGCUUUCCCGAGUGAAUCGGCUUCUGGUCCUCCUUGGAUGUCUGUCGACGUCCUCAUCAGUAUCGUUGGAGACAUCGCUAGGAUCCAGGUCGACUUGCUUGACUCCGUUGUCCUCCGAAGCCUUCGCGGGAGGCGGAGGGCUUUCAGAGUUUCCCUUUUCGAUGGGAGAUUUCUCGCUAGGGUUUUGACCCGAAGGUCGUUCCUGCGCGGCUCCAGGCCUGUUGAGUGGGGUUGCGAAGUCGAGUCUUUUCCCGCGGACUUUAGUGGUUCCGCGGGGGCGGAUUGCUCGAGUCCUUGCUAUUAAAGUUUCAACUUGUUUGGUCAAGGUGCUCACGAGCUUAUCCUGUUCUUCCGACCUUUUUCCAUAGGUGGCGAACAUCUUUUUCAACUCCUCGAACGCCGCGGUGUUGGCUGGUGCGUUGGCCGCGGAUACGUCCGCUGCGGGAGCGUGGAGAUCAGUGCCACUGGUUGAGCGUGAUGUGGUUGAGAGUUAGAUUGAUCCGUACCCCCCUCCUUCUAGCGCCAAACUGUGNNNNNNNNNNNNNNNNNNNNNNNNNNNNNNNNNNNNNNNNNNNNNNNNNNNNNNNNNNNNNNNNNNNNNNNNNNNNNNNNNNNNNNNNNNNNNNNNNNNNNNNNNNNNNNNNNNNNNNNNNNNNNNNNNNNNNNNNNNNNNNNNNNNNNNNNNNNNNNNNNNNNNNNNNNNNNNNNNNNNNNNNNNNNNNNNNNNNNNNNNNNNNNNNNNNNNNNNNNNNNNNNNNNNNNNNNNNNNNNNNNNNNNNNNNNNNNNNNNNNNNNNNNNNNNNNNNNNNNNNNNNNNNNNNNNNNNNNNNNNNNNNNNNNNNNNNNNNNNNNNNNNNNNNNNNNNNNNNNNNNNNNNNNNNNNNNNNNNNNNNNNNNNNNNNNNNNNNNNNNNNNNNNNNNNNNNNNNCGGAUAAAUACGAAAUUUUGAAGAUAAUUACGAAGAUCGGGAAAAAUGGAAUAUCUCCAUUUUUAAGUUAUGACGGCUUAAGGGCAGAAGAGGAAAAAGCGUAAACCGACCUAGAAGCGAGUAUAUAAGGAGUCCUAGGCGAGAGGCAUGAGCGACAACUUUUUAGACUCAUAACUCUCAGCACUUAGAAACUCUGAGGCAUUAUUCUCGACAUACUCUGUUUCCAUGACUGGCACCCGAUUACCAGACGAAUGUGCACAAGCAGUUUGAUCUCUUGGUUCACUCUUGAACUACGUUCGGCUUGAUCCUCGAAAGGGGUACGUAGGCAGCCUUUCAUACGGUUCAAUCCGAAAUCAAUCAAAAACCUUUUCUGUAUUUUCUUCGUCUUUUGUUAACGAGCUGCGAGUCAACUAGGUUUGAGCUUUUAGGCCGCUAGAACUAUGUAACUCGCUGACAACCUUUGCGGCCAAAGCUUUUAUGAUCUCUUGUAAUGAUCGCAACGCUCUCACGCGGACUCGAAAUAAGAUCUACUGUUUUCUCUAAACUCGUUUGUUAUCUUUUCAUGAUUUCCGCAUAUAUUUGGUCACUUGCCGAUGGCUCUCGCAGAGAUCCGGGACCUCUGGGAAAUUAUGGUUUCCCUAGUUUCCUAAUUUAAACGUAAAUCGACAGUGCGAAUUUCGGUUCCCACAACGCAUAUCCAGCUCGCUUCCUAAAGAGAGAAAAAACUAGAGACACGAACGUCGUCUUAAAACCGAUUCGUUUCUAGCGAUUUUCUUAAAACCGACAUAUUCCAAGUCGUCAACCUAGAAACAACCAAAUCACAGUCCCAACGUCGUCUUUAAAUCGUCCUAAGCAGACAAACGACAAUCUUAAAUUCGUCUAAAUGCUAGCAACAUAUCCAGACGAUCAUGAACAUAAUCUCAAAGACUAUACAUCAUUUCUUGCCGCAAUCAUGCGUAUAGAAAACCUGUACCAAUAUCAAUCUGAAAACUCGACGAUUAGCCAAAGUCUUGAAACCCUUUCCGGCAUUAUAAAGCUAUUUUCGUUUUAAAAUUUCUACGAGAAAUCUUCAAGCACCAAAGCAUUUCUUUCAGUUUCCGUUGUACCAAGUGAGUCACGGAAAAGCAUCGAAAACAUUUGCGACGAAUAGAUGUAGCAUUGUGCACAUUAAAAGGAAUACUUUCUUCCCGAUCGUUGGCUAGAUCUACCGCUGGUUGACCAAUUCGUUCCAGAAACGAAUGUUUCAUGAUAAUCCUCUAAAAAAACCAAUGAAAAACGUCCUGCGACUAGAUCGUUGUGAAAUAAACUUCGGUAACACUCCAUGAGUAACUCCAAGCAACUUUUACCUAAGAUCGAAAUCACAGCAGAAACGUUUCUCGUAAAACCCGCAGAAACAACGCUACUUUGACAUGUGUAUACAUAUCACCGAUUUAGAAUCUUCAUAAAACCGGUCCCCAUUACUUACACGAAAAAUCCUUUGUACAAUCAGACCAAGUCUUAUGAAGAAACUUUUGAAAGUAAACAUAACUGGUUUUACGAAGAAGUAUAUUUUGUAUAGCAGACACAAAGCUGUAAAAUCUGACUUUGGAUGACCAAUCUAAAGAGAGAGAUCUUCGCAUUACGAUUUAAUAGAUCUCGUAUUUUAGGCAUGUGGCUCACUGGCUUCUGCGUUUCGUUCCCCUCGGUCACAUCCGAGCAUGCAAUCAUCCCGCAACUGACUCCUCACUGGUUCUGUAUCAAACCUCUUAGCCUACGUCUUUCUCAGACAAAAACGAAUCAAUUUUCAUAAGACUAUAUGUAACAUUAAACGAAACAUUCAUCGUAUAACUGGAACCUAAAGCAUAGAAUCGUUUUCUAUGACUAUCACCCAUCUUAAUACGGAUAACACUGGCAAACUUGGCCUAUCAAUCUUGACAAGUGCUCUUUGGCCCUCGAUCAUUUACGCCAUCCAGUAAAGGUCCAAACAAGAAUUUCCCAUCCCCUUUAAGAAUGAUCGUAAACUAACAUGACCUUAAAUGUUAAAGUACCAUCGUCUAAUCCUCGACCUACAACAUCCUUGGCUAUCUGAGUGAACACAUCCUUAACGCCAAGCCAAACUAUUUGAGAAACCAUCGCUCCAUCACUUAACGGCUAAACGAAAAUCUACGAUCUGUCUAAAAACGUCGUGAGACUAUUAAGAGAAUAAUUAUUGUAUAACCCACGGUCGGAAAUCAUAUGAUAAAUUCUUCGUAAUGAAACUCAGUCCUAACAACCAAACGGUUAACGGAAAACCAAAACUUGUCGAUAAUCGACCAAGUUCGAUACAUUCCACAAUUCACUUUAAGCCCGCUAUGUUUUACCCAUAAUACGCGGCAUGUAAGAAAAAUUUUGUAACAAAGCUUCUAGAGCUAUACGAAACAUCCUCAAAAAUGCACGAAAUAGAUCUCGAAAGGCCAACACUUCACAAAGCACUAUGAAGGAAAACGCUUCUUCCCAUCGAAAAAUUUACGCGACCCCUCAGUCCUAAUUCCUCGAUCGCAAAUCAAAUUACUAUCAUGCAAACUGAAACAACAAUUCUGGCAGCAAAAAUCCGUAGACAGACCAGAACGUUUCUCAAACGCAAGGCUAAGACUAAACCCUUGCAAUUUCGCGAAACAUCUUCAAGCCCGCGAACAUUCCAAGCACGAAAAGCGGCAUACGAAAGGUAGCGACCAAGCUCAAGCCAAGCUCGGUCGCUACGUAGCGACCAAGCUCAAGCAAAGCUCGGUCGCUACGUAGCGACCCGCUACGUAGCGAUUGAGCACGCACACGGCUCGGUCGCUACGUAGCGACCGAACACGCACACGGCUCGGUCGCUACGUAGCAACCUAACUUUCCCUAAACAUCGAUACAACACGAAUCCAUGCAUUCUCGUCUACUCUUUAAUGCUAUCUCCCGUAGGCCAUGGCUGAAACAUUAUUUGUUUCUCAUCACUCAAAGUCAUCAGUCAAACUCUAUGAUAAAAACCGCGGGAAUUUUUUUUCUCUCGAAGAAACCGUAAUAAACGUUUCGAGUCAAAGACGGCCCAAAGAGACCUAAAACGCAAUUCGAAGCCCACUUACGAUUUCUUAACUGAAAACCCAUAAGGCUUAUGCGGUUUAUGCUUGGUUCGUAAGACAAACCUCGAAGAGAUGCUCGAUUCCUACCAUACAAGUCACGUAAGCCGGGAACAUAUCGCGGACUUUAAAGCGGGAUGGAAUCAGGUAGAAAAUGAUACGGGAAACGUAAGUCGAAGUAGUCAUCGCACUCCCUAUCCGAAGAUAAUCACGAAGAUCAGGAAAAUUGGAAUAUCUCCAUUUUUGAGCUAUGACGGCUUAAGGGCAGAAGGGGAAAGGCGCAAACCGACCUAGGAGCAAGUAUAUAAGGAGUCCUAGGUGAGAGGCAAAGGGGAUUCGAGACACAGAAAACUUUCAGCACUUAGAAACUCUGAGGCAUUAUUCUCAACAUGCUCUGUUUCUAUGAGUGGCACCCGAUUACCAGACGAACGCCACAAGCAGUUCGAUCUCUUGGUUCACUCUUGAACAACGUUCGGCUUGAUCCUCGAAAGGGGUACGUAGGCAACCUUUCAUAAGGUUCAGUUUGAAAUCAAUCAAAACUGUUUUCAUAUCUUUUUCGUCUUCUGUAAUUGAGCUUCGACUCAACUAGGUUUAAGGUUUUAGGUUGCUAGAACUAGGUAAUUCGCUGACAGCUCUUGUGGCCGAAGCUUUUAUAAUCUCUUGUAAUGAUCGCAACGCUGUUAUGGUUUUAACGAGCUGGGGGGCUAACUGUUGGGGUCAAAAUCGGUCACGGCGGAAUCAAUGUCUGAAAGUACGUAAAAAUCAGCAUGACUGUUUUUACGAAAAGUAAUCUUCGUAAAGAAAUAUUUACGAAGAGCCUUGCGGUAAAAUCUUGUUCUAAUCUCAAUCGAACCACUAAAUAUCGAUAGUCCAAAAGCAACAGACACAUUCCUCCGAUUACGGAAAUUGACGGUGUGAAUUUCGGUUCCCACAUCCUGUUUCUUUGAUGACGGUCCCUGUUCUGAGAUCCGAGAGGGGGAUCUGGCUGACAUAAGGAGGAAGUACUUGAUUCAUCCUUCAGUGGGGAUGAGGAGUCCAACCGAGUUCGAACGCUUUCCGAAUGGCGGAGCGGGUGAGGAGGCUAUCUAUGAUAGCGUACCUGGAAGCAGGCUUCCGGGGUGCUAUUCCUUCUCUUAUAGGCGAAGUGUCAUCUUUCUUCGGUUUCAGUCCUUCUCCACUUACUCCCCUAACCUGGAGGACUUUAAUGGCUCUCCAAGUACUCGGAGAACUCCAUGGAUUUUCCAUCGGGGUGCAUGAGAUAUUAUACUCUUAUUACUUUUCUCCUUUGGCAAACAAAGAUGGGUUCUACCAUCUUCGAUCUCGUGAUGGCACCCCUUUGGUCGAGGAACCUUAGAGGGGUGUCAGAGGAAAUCAUCCCUUUGGGGAUGGUUGGAACAGUCGGUACGUGUUCGUGAAGAUCCAUGAGCCAGUGGGUUACCCUACGUCCUGGCGUACCGUGGGUGAGAUUUUCUUCUGAGUUUUGGAUUUUACCAUCCUUUGUGGGACCUAAUCCUGACAUUUUUGCUCUUGCUUUGUCAGAUGUAUCUCGCCCAGUUUCCUUUGCUGGAGAAGCGGUGGCGAAGCUCAUAGUGGGAAUCCCCCGGCGAUUCCGCUGGGUGACCUUUCUGGUGAGCAGGGAGGCCCUGCGUCUUAGCCGUGUUUGGGGUAAGCCUUUCUUCCCCAUCUGAUAGGACUCUGUCUUAUUUGAAUCUCAUGUAUGUAUACACUUUUUGCUCUAGGGAACGCGGUGAGGUCUCCGGUAUCGGUUAUUUAUCACGAGUAUCAGAAGGUUAAAACGCGGAAGCGGCAUCUUUCUUAUAUGUGGGAACCAAAAUUCGCACUGUCGAUUUCCAUUUAAAUUAGGAAAGUAGGAGAAUCCUAGUUUCCCAGAGGUCCCAGAUAUCUGCUAACACCACACGCCAAGCAAUCAGAACACGGAAUAAAUACUAUAAAAGAUACGAAAUCGAAAAGAGAGCAAGGUAGAUCUUAUUCUGAAUUCGCGUUUGAGCAUUAGAACAAGGUAAGAGUCUGGGCUACGAGAGCUGUCGGCGAGAUUCCCAGUUCUAAAACCCUAAAGCUGCUAAAUCUAAUUGGGUCGCAGCUCGAAUAACAAAAACAGAAAAUUUCCUAAAUUGCUCUAAGUGCUAAUUUUUGCUGUGUCUUGCGAAUUCCCUUUUGCCUCUCGCCUGGGACUCCUUAUAUACUUUCUCCUAGGUCAGUUUGCACCCUUUCCCUUCUGCCCUUUAGCCGUCAUAGCUCAAAAAUGGAGUUAUUCCAAUUUUCCCGAUUUUCGUGAUUAUCUUCGGAAACUUAACAUUUAUCUUGCCUUACGAGCCAAGUAUAAACCAUCAUAAGGCUCAUGGGUCUUCGGUUAAGAAAUCGUAAGUGGGAUUUUAGUUACGUUUUAGGUCCCUUUGGGCCGUCUUUGACCUGAAACGUUAAUUACGGUUUCUUCGAUAAAAACAAACUUCCCGCGGUUUUAAUCGUAAAGUUUGACUGCUGAAUUCGAGUGAUUAGAAAUGAAGGAUGGCUUAGCCAUGGCCUAUGGGAGGUAGCAUUUAAAGAGUAAACGAGAAUGCAUGGAUUCGUGUCGUAUCGAUGUUUUGGGAAAGUUCGGUCGCUACGUAGCGACCGCGCCGUCUGCGUGCUCGGUCACUACUAGCCACAACAAAUACUACUUUUAAAACUAAUGUUCAUGCUCGUGAUGAUAAAGGAAAAGCAGUAGAAACCAGUGGCCGAGCAAGAGACAUCGGUUGCUUCAAAUGUCAUGGACUUCGACACUACGCCAACAAGUGCCCAAACCAGAAAGUAAUGAUUCUUUUGGAGAAUGGUGAGUUUGAGUCUGAGGACGAGGAAGAGGACAAGGAAGAUAUCGGUCCAAUCUAUGAUGAGGAGGAAGAACCAUUCGAUUACCCACAUAAUGGGCCACUCCUUGUUGCUAGGAAGCCAUUUGACGAUGCUCCUGGUCCCAUCUUCGAUGAGAAGGACAAUCUCUUGGACGGUGAACUAGUUCCGGUCUUUGAAGAUACACUUGGUCCGAUCUUUGAUGAAGAGGACACCACCUUGACUACCCAUCUCAUGGUCCACUUUUCGUCACUAGGAGAACAUUGAGUGUUCAGCCCAAAACUAAUGACCGAGAACAAAGGGAGAAUCUUUUUCACUCUAGAUGUUUGGUUUAUGAAAAAAAUUGUUCUUUGAUUAUUGAUGGUGGCAGUUGUACUAAUGUUGCUAGUGACUCUCUUUUUAGGAAACUUGGACUUGUGACCAAACCACUUCCUCGACUUUUCAGGUUGGAAUGGCCGAAUGAAGCUGGUGAGCAGUAUGUGAGGGAGCAAGUCAUGGUUCCUCUUACUAUUUGUCGAUAUGAGGACGAAGUCCUUUGCAAUGUUUUUCCCAUGGACGCAUUCCAUAUCCUGUUAGAACGACCAUGGCAAUUCAAUAAACAAUGCAUGACGGUUACACCAACCGGCACUCCUUUGAUCAUCAAGGAAAGAAGAUCACUUUGGUUCCUCUAACACCAUCCGAAGUCCAUCUAGACCAGAUCCAGUUGAAGAAGAGCCGAGGCAAGAAAUCUAAACGAACAGAACCUAAGGUAUCUGCUAGAAACUCGAACUUCUUUAUCAAGGAAAUACUUGUACUCUCAACAGCCUUUCCUUUUGCUUGUGUAUAAAGCAACUUGAUGGGUUCCUUUGACCUUGCACCGGAGUUUCCGAGUGAUUUGAUAGAUGCCUUGCAGGAAUUUUCAGAUAUCUUUCCAGAUGAGAACCCUAAGGGAUUGCCACCAGUAAGAGGCAUAGAACAUCAGAUUGAUUUUGUUUCGGGUGCGUCUCUUCCAAACCGUCAAGCUUAUCGAACCAACCCAGUGGAAACAAAGAUACUUCCAAAGCAGAUUGGGGAGCUUCUUGAGAAAGGCUAUAUAAGGGAAAGCCUUAGCCCAUGUGUCGUGUCAGUUCUCCUUGUGCCUAAAUAGGAUGGUUCUUGGCGCAUGUGCGUGGACUGUCGUGCCAUCAACAACAUUACAAUAAAGUAUAGGCAUCCAAUCCCUAGGCUUGAUGAUCUCACACAAAUUGCCUUAAGGAGUGAAUUACCCUCUCAAAUAAGAGGUUCAAUUGUAGUACUUAGGGUUCAAAUCCACAAGAAGCUAUGGAACCUAAUAAAUCUAAUUAGAGUGAUGAAGCUAGGGUGAUUAGAAAUGUAAAAGAAAAUUGUGAGCAAGAUAAUUGCUCGGUUAGUUUGAUGGUCUUUGACACUUAAAUAAAAUAGCUAGACUUACGAUUUCUAUUCAGGUAAUCAGGAUUAUAAUCCUACAGAUGCUUAACAGUUAUAUGCAUGAUAGUAUAUAGCUCAAUCACUUGAGAACAAACCGAUCGGCGUUCUCUUUCUAGGUUUGUCUAUUGACCAGAUCUAAUGGUCUCAACAGUAGGUCAGACCAAUUAGAAAGUUUCGAUCGAUGAUUCUAGAGGAAUAUCGAUCGAUACACUUUUUGUACCUCGAUCGAUUAUUCUAUAGGAAUAUCGAUCGACGCGCUCUUAGUCAAGCUUUACGCGCGGGUUGAAUAAUUCUCACUAGGCUUACUAGAUCAGCUUUCGCCUUACUCUAGAAAUCCUAGCCCAAUUAGGAUAGAUUCAGGGUGAGAUUCAAGUGUUAACUUGUGCCUACAACUCCUAGAUCAAGGUUCUAGCUAGCUAAACUAGAAACAUGCAUUAAUGACAAUUCUAUUUAUGAAUAUCACAACUAGCAAUCUAUAGUUGGGGCUAAUACCUCAUAACCUAUUUGAACCAUAAACCUAACAGUAGAACUACUCAGACAUAGCUAAGCAAUUCAUAGCAACAAUAAGGUAUAAAAACUGCAUAGAUAUAAAAUAGAAAAUAAUGGAGUUCCAAUCACAAAUCUCUCUGGAUCUUCUCUCUAACUCUACUAAAUCCUAGAAAACCCUUUGCUGUGUAAACAAGAGAACAAAAAAGCACACCUUGCCUAAAACACAUUGGCAAGCUAUAAAUAUAAGGUUAAAAACUCGUAAGGGGUAAUCUUGUAAUUUGGUGAAAUCUUUGGCUCUAAGCCGGCUGGAACCAAACAGACUUUUGCGCGCUUCGCUGUCGAUCGAUUCACGAUGUCACAAUGCAUGCAUCGAUCGAUUAUUUCCUAUGAAUGUCGACCUCUGGUCUUGCUCGAUGGUCAUCUCGGAUGUUCUCUCCUUUUAUCUCCAAAAUACUCCAAAAUCAUCACUUUCUUCCAAAUCACUCUUGAACCUAUAAAUAUACUAAAUAGACUCUAAAAUAUAGUAAUUAGUUAUUAAAACACUUAUAAACCAUGGUUAAAAGUGAGUAAAAUCCAUGGCCUAUCAACUCCCUCAAACUUAGGCCUUGAUUGGGAGAGCAGAUGAUAAAGCAGUAGCAGUGUGCUAUAGAAACAGUAUGUUGCAUAAGCUGUAUGCUUUUCUAAACUAUUUAAUAGAACGAUUGGUAGAGCAAUAUGAAUAUGCUAUUUAAAAUUAUUAUAAAAAUUAAUAUAUAAUAUAAUUAUUUUUAAUAAAUAUUUUUACUGUAAAUUAAUUUUAGAAAUCAAAAAUUUUAUUUCUGGAUAUAAAAAUAAUUUUUAUAAUAUUAUUAAAUAAAAUAAAUUAAUUAAUUAUAUAUUUUCCUUAAUUUUAAAAAAUUAUUAAUGCAACUGUUCUUCUAAAAUUUUCAUAUGAGAGCAUUGACCAGAGAGCAUUUGGAGAGUACUAGCAUUUAGUAAAUGCUUUUUAAAAUACUUUUCUAACAAUUGUUGGUUGGAUAAUGUAGAGCAUAAUGCUAAUGCUAAUGCUAUACCAGUCAAGACCUUACCCUUUUGCUUGUCCUAUAUAGGCAGUGUCUUAGAAAGAGGUUUGAAAGCAGCAGAGACUCACAGAUUUAAAACUGAGAAUCAUCACCUUAUAAAAUCCUAAUCUCAGAAGCACAUUAUACCAUAUCCUAAUCUAGCAACCAAAUUCACCUAGUCAACAACUUAGCAAAUCAUGUGUGACAAUCCCCUCUACCAACCUCAUUUCUUGCAUAAAUAAAAGUGUAGGUUUUACCUUGGGAGUAUCAAUCACAUGAUGCAAGGAUGCUCAAACAUGUAUCUGGACCUGCAGGUAAAUGGGAGUUCCUUUCUUCUCUCUCUCUCUACUAGUUUUUCUCUCUGUCAAAGUCUGAUUUCAUUGCAGGAUCAUUGACCAAGAUUGGACAGGCUUCCAUGAAUCAAGCUUUAAUGGUUUUAGCCACCAAAUCUUGUUCACUUCUUUUUGACCUAUAUCCUGGGACUCUUUGUGAAUCAAGCUUUAUGGUUGUAGCCACCAAGUCAUGUUCGAAUCUUUUACCUAUUGAAUUCUUAUGAAUCAAGUCUUAAUGGUUGUAGCCACCAAGUCCUGUUCGAAUUAUUUUCCUAAAUUAUCAUCUAUAAUUAUAUAUAUAUAUAUAUAUUCAUAAUCUAAAUUUUGAAAUUGAGAGAGAGAGAAUGACAUAUCUACACAAAGCUUUACCUUCCAGACUUUUUUGAAGAAUCCAAUUUCAUGUAUACAAAGCCCUAAGACAAGCAAAGUUGAGCUAAGUUAGGUUGGAGUUCAGCUUUAGUUCCUUCAAAAACAUUUUCAGCAAGUGUAACAUAGUUGACAGGUUGAUCCACUUUAGUAUCUUUGGUGCUAUCUGCAACUAGUAAGUCUAUAAUGAUGUGGUUAGAUAACAAGCAAAAUCAAUAAGUUCAAUGUCCUCUUCUUGACUCAAUAAAAAUUUCUUUUUAAAAACAUUUUAAUAAGACUCAUGAAAUAAACUAAUAUCAGUAAACCUCCUCCUAGACUUAAACUACACUGCCCCUAGUGUAAAGUCAGUCGGAGUUAUGGUGAUAACUAAAGCAAAAGGACUCAAUUUAACAAGUAAGAACGAUAAACCAUACUGGAAUAGAUGUCGAUCAAUGUGAAGAUGUUUUCAUCGGUCGCAGCAUGUGAUGUUCUGAUAUCGGUAGGGUCUCGUCGGUCGAUAUUCUUGGCAAUCGUCGACUCAGAUCUUUUUCCGUUUUUUUAUGACCUGCAAAAAUUCAAAAACUAGCAUAAGUACUAAACUAAUGAAAACCAAUUAAAAUUACCAAAUAGUGGGUUGCCUCCCACUCAGCGCUUUGUUAUAGUCAUUUAGAUUGACUUUGGAGGUGAUUUGGUUUGCAUGUUGCAUACUGCUCCUACUGUUGACAAGAAAGCUCUUCCAAGUAAUAGAGAAGAGUUCCAGUUCAGCUUGAUAUCCAAGACAAGGAAAUCUACUGGAACUAGGACAUUAUCAAUCUGCACCUUAAGGUCUCUGAUUAUUCCUCAUGAGUUCCUCUGAGAACAAUCGAAAAAAGUGAACGAUUCCUUGGAAGGCUCUACCUUCAGACCUAGCUGGUCAGCCAUAACCCUAGGUAGAAUGCUGACUUAUGCUCAUGUGUCACAUAAUGCUUAUGGGAACUCAAUACCUUUCACUAGACAUGGUAUUACAAACUUCCCAUGAUCACUCUUCUUCUUCAGUGUAAUCCUAUUCUUUAUCUUAUCUCUGACCUGAUGGAACAUUCUCCUAAUGUCCUCUUCAGUCUCCUUGGUCUCUUUGACAAACAUCCACAAUUUGUGGGUAAAGUAAGCUUCCUCGAAUGGUUUCUCUAGUGGAAUCCUAAGGACUCUGUUAAGAAAACUUUCCAUCUCCUACUCAUUAGCUCCCCUCUUCAGAUGCUUAGCAACCUUUUCAUUUCUUCUCCUCAAGGUUCUUCCCAUAGUAGCCUUGUCAACUUGCAUAGGCUCUGGUGCAUAUUCUGAAUGUGUACUGGUGGUCUCUGGUGGGUUAGUGGAAGGUUUUGGUUGUGGCCUGAGUGCAUUGAUUCAUGCGAUGUUGAUCUUUUGUAACUGCACUCGGAAUGUGAGAGGUGCUCAUCGAUCGAUGGGUACUGGAGGUUGCCGAUCGGUGGUGGUGUCUCGUUGUCGAUCGAUGGCUGGCUCAGUUUGCCGAUUGAUGUUGACAUGAAAAGGGCUGGGUGGAUGUGCGUGUCUUGCUGCGAACUCCUUGUGGGUCAUGAUCCUCACGACAUUGCACGAUGAAACCGACUCUGUAGGUGUCAUAGAUCGAUGCUCUGGAAAGCUUAUCGAUCGGUUCUGGUUGAAAUCCGUCGAUCGAUGUUCAAAUUCUGACAUCGAUCGACAACAAUGCGAUCCGCCAAAACUCAUCGAGCAUUCUACUUUGAAAUCUCCUUCUUGAAGCUUCUCAUGCUUCACCACUUGCCAGAAAUCAUCAUCUAUGAUGGCAUUCACAUGGUGCUUCAUUGCAUCAUCUCAUAUCCCCCUUGCUAAAGCUUCUUGCCUCUUAACAGCUUCUCAUGUCUGAACUACCUGCAUCUCCAGCUUCUUCGCAUGAGAGCUCAAAGUCUCAAACUUUGUGGUCAGGUUGUUGUAGACAGAAUCAAUCUUCCCAUUGAAAUCCACCGUCAGGUUCUGCUGUCCUUCAAGGACCCGAUCAAGCAUUGCUUUUAUUUUGCUCUCUUGAGUCUGUGGUGGUGGUUUCUUCUAAGAUGAGUUUCCAUAACUCAUGCUGUUGUUGCUGAUGUGGUUGUGGUUGUAGGGUUUCUGGUACUGCGAACUCUGGUUGAAGUUACUCCUCUGUCCAUUGCCAUAGAAGUUUUUGUUUGCACUCUGGUUUCCAGACCUCUGGAAUCCAGUUCCACUGAUGAAGUUCACAUCCUCCUCUCCUUCUGCUUUAUCCUCUGUAUUUGCAGCAUCUGCAUCCCCUACUAAGCAAACAAGCUUCCUGAGAAGCUUGUGAACACUGUCCAACUUUGCUUUCACCUCGUCAAUCUGUUCCUUCCCAAGGAUAGCUGCAGAUUUCCUCCUCUCAAAAUCAGUGUUUUUGGUGCUAUUGCUGGAUGCCAAGUUCUCAAUAAGUCUCACAACAUCUUCUGGAUUCUGUUGAGAUGAGAUCAAUAUAUGGGAAGAGAAAGACAUGAGGAGUUGAGUGGCGUAGUAAUACUAGUUACCCGAGUAACUUCCAAAGGUUAAACCAAAGUUACCCUAGUUAUCCUAGUAUACUAGUUAUACUAGUUACCCGGGUAACUUUGGAUGAAGAAGUGAAGCCCUAUUCCCUUUGCUAAGGCAUCAGACCGUUGCAAGGGAAGAGGAGGCGCAUGUGACAGGCUGGAGAAGAGCUGGAUAAAGCAAAAGGAGCUUUAUGCACAAGGAAGAAGCUCAUUGGAUGGUUUGAAUUAAAGCAAACCUUAUCUCUUGUAAUAGUGCCUCUUUAUGAAACCCUCAUCCUAAUGUUGCCUCCACAUAUGUAUUGUAAACUUUGAUCAGAUUAAUAAUUAAGAAAUUUGAGAUUAUCUCUCUAGACUCUCUCUCUUGUUCAUGAUGAUUCUUAAAUACUCUUAAACAUGAUUACUACCUAAUCUCUCUACAAAUCUCCCAUUAAUCUUUUCUAAUCUACCUUUAAUCUCUCAAUACCUACUCUAUUCUCUAAAAUCAUAUGGUAUCAGAGCCAUGUUGGCUUUGGUAUUGAGAAACAUCGUUCCAUUUUUUUUUCUUUCUCUAGCUCUUGUGUUCUUGUGUUCUUGCUCUUGUGUUCUUGAGUGUUCCGUGAAGCUGUGUGAUAAAGUUGAGUCAUGUGGUGCUGUGCUUUGAGUUCGUGUUUUCUUGAAGUCAGGUACUGUGUGUUCUUCAGCUGAGUUGCAAGUUUGAAGCUUUCUGGUCAUUUCUGGUUCAAGCAAGAGAAGAUGGAGGGAAACAACUUCAGCAAGCUAGUUGCUGUCCCGGUUGCGUUGAAAGGUAGUUCAAACUACCUCUUGUGGUCUCGAUUGGUGAAGACUGCUAUUGGAAGGCUAUGGUUGUGAAGCUACAUCACUGAUGAUGGUCCGGAACCAGUGGCCAAAGAAACUGAAGAAGGUGAAGAGGAAAAGACUCUCACCAAAGCUGAAGCAAAGAAGUGGGUGCAAGAAGACUUGAUGGUACUCUCCGUGCUGCAAGGAUCUCUUGAUGUCCCUCUUCUUGAAGCUUACAGAUACUGUGAGACUCCAAAACACUUGUGGGAGACCCUCUUAAAGACGUUUGGAAACGUCUCCAACAUCAGCCGUGUGUUUGAGCUGAAGAGAGCCAUUAACUCCAUGAAGCAAGAUGGAGGAAGGCUCACCAAACACAUGGGAAAGUUUGGAUCAUUAUGGUCUGAACUUGAAAGUCUAAGACCUAACACCACUGAUCAAGCAGCUCUUAUGGAAAGAAGAGAACAAGAUCAAGUGUUUGGGUUGUUGAUGACAUUGGAUCCUUGCUACAAGGAUGUCAUCAAACACAUCUUGAGAUCGCCUAACCUACCAUCCAUGGAGGAAGUAUGCGCGCAACUUCAGAAGAAAGAGGGAUCUCUUGGUCUGUUUGGAGGCAAGGGUGAGCUCACUAUGGCUCAUCAAGCUGAAGGAAUGAAGCAAACAAGGCUGCAUACAGAGGCUCAGGAAGGAAGUAUGAAAAGUAUGAGGGAAGCUGUGAGCAUUGCAAGAGGACCAGUCACAAGAAGAGUGAGUGUUGGAUCCUACAUCCUCACCUCAGGCCACGCGGGUUCAACAGGGAUAGGGAAGCAAAGGCUCAUCUUUCUUCUGAAGCAAAUGGUGCUGGUUCAUCCGGAGCUAGCUCAGGCGCUAAGGUGGGUGAAAGUGAAGGUAGAGCCUUGGCAUCUCAUCAACUAAUUGGAAAGGGUAUGGAUCAGGAGGUAUUCAAGAGAGCUGACCUUGAAGUCUUCUUCAAAGCUCUUAAAGAGUCUGGUAACACUUUCAGAAACACCCUUGGAUACUCAUAUGCUGCUCAUACAUUGCCUAGUACUACUGAUAAGUUACUAGACAUGUUUAAAAGCUCUUACACUGCUGCUAGUAAUCCUAGUAAUACUGAUAAGUUACUAGACAUGUUUAAAAGCGCUUACACUGCUACUAGUGAGCCGAGUAUAACUAGUAAGAUGUUAGGAUUACUAGGAAACCUGAUAAAACAAAAUGAACCAUCAAGUACUGAGAUUACUAGAAACAUGCAUAAACCUUUGAUCAUUGAUUCCAGUGCAUCCCAUCAUAUGAUUAGUGAUAAUAACCUGAUUAAAGACAUAGAACUGGCUCAUGGACAUGUUAUGAUUGCUAAUGGAGAUAGAAUUCCUAUUAGAGCAAUUGGUAAACUGAAACUGUUUAAUAAGGACUUUAAAGCAUUUUUCAUGCCUGAGUUUACUUCUAAUCUUUUAUCUGUCAAAAGAUGCACCACUGAUCUUCAAUGCAAUGUUAUCUUUAGUCCUGAUGAUGUUAAGUUUCAGGAUAUUAAGAGCAGUAGGUUGAUUGGGCAAGGAGCAACCAAAGGAGACCUUUAUAUGCUUGAAGAUCUUAGUCCCAUCUCUAGUUCUUGCUUCUCAUUUAGUUAUGUUUCUUCCUUAAGUAAAGAUGCAUUGUGGCAUGCUAGACUUGGACAUCCACAUGUUAGGGCUUUAAGCAUUAUGUUACCAGGUGUCAUGUUUAAAAAUAAUGAUUGUGAGGCAUGUAUUUUGGGCAAACAUUGUAGGACUGUGUUUCAAAGAUCAUCCACUAUUUAUGAGAAUUGCUUUGAUUUGAUUCAUUCUGAUGUUUGGACUGCACCUUUUUUUAUCUAGGGAUGAUUAUAAGUAUUAUGUCACAUUCUUUGAUGAAAAAUCCAAAUACACGUGGUUAACACUCAUUAAAACAAAAGAUAGGGUUCUUGAUGCAUUUAAAAAUUUUCAAAGCUAUGUUACUAACCAUUAUCAUGCCAAGAUUAAGAUUUUCGGGUCAGAUAAUGGUGGGGAAUACAUAGGCCACGCAUUCAAAGAUCAUCUAGCUCAACAUGGGAUUCUACAUCAGACUAGAUGUCCUUACACUCCACAACAUAAUGGAGUUGUUGAAAGGAAAAACAGACACCUCAUGGAAGUGGCUCGUUCAAUGAGAUUCCACAAGAGUGUCCCUAAGAGAUUUUUGAGUGAUGCUGUGAUGACUGCUUGCUAUCUGAUCAACAGGAUACCAACCAGAAUCCUAGAGGAUCAGUCUCCAUUUGAGGUACUCAACAAGAGUCGACCAGUUCUGGAUCACUUGAGGACAUUUGGGUGUGUGUGCUAUGUACUGGUGCAAGGAGAGAUGAGAAACAAACUUGAAGCAAAGAUCACCAAGGCUAUGCUUAUUGGAUAUUCCGCAUCUCAAAAGGGAUACACGUACUUUGAUCCCACUGCUGGAAGAGUCUUGGUGUAUAGGGAUGUGAAGUUCAUGGAAGAUAAAGGGUAUUAUGAAGAGAAGAAUUGGGAGGAGCUUGAAGAGCUUUCUCAACCAUCAGAUAGAGCUGCUAGUUUGAGAAACAUACUAGAAGAGCUUGGUAUUGGCGUGUCCCAGGAUCAGAGCAGGCGUGAAGAGCCUACUCAAGUGGCCGCUGAAGAACCAUCCCACUUUGAACAUGAGGGGGGAAGUGAAUCUGAAGCUGAAGGGUUAAAAGAUCAAGGCUCAGAAGAAGCUGGAGGUCUAGAAGAUCAAGGCUCAGAUUCUCCUGUCCAAAGUGGAGAUGAAUCAGUAAGAGAAGUUCAGAAUGAAGGUCAGGAAGCUGGAGAAGAAAUCCAGAUACAAGAAGAAGCUGUUGAGGAACAAGUAGAAGUUCCUUUGAGAAGAAGCACACGGGUAAGGAGGGAUGCUUCCGAGUGGGCAAACACGAGAAACUGGGUAAACACGAGAGUGUACUACAAUGCCCAGGCUGUGGAGCAUCCUUCCCAAGCUGUGUGCUCAUUUGCUGAGUUUCCGGAAGAGCACUACUCCUUUAUGGUAAGCUUAGAUGAAAGCUAUGUGCCAAGAAGCUAUGAAGAAGCAAUUCUGAUUCAAGAGUGGAGGGAUUCAGUCAAUGAUGAGGUUGAUGCCAUGAUUAGAAAUGAUACAUGGUAUGAGAGUGAGUUGCCUAAGGGGAAGAGAGCUGUGUCAUGCAAGUGGAUCCUCACCAUCAAGUAUUUACCUAAUGGGAGGAUUGAUAGGCGUAAGACAAGGCUGGUAGCAAGAGGUUUCACACAAACCUAUGGAGAGGAUUAUAUUGAUACUUUUGCACCUGUUGCAAAGCUCCAUACCAUUAGGAUUGUACUAUCAGUUGCAACCAACCUUGGGUGGGAUCUUUGGCAAAUGGAUGUGAAGAAUGCUUUCCUCUAAGGAGAGCUAGAAGAUGAAGUCUAUAUGCUACCACCUCCGGGUCUUGAAUGAAUGGUAAAGCCAGGAAAUGUUCUUAGACGGAAGAAAGCCGUCUAUGGAUUGAAACAAUCACCUAGAGCAUGGUACAAUAAGCUAAGAACAACACUGAAUGGUAGAGGCAUCAGGAAGUCCGAGCUUGAUCACACCCUAUUUACCCUCAAUACUCCCUCAGGCAUCAUUGUUUUGCUUGUGUAUGUGGAUGACAUCAUCAUAACAGGCAGUGAUAAGGAAGGAAUCCGAGCCACCAAGGAGUUUCUGAAACCAGUAUUUGAUAUAAAGGAUUUCGGAGAGAUGAAGUACUUUCUUGGGAUUGAGCUGUGCAGAUCCAAGGAAGGGUUAUUCAUCUCUCAAAGGAAGUAUGCAUUGGAUCUCUUGAAGGACGCUGGUGCAUAUGGAGGGAGAACAGCCAAGAUGCCCAUGGAAGAUGGGUACAAGGUUCCACGUGAGGGGGAGAUUGAAGACAGCAAGUUGUUCUAUGAUCCAAAGCUGUAUAGGAAGCUUGUGGGGAAGCUGAUAUACUUGACUAUCACCAGGCCAGACAUAUGCUUUGCUGUUAACCAAGUAAGCCAGCAUAUGCAAGCUCCACGAGAGCAUCACUGGCGCAUGGUGGAGAGAGUUCUCAUGUACCUGAAUGGAACUCAAGGGCUUGGUAUAUGGAUGGGAGUCAAUAAGAGCACUAAAGUUGUGGAUUAUUGUGAUGCUGAUUGGGCUGGAGAUAGAGCAGAUAGAAGGUCUACAACCGGCUAUUGCACUUUCAUUGGUGGAAACAUGGUUACUUGGAAGAGUAAGAAGCAGAAGGUUGUAUCAUGCUCUAGUGCUGAAGCUGAGUAUAGAGCUAUGCUAAAGCUUACCAACAAGUUGGUAUGGAUCAAAGGGAUUCUUAGGCACUUGGAGAUUGAGCAAGCAACACCAAUGACUAUGCAUUGUGACAAUCAGGUGGCUAUUCACAUUGCUACAAACUCAGUGUUUCAUGAGAGGACAAAGCACAUUGAAGUAGACUGCCACAAGGUGAGGCAGAUGAUAGUCUUGGGAGUGAUCUUGCCGUGUUAUACAAGAAGUGAAGAUCAGUUGGCAGAUGUGUUCAACAAGGCAGCAAGACAAAAGACUAUGGUUACUUGGAAGAGUAAGAAGCAGAAGGUUGUAUCAUGCUCUAAUGCUGAAGCUGAGUAUAGAGCUAUACUAAAGCUUACCAACAAGUUGGUAUGGAUCAAAGGGAUUCUUAGGCACUUGGAGAUUGAGCAAGCAACACCAAUGACUAUGCAUUGUGACAUUCAGGUGGCUAUUCACAUUGCUACGGUCGCUGCGUAGCAACCCUUUUCGUGCUCUUUUCCGAUGACUCGCGUUUCCUCCGCAAAGCUUUUCGUAAAGAAGAAUCUAUUUCGAAAAAGUAUUGUCGAAGAAGGCGCAGAUGUGUUCACCAAGGUAGCAAGACAAAAGACUAUGGAGUCCAUUCACAUCAGAUUGGGACUCAUAGAUCUUGGGAAGAGAAGGAGCUGAUCCCCUAAGUCAUGAGGUCUUUUCUCUUUUUCCCUCAUCAAGGUUUUGUCCCAAUGGGUUUUCCUUGGUGAGGUUUUUAAUGAGGAAGAUCUCAUGGCUAUCCAAGCUUAGACUUUCACAAAGCUAAGCUUGAGGGGGAGUGUUGAGAUGAGAUCAAUAUAUGGGAAGAGAAAGACAUGAGGAGUUGAUUAUGAUGAAGAGGCCAUACAUGGCGUAGUAAUACUAGUUACCCGAGUAACUUCCAAAGGUUAAACCAAAGUUACCCUAGUUAUCCUAGUAUACUAGUUAUAGUAGUUACCCGGAUAACUUUGGAUGAAGAAGAAAAUCUCUAUUCCCUUUGCUAAGGUAUCAGACCGUUGCAUGGGACGAGGAGGCGUGUGUGACAGGCAGGAAAAGAGCUGGAUGAAGCAAAAUGAGCUUUAUGCACAAGGAGGAAGUUCAUUGGAUGGUUUGAAUUAAAGCAAAUCUUAUCUCUUGUAAUAGUGCCUCUUUAUGAAACCCUCAUCCUAAUGUUGCCUCCUCAUAUAUAUUGUAAACUUUGAUCAAAUUAAUAAUUAAGAAGUUUGGGAUUAUCUCUCUAGACUCUCUCUCUUGUUCAUGAUGAUUCUUAAAUACUCUUAAACCUGAUUACUACCUAAUCUCUCUACAAAUCUCCCUUUAAUCUUCUCUAAUCUACCUUUAAUCUCUCAAUACCUACUCUAUUCUCUAAAAUCUUAUUCCUAGUGUUGAAGUUCCCUUCGCUAGACGCAUUAAGAGCCAUCUGAUACUACACUGUGAUGCCGCUAAAUAAAGUGCUGAGCAGCUGCACUUCAUUGAAUCCAUGGUGUGGACAAUCUCUUUGGUAAGACUUGAAUCUGAUCCAGGAGCUUCUGAAUGACUUUGUAGGCUCCUGCGUAAAUGUAGCAAUCUUUCUCCUCAAGUCUUCAGCACGCGCCUCAUCAAAGAAGUUACACAGGAAUGCGUUCUUGAUGUCGGCCCAGGAUGUAAGAGAUCCUGGUGGAAACUGCUUAAUCCAAUGUGAAGCCUCUCCAGCAAGUGAGUACUUGAAGAGCAUGCAUAAUAGGUAGUCCUCAUGGACUCCAUUGACUUUGAAAGCAGAUAUAAGAUCCUCGAACCUCUCCAGAUGGUCCAUAGGAUGCUUGUGAGGUAACCCACAUUAAGGUGUCUGUCCCACGAGUGUGUAGUACUGCGGCUUCAACUCGAAAUCACCAUUCUCAUCUCGUACAAUAACUAAAGUUGCAACCAUGUCUCGCGGCUCAGUAUCGAUUGAUAUUCGGGAUGAAGUAUUGAUCGAUGUCGGAUGGAAGAUAUCGGUCGACGGAAGAGUAGUUUCGGUCGAUGGUGGUGAGCGAGUGUCGGUCGACGAAAUUGGUGUUUGGGUCGACGGUGGUUGGCGAGUGUCGAUCGACGAACUAGUGUUGUUGUCGAUCGAUGAGGAGCUUCUUCCUUUGCGGAUCAAACGUUCCAAGCUUGCAGGAUCUGAUGAGAAUAGCAGUGGUGUUUCUUUGUUGCUUCUUGUACUGCAUGGCAUGCACCUGAAAAUACAAGAAAAAAAAUUUAUGUCAGAAAGAGGUUUAAAGAAGUAACCUAGACUAAAUCAGACUAGAUCUAUAGGGGAUCAAAGCUACCCGGCAGAAGCGUCAAAUUUGAUCUCACUCAAAUUACCAUAAGGAGUAAAUUAUUCUCUCAAAUAAGAGGUUCAAUUGUAGUACUUAGGGAUCGAAUCCACAAGGAGCUAGGGAACCUAAUAAAUCUAAUCAGGGUGAUUAAGCUAGGUUGAUUAUGUUUAAAUGUAGAAAACAAGUUGUGAGCAAGGUACUUUCUCGGUUGGUUUGAUUGAGUUUUGAUACUUAAAUGAAAUAGCUAGACUUAGGGUUUCUAUUCAUGUAAUCAGGAUUAUAGUCAUACAGAUGCUUAACAGUUGUAUGUAUGAUAUUAUAGAGCUCAAUCACUUAAGAACAUACCAAUCGGCUUUCGCUUUCUAGGUUUGUCUAUUGACCAGAUCUAAUGGUCUCAACAGUAGGUUGAACCAAUUAGAAAGUGUCGAUCGAUGACUCUAGAGGAAUAUCGAUCGAUGCGCUCUUAGUCAAGCUUUACGCGCGGGUUGAAUAAUUCUCACUAGGCUUACUAGAUCAGAUUUCGUCUUACUCUAGCAAUCCUACCUCAAUUAGGGCGGAUUCAGGGUGAGAUUCAAGUAUUAACUUGUGCCUACAACUCCUAGGUCAAGGUUCUAGCUAGCUAAACUAGAAACAUGCAUUAAUGACAAUCCUAUUGGUAAAUAUUACAACUAGCAAUCUAUAGUUGGGGUUAAUCCCUCAUAACUUAUUUGAACCCUAAACAUAACAGUAGAACUACUCAGACAUAGCUAAGCAAUUCAUAGCAACAAUAAGGUAUAAAACUGCAUAGAUAUAGAAUAGAAAAUAAUGGAGUUCCAAAUCACAAAUCUCUCUGGAUCUUCUCUCCAACUCUACUAAAUCCUAGAAAACCUUUUGCUGUGAAAACAAGAGAACAAAAAAGCACACCUUGCCUAAAACACAUUGGUAAGCUAUAAAUAUUAGGUUAAAAACUCGUAAGGGGCAAUCUUAUAAUUUUGUGAAAUCUUGGGCUCUAAGUCGGCUGGAACCAAACGGGCUUAUGUGCUCUUCGCUGUCAAUUGAUGUCACAAGGUGUGCAUCGAUCGAUUAUUUCCUCUGAAUGUCGACCUCUGGUCUUUCUCGAUGGUUAGCUCAGAUGUUCUCUCCUUUUAUCUCUAAAAUUCUCCAAAAUCAUUAUUUUCUUCCAAAUCACUCAUGAACCUAUAAAUAUACUAAAUAGACUAUAAAACAUAGUAAUUAGUUAUUAAAAUACUUAAAAACCAUGGCUAAAAGUGGGUAAAAUCCAUGGCCUAUCACUUGAUGACAUGCUUGAUGAGCUGCAUGGUUCCUCUGUUUUCUCUAAGAUUGAUUUGAAAAGUGGCCAUCACCAAAUUCACAUGAAAGAAGGUGAUGAAUGGAAAACUGCAUUUAAAACUAAGCUAGGGUUGUAUGAGUGGCUUGUCAUGCCAAUUGGUCUUACUAAUGCACCUAGUACAUUCAUGUGUUUGAUGAAUCAUAUCUUGCGGUCCUUUAUUGGCCAUUUUGUUGUUGUCCACUUUGAUGACAUUCUUAUUUACAGCAAGAAUCAUGAUGAUCAUAAGUUGCAUUUGAAAUCGGUUCUUGAAGUCCUUAGGAAAGAAAGGUUGUUUGGAAAUCCUGGUAAAUGCUCUUUUGUAACAGAUCAUGUGGUGUUCCUAGGUUUUGUUGUAGGUGCUGAUGGACUCCGGAUGGAUGAGGAAAAGAUCAAAUCCAUCCGUGACUGGCCUAGUCCGACGACCGUUGGUGAGGUAAGGAGCUUUCAUGGCUUAGCUGGGUUCUACCUGAGGUUUGUCCAGAAAUUCAGUACUAUAGCAACCCUACUCACGGAAGCGAUCAAGAAGAAUGUUGGGUUCAAAUGGGAACGAGCUCAAGAGGAGGCAUUUCAGAUUCUUAAAGGGAAUUUAACUCAAGCUCCUUUGCUUACUCUUCCUGAUUUUUCUCAAACUUUCAAAAUUGAAUGUGAUGCCUCAUGCGUGGGUAUAGGUGCUGUCUUGAUGCAUGAUAAGAAACCCAUUGCUUACUUCAGUGAGAAACUUGGAGGAGCCAUGCUCAAUUACCCCACUUAUGACCAGGUGUUGUAUGCUUUAGGGAGGGCUCUUCAAACGUGGCAGCAUUGCCUAUGGCCGAAGGAGUUUGUGAUUCACACGGAUCAUCAAUCCUUGAAACAUCUCAAGGGCAAUCAGAAGUUGAACAAGAGACAUGCAUGUUGGGUCGAAUUCAUUGAAACAUUUCCUUAUGACAUCAAAUAAAAACAAGGUAAGGAAAACGUGGUGGUUGAUGUCUUGUCUAGAAGGUAUGCUCUUCUUUUAGCCCAUGAAACUAAGUUGCUGGGUUUUGAAUUCAUCAAAGAUUUGAAUGCAACUGAUCAGGAUUUUAAAGAGGUUUUCAGAAAAUGUUCCAAGGCGGCUUAUGGAAAAUAUUAUCAAAUGUUUGGAUUCUUAUUCUUUGAUAACCUUUUGUGUGUGCCCCAAUGGUCUUUGAGGGAGUUGUGAGAUAUUGCAGAAUCAAGAAAACACACAAGGUGGUUCAUGAGCACUUCUCUUGGCCGAGCCUGAUUAAGGAUGUGGAACGGAUCUGUGACCGAUAUGUGGUCUGCAAGAAAUCCAAAUCCAAGGUGAAAAGUCAAGGUUUGUACUCAGCUUUACCCAUUCCAUCUCUUCUUUGGGUCGAUAUAUCUAUUGAUUGUGUGCUUGGACUGCCUAGAUCUAAGGCCGUAAGAGAUUCUAUCUUUGUGGUGGUUGAUAGAUUCUCUAAGAUGGCUCAUUUCAUACCUUGUCAUAAAAUUGAUGACGAUGUGCAUGUUGCCGAACUGUUCUUUAAAGAUGUUGUUAGAUUGCAUGGUAUGCCUAGAACGAUUGUUUCAGAAUGAGAUGCUAAGUUCCUUAGCUAUUCCUGGAAAACAUUGUGCUCUAAGCUGGAAACCAGGCUGUUAUUCUCGACCACUUGUCACCCCAAAACUGAUGGACAAAAUGAGGUUGUGAACCGGACCUUGUCUGCUUUGGUUAGGUCCUUGGUUAAGAAAAAUCUUAGGCUUUGGGAAGAAUGUUUGCCUCAUGUUGAAUUUGCAUAUAAUCAUUCCAUGCAUUCUUCUACUAAGUUGUCUCCACUUGAUCUUUUGCCUUUGCCUUUGAGUGAAAGAGUUAGUACAAAUGGCAAAAGAAAGGCGGAUACUAUUCAGAAGUUACAUGAGCAGGUUCGUGCCAACAUUGCAGCCAAAACAAUGGUUUACACAAGAAAAGCCAACAAGAAAAGGAACAAGGUCGUUUUUGAGGAAGGAGAUCUUAUUUGGGUUCACCUAAGGAAAAAAACGGUUCCCAGAAGAGAGAAAGUCCAAAAUCAUGCCCCGGGUCUAUGGGCCAUUUCCGAUCCUUCGGAAAAUCAGUGAUAAUACUUAUCAGCUUGAUUUACAAGGUAAGUACGAAAUCUCUUCAAGCUUUAACGUUUCUGAUUUAUCUCCUUUUCUUGCAGAUAAUCCAGAUUUGUGGAAAACUCCUUUUGAGGAGGAGGGGAAUGAUGCACCUCAGUACAUAGAACCGAACCAUGAUGAAGAUUAGACUGUUCAGAUCAAUCCAACCGAGGUUUUCCAUUGGACCGUGCUGAUCGUACCGCCCCAUCCGUUCAUGCCGUCCGAACCGACCGCGUUGUUUAUCGUCUGGACCCGCGUACGUCCAGAAUGGAGCUUAGGCCAGUCCCACGUCCUACACCAAAAGAAGACCUUUGGCCUACUGUCCAGGUUCAUCCCAACCAGCUGUGUCCAAAUCGGUAAGGAUCAGUGCAUGCGUGGGACAAUCAGUACGGGCCGCCGAACGUUCUGAUCAGUCAAGUUGAUAUGAUCAUGGACCAGUCAAACAAAGAAGAUAAUGAGAGCAUGGAUGAUCCAGCUGAUGGAGGAGCUCUACCCAUUUCUGAAGUCCUAUGACUCGAGUCAGAAGCAAGCAACUCAAAAAAGUCGAUUGAGUGUUGGUGUGUAAUAUCCAACUUCUGGUGUGUAAUAUCCAGAGUCUAAGGGCUUCUUAUUUGGUGUGUCAUAUCCAGAUCAGUCGCCUAGGAGUAUCAAGAGAUCAUCCAUCCCUCUUGUGUCACCAUUCGAUCCACAUACCUUGAGAAACUUGAGUCUUUUGAUUCGUUUCUGCAAGGAUUAUCCCUUCUGUUCCAGAGCAUCAUCCUAGGAUCUCAUUAUGUGGUAUCAGAGCAACUCUGGAACGGAAGUGUUAUGAUUUCUAACUGUUGUCGAUUUGAUCUCUCCAUAUUCUGUUUUGAUUUUGAUCGAUCUGUGUUUCUAUUGUUUAAAUCUGUUAGAUCUAAGUGUUUUGAUCACGAAUCUGUUGAAGUCUCUUCAUAUACUCUUUGAUUUCGUGUUGAUCUGUGUUCCUUGUGAAGAAAUCUAUCGAAUUUGGCUUAAUUAGAUCUUGUUUUGGGUAUUAGACUGUUCGGAUCCUUGUUCAUCAAGUUAUCCGAUUGCUUGAUCUGAAUCUGUUUGUUGAUUGCAGUCGAUCUGUUCUUAUUGUUUUAGAUCUGUUCUUGCUUGAUCUAAAUCUCAUCAUCUGUUAUCAUAUCAUCUCUGAUCGUGUGUUGAUUGAUAUUUUGAAACCUAAUCCGUGUAGUGCAAGUUUGAUUGAUUUCGUUUUGAUAUUUUUGUUUUGAAAAAUCUGUGCUUGAAUCUGAAAUCGAAAUCUAUCUCUCCAUUUUUUUUGUUCUAGUUUCGAAAUCAAUCUGAUCUGAUAGGCUUAAGAUUUCAAUUCUGUUCUGAUUAGUUUUGAUCUCUUUUAAAUCAUUGGUUGAGUUUGAAUUUGUUCUGAGAAUUGUCUAAAGUUUUAAGCUUCAAUUUGAAUCUCUGAUUUUGCAAAUUGGUUGUUUGUUUUCUCUGUAGAACUAUUUACUGGCUUAGUCUUUCUCUUGUCUCAGGUACCAUGGCAGGAGAUCAAAAAGGAGAACUCAGCAAGAAAGAAAAGCUUUUUCUUGAAGAAUUCACAGCCAGUCUGUAUAAAGCCUGCAAAGAUCAAAUGAGAAAAUUCAGACAACACAUACAUCAGCAAAGGAAAGGCAGAUCAUCCAGAGAUGAGUACAAGAAAAAGGAGUUUGAUCAGAUGGACAAAAACCGGAAGCAUGCUGGAUUGAAAUAUCAAAUUCCUUCUUUUCAUGGCAAGGCUGAUCCUGCUGCAUAUGUGGAAUGGGAAGAGAAGAUGGAGUUGAUUUUCGACUAUCAAAGCUAUGCUGAAGUAAGGAAGGUUCAAUUAGCCACUGCUGAGUUUUGUGGUUAUGCUUCAAGCUGGUGGAAGCAAUUGGUGUCGUCUAGGAGACACUAUGGAAAAGAACCUGUUGCAACCUGGCUUAAAUUAAGGGCUUUGAUGCGUCAUAAGUAUGUUCCAAGACAGUACCACAAGGAAGUGCUUCGAAAACAGUCUGAAACAAAGCCAUGCUCUGCAAACUCAGUCCAGGAACAACAAGGCAGGAUCAGAUCAAGAUCAACCGGUGUUAUUGGUUUACCUAGCAAGACAACGAGCUGGUUCUGUGAGGAGGACAUAAAGAAGCUGUCUCAAGUGAUUAUGGAUGUGGAGAAACAAUUCAGGGAGACCCACACUACACGUCCAUCCUUAGAAGAACAGAACCAGGAGUUAAUCACUUCAGUCUCAGAACUUAAUUCAGCAGAGCCGGUAUCAGCUACAUCUAUUCAAGGAGAUCAAGCCAAAGAAUCAUCAGCUGCCAUUCAGAAAGAUGAGCAGCCUGUUCAGAACGUCAUGGUUCCUUUCAAACAAGCCAUAGUACCAGAAGAGACACCCAGGGAACCACAGACAGCUUGCAAAAAGAGACAACUGAUUGUCUUUGACCCGUGUGAUUUCCAAAAGACAUUCUUGGGUAUUUUUCUGUUCAAUCCCUUUGUCUGGAACAAGACCAGAGCAGUAGAGCUUUCAAGACACGAACUGGGCAUGGAACAUGUUGUAUUUGAGCCUGGAGGAGAGUUGUGGAAUCACAGGAACAAUCCCAUAGUGAUUGAGAAGAAAUCGGCAGCAACAACAAUUGUUUUUGGUGAUCUUUUACCCUCUGAAGCUAAAGGGAUGCACGUCUCAGCUCAGCAAGAUUUUCACUACGAAACCAAUUGGAGAAUGUUACCAACUCUUUCCUGGAUCCAACAAACCGGAAAACGCAGCAAAUGGCCACCUGAUCAUCAAGAUAUUGUCAAUUCCGCAAAACAUAUCGGUUUAGCCAAAUUCUGUGAGCUGCUUAUAUCAGAUUGGGCUGGAAGGUUACAGAUCUACUUGUGGAAACCUGGAGCAUAUGACAGCACACUUAUCAUCCUUGGAGAGUGCUCUGCUCGUGCUAGAACCAGCUUGGGUAAUAAGGAGUUGGAAGCUGAUCAAAAUGCCUUGCUUCUUGAUCAUGUCAAGGUGUGGAAGCCACCAGAUUUGCAAAAGCUUCAAUACCAUUUCAGAGAUUGUAAAACCAAGAGUGGAAAUGGAGAUUUCACUAGAGAAAAUGGUGAAGUGAUUACUGGAGCAGGAGGAAAACUCAUGUUUUCUUCUCAAAUCAAGGAGAAACCACCAAAUGGACUCAGUCUAAAACAAUCUCCAAAUAAACCAACCCGAGGAAAUUAUCUAGAUUCAAAGAAACGCAUGAAACCUGAUUUGCUUUCUAUCGGUACAGGUCAAACAGUUUUGCGUGCUAUAAUUUCCGAAAGGAGAAACUAUGGUAAUGAUUAGAGUACCAAGAAUGGAUCCUUGGCUAAAUUGGAGAUGCAACAAUCAAAUCUUGGAAGCUGUCUAGCCGCCAGCUUUGACAUAGGAGCAGUCCGAGGAUCAUAUCUCAGCAACCAGAAGGAAUUAAGAAACAAACUCAACGGCAAUGGAAACCUAACUCAUCAGGGUCUCACGUCGAAUUGAAAUCAGGUCCAAAGCUUCUCAAAUGCAAGAGUUAUGGGUUCUACAAGUCGGUUGAUUCUGUGUUUGCUUUGUCUAAACUUUUCUGAGUUUAGAACAUCUCAAUCCUAUCUAUGGCGACCAGGUGAGCAUGCUAAGGUAACUAAUCAUGUUUUCAAGAGUUAUUUUAUUAAUUACACAGAUAUGAUGCACUUGUUUUUGUCAAAAGAAUCAUGUGCAGAUUAUAUGGAAGCUUUGAAGCAUGCAAAGACAAAGAACAAGCGUGAGGUAGACAAACGUUUCAAGCCACCUGAUCUAAGCCAGGAGAGACAUCAGGACGUCACUUGCUUCAUCCUCAUCAAAGAAGCACCUCCAGAUGCAGCAUACAAGCCAAAACCGAGAAAAUACAACUUUGGGAUAAGACUCUUACUCUAUGAUGAUUUUGCUUGUGUUCACUUGUUUUGUUUCAAUGUAUCAGGUUUAAGUAAUGCCUCAGGAGUAAGGAGAGCCAAAUGGCCCUUCUACAUAAUAGAACCAGUCAGCAACAAUGCCUAUCAAAGAGGCUUGCAAGGUAAGUGUAAUCUGAUUAUAAACUUUAAUGUUACUGACUUGGCUCCUUUUGUUGCAGAUGAGCUAGAUUUGAGGACAAAUCCUUUUCAAGAGGGAGGGGAUGAUAUGAUCAUGGACCAGUCAAACAAAGAUGAUAAUGAGAGCAUGGAUGAUCCUGCUGAUGGAGGAGCUCUACAUGGAGGAGCUCUAGCCAUAUCUGAAGGUCCUAUGACUCGAGCCAGAAGCAAGCAACUCAAAGAAGCCAUUGGAGGAUUACUUAAGACAUCACUGAAGCAAGAAGAGAGUCUUGGAAGAAGCUUGAUCAACCAAGACACACUUGCCACAAUUCAAGCCAUCUCAGCUCUAAGAUAGACAUCAAAUGAGCAAGUAACAUAUGUGUGCUCUUUUUCCCUAUCUUUGGUUUUGUCCCACUGGGUUUUCCAAAGAUAGGUUUUUAAUGAGGCCAUAUGUUGCUUUCCUAUCACUCAUUUGAUGAUCUCAGUUCAAGACUUAAUUUUAAUUAUUUAUCUUUGUUGACAUGAAGCAGAAUUAGGCUGCUAGACUUGAGAAUUAAUCUGCCAGACUUGAAAACCCAUAUAAGGUUUUAUAAGGUUUAUUUUUAGGCCCAUUUAGAGACCAAGGAGCCUGUUCCUUGCCUUCUCUAUAAAUAUGUGUCUGAAAACCCUAAUAGAACUAUCCAUCUUUUUAUCAAAAACCCUUGUUUUCUCUUUUCUUCUUGCUUGUCGAGUCGAUUGAGUGUUGGUGUGUAAUAUCCAACUUCUGGUAUGUAAUAUCCAGAGUCUAAGGGCUUCUUAUUUGGUGUCUCAUAUCCAGAUCAGUCGCCUAGGAGUAUCAAGAGAUAAUCCAUCCCUCUUGUGUCACCAUUCGAUCCACAUACCUUGAGAAACUUGAGUCUUUUGAUUCGUUUCUGCAAGGAUUAUCCCAUCUGUUCCAGAGCAUCAUCCUAGGAUCUCAUUACAAGUUGUGUUCCAACGUGACCGAAGUCUUCAGAAAGCUUAAGAAUCCUUGUCUUAGAGAAAUGUCUGAGAAAAAAGACCAUCAUCGCGUCGAACACGGAGGCAAGGUCAUUAGUACGGUUGUCAGGACACCUGGUAUGAACCAAUCUAACCAAAAGAGAGACGUUGUGGUUGUCGUCAGCUUCCUCUCGUUCUAAGUUGAUUAUGGCUCGACCAUCAGUUUUAGCUUGGCGCGUUGGACUGGAAAGGACGCCAGCGGAUCGGUCCGUUCCUUCGUCAGGACGUGGUUUCGGACGUACGCGGGUCCAGACGGUAAACAACACGGUUGGUACAGACAGCAUGAUCGGAUGGGGCGGUACGAUCAGCACGGUCCAAUGGGAAAACCUCAGUUGUAUUGUUCUGAAUAGGGGUGGGCAAAAAAACCAGGCUGUUAUUCUCGACCACUUGUCACCCCCAAACUGAUGGACAAACUGAGGUUGUGAACCGGACCUUGUCUGAUUUGGUUAGGUCCUUGGUUAAGAAAAAUCUUAGGCUUUGGGAAGAAUGUUUGCCUCAUGUUGAAUUUGCAUAUAAUCAUUCCAUGCAUUCUUCUACUAAGUUUUCUCCAUUUGAGGGCGUUUAUGGUUUCAAUCCUUUUGUCUCCACUUGAUCUUUUGUCUUUGCCUUUGAGUGAAAGAGUUAGUACAAAUGGCAAAAGAAAGGCGGACACUAUUCAGAAGUUACAUGAGCAGGUUCGUGCCAACAUUGCAGCCAAAACAAUGGUUUACACAAGAAAAGCCAACAAGAAAAGGAACAAGGUCGUUUUUGAGGAAGGAGAUCUUGUUUGGGUUCACCUAAGGAAAAAAACGGUUCCCAGAAGGGAGAAAGUCCAAACUCAUGCCUCGGGUCUAUGGGCCAUUUCCGAUCCUUCGGAAAAUCAGUGAUAAUACUUAUCAGCUUGAUUUACAAGGUAAGUACAAAAUCUCUUCAAGCUUUAACGUUUCUGAUUUAUCUCCUUUUCUUGAAGAUAAUCCAGAUUUGUGGAAAACUCCUUUUGAGGAGGAGGGGAAUGAUGCACCUCAGUACAUAGAAUCGAACCAUGAUGAAGAUUAGACUGUUCAGAUCAAUCCAACCGAGGUUUUCCAUUGGACCGUGCUGAUCGUACCGCCCCAUCCGUUCAUGCCGUCCGAACCGACCGCGUUGUUUAUCGUCUGGACCCGCGUACGUCCAGAAUGGAGCUUAGGCCAGUCCCACGUCCUUCACCAAAAGAAGACCUUUCGCCUACUGUCCAGGUUAAUCCCAACCAGCUGUGUCCAAAGCGGUAAGGAUCAGUACAUGCGUGGGACAAUCAGUACGGCCGCCGAACGUUCUGAUCAGUCAAGUUGUGUUGCAACGUGACCGAAGUCUUCAGAAAGCUUAAGGAUCCUUGUCUUAGAGAAAUGUCUGAGAGAAAAGACCAUCAUCGGGUCGAACACGGAAGCAAGGUCAUCAGUACGGUUGUCAGGACACGUGGUAUGAACCAAUCAAACCAAAAGAGAGAUGUUGCGGUUAUCGUCGGCUUCCUCUCGUUCUAAGAUGAUUAUGGCUCGACCAUCAGUUUUAGCUUGACGCGUUGGACUGGAAAGGACGCCAAUGGAUCGGUCAGUUCCUUCGUCAGGACGUGGUUUCGGACGUACGCGGGUCCAGACGGUAAACAGCACGGUCGGUACAGACAGCAUGAUCGGAUGGGGCGGUACGAUCAGCACGGUCCAAUGGGAAAACCUCAGUUGUAUUGUUCUGAAUAGGGGUGGGCAAAAAAAUUGAACGGAGUCAAACCGAACCAACCGAAAUCGAUUCAAACCGAACCAAAGUCUAUUUCAGAUUUCUCCAACCCGAAUGGUUUGGUUUAAACCGAACCGAGAAACCGAUAUGUUUUGCAAUUAUUUAAAUUAAAAAUAUUAGUAAUACCAAUAUAGUAAAAUUCUAAUAAUAUACCACAUAUUUUCCAUUUUUCAUUCAUUAACAUAUAUUCUUUUACCCUAAUAUUUAUUCAUCAAAAUAUUUGAUUUGAAAAAACAGAAAAGUUUGUAUGUUUGUAUUUUUGUAUAUGUAAACGUGGAUGUAUAAUCUAUAUCUAGUACCUAAAGCAAAUUUUAUUAAAAACAAAAGUUAUUCUCCAUAGCGUCACAUGGAAAAUGAUUCAUUACAUGCUUUUUAAUAAUGAUAUAAGAGACAUUACUAAUGAUGUUGUUUUUUUUUAGUUAACUUAUGGAAGAUGAUUCAUUUAUUUUAAUUCUUAUAUACUUUUUGUGACUUAAAAAAAAAAUUCUUUCAGUUUAUAUUGAAUUUAGUUCACAUAGUUUAUGUUUACAUAAUUUAUGUUUUAAAACAUAAUUUCACUUAAAAAAAUUAAACUAAAAAGAACCUAAUUAAACUGAUCAAAAAAAUAAACCGAACCAAAUACAAACCGGACCGAAUAUAAACCGAACCGAACACAAACCGAACCGAACCAAACCAAACUAACUAUGGUUUAUUUCAGUUGGAAAAUACUAGAACCGAAUUAACCAAACCGAACCGAUAAAAUAACCGAAGUGCCCACCCCUAGUUCUGAACAGUCUGAUCUUCAUCCUGGUUCGGUUCUAUGUACUGAGGAGCAUCACAAUUACUGGCCACAAUGAGUAUUGUCUUCCAUGCUUUCCGAAUGGACUGAAGCCAUCAGUACAUAGUCCAAGGUACACAUUCCUCUCUCAUAUGCAAAGUCUGGAUAUGUUGAUUGAAAAUGCUUCCACGCUUUUGGUUUGAAGGAAGAAGAUUCAAUGCCUAUGAGAUUGUUCAGAAAAUUAUUCAUGAAGCAGAUUCAUGGUUUAUAGCUGAAGAGGUGGAAGUGAGAAGAUUGGAGGAAGGGAAAAGGGUGGCGCAGGCAGUGGUAAUCAAAUGGGAGCCUCCUCAAGUUUCAUGGUUAAAAUUCAAUAUAGGAAUGCACUGGAAGAAUGAUAUUGCGUCGGGAAAAGCUGCAUGGAUGUUAUGGGAUUCUGAAGGGAAGGUGUUAAUGCACAGUAGGAGAGCUUUAACUGGUUUAAACAACUUGGAAGGAACUGAAGUUUCUUGUGCUUAUGUGGGAGAUUGAUAGCAUGGUAAACCACAUGUUGAACAUGGUGAUUUUUGCGAUGGACGAUGACAUGAUUGUUGGAGCAAUCACAAGACCAAAAGCAUAGCCAUCUUUCAAAGCGAUGGGAGCAAAUAUUUUGUUUACAAUGAGGAAGAUUGAAUGGUGGAGGGUGGUUAAGGAAGUGAAAAUCAGAAAUAGAGGUGCAUUUCGCAUUGCUCAAAGUGUGACUAAAGGAAGAAGAACUCAGUCUUAUGUUGCAGUAGGUUAUCCUUUUUCGCUGCAGGAAGUCUUUGAAAAUGAGAAACGUUUGGCCUCUCUUUUAAUGAAACUGGUUCCCUAGAGAAUUAUUUUUUUUGGUAUACUAGGGGUUUGGAAGUGUUAGCUUGACUGAUUUUAGGAUUGGAGUUAGUAGUGGCUAUGAUAGUGGCUUUUUGUUAAAAAAUGAUGGUUGCAGUGUUAACCUUUAUGGUGAAUGAAAUAUUCAGAUGACAAAAAAAAUAUUUCAUUAUGGUUGUAAUGUUAACCCUUAUGGUGAACAGGAGAGUAUUACCGGUCGAGCCUACAACCCUUCCUUCGAUUCCAGGAAGAUGGUGUUUCACAGAUGGCUCUUGGAAGGAGAAUGAUGUUUUCGCUCAGGACAAGGUUGGCUUAGUACUUUAGAAAGUUUUGCUGGUUUGUUGGGGGCGAGGAAUGUACGAGCUUGUCUAAUUCUUCUGCAUGCGGAAAUGGAAGCUCUACUAUGGGCAAUGGAAUGUAUGAAAAAUUUACGUCAAUUUCAGGUUACGUUUACAACGGAUUGUUAUUAAUUGGUGAAUAUGGUUUCGGAACCAGAGGAAUGGCCAGCAUUUACAAAUUAUUUGGAAGAUAUCAAGAUCCUGAGAGCGAGUUUUAUUCGAUCAGAGAUCAUCUAUGUACCAAGGACGCAAAAUUCAAAGGCAGAUAGUCUAGCACGCAGUGUCAGGAAACAACCGUAUUUCGUCGUUCACAUGGAUCAAGAUUUCCCGGUUUUGUUCACGGAGUCAGUAUGAGUCUGUUUUUGAUGACAAAAAAAAAAAAAAAGUUAACCUUUUUGGUGAAUGAAAUAUUCAACAUCCAGAGGGAGUCUCUGUUUUAAAAAGAAUAUUAAUCUUCUUUUACCGACAUAUGGUUAGGCUGAAACCUAACUUAUGUUUCUAAUUAAAAACAAUAACAAGUGAUUGUUGGUAGAAAGUUUUAGAACUAUAUAACUCAAAUUUUUGGCUGCUUUCCUUUAUCACAACCUACUUGAGUUCGUGCACAUCGACAUAAAGUAGUAAAACCAUGGGUGUUCUGCCUAAUAAGUUGAAAACCCAUUUAAGGUUCUCAUGAAUAGUCAACCAAGAAGAAAUACAAAUAGGUUUACUUCAAAGAAAUCAUUUGUCUCUUUUCAUAAUAAUUUUAUUUAUUGAGGCGUUUGUUAGCCUUCUUGAUUAUGUAACAAAUUAUGGAAAGAUAACGGAAAUGCGUGUUCACGUAUUAGCUCUUCGAUAUCACACAUUCCUUUUGGUGAGGAUAUUAUUUUUUUGUAAAGUGGAGCCUGUAAAUAUAAAUAAGAUAUAAAAAUAGUGAAGACAUAUGGGAAAGCAUCAGGCUAAUGCAUCAAUUUUUAUAAACCAUUCUUAAUCUUUGGUAAGAGAGUUCCUCAAAAUGUAAGGAAAACAAUUAAAGAUAUUUUUGGGAUCCAAAAUAAAGGUGGAAUGGCGGCUCUUACUUAGAGAUCCCAGAAGAUAUUAGCGGAUCCAAAUAUAAAGUGUUUGGCUUUCUUAAGAACAGAUUACAAAACAGAGCAAGUAGCUGGAUAUGGUUAUCAAAAAGAGGUAAAGAAGUGCUAACAUCUAUUUUAAUGGGUCAACAUCAGCCCUAAAGGUCAACACAAGUGCUAAUAAAAUCUAUUUUAAUAGCUUUUUGGACCUAUGUUAUGUCUUUUUAUUUCUCUUGGAGAUCUGCAAAAAUUCUUGCGAGUUCCAUUGCACGUUUUCGAGUCCCCCCUCCCCUCCCUCCUCCAAAGAGAGGAAUACAUUGGAAAAAUGACAAAAAAAAAACUACGCUAAUCAAGAAAAAAAGGAGGAAUUGGCUUCAUAAUGAUUCAUGAGAUUAAUUUAGCUGGCAAAACAGUUUGGAGAUUAGUACAAUUUCCACUCUCUUGUAGCAUGGGUUUUGCGUGGCAAGUACUAUAGACUUAGUUCAUCGUCGCGAGCUGGUGUUAUAGAUUCCCCAUCAUACAUAUGGACUAGCUUAUCUAUUGCAAGGCCUCUGCUGUUAUUUGGGAUUUGACAGAAAAUUCAUUCAAUUUGACAAAAAAAAAUCCAGCUAUGCCAAAUGUCCCAAUAGUCCAUCUCAAAAUGACAAUUAGUGAUCUUAUCAGCAAAGAUUCAAAGGAUUGGGAAGUUGCAAUGUUUAGAACUUUGUAGCAAAAGAAGAUAUACAUUUGAUUAGAAGCUUUUGAUACCACUCAAAUUACCUUAAGGAGUGAUUUAUACUCUCCCAAAUAAGAGGUCGAGUUGUAGUACUUAGGGAUCGAAUUCACAGCGAGCUAGGGAACCUAGGAAAUCUAAUAUGAUUUGUUAAGCAAGAUUGGUUUUAGAGUAUUUAAAUAUAAAUUACAGUUUUUAUAUUGAACGAGUAUUUGUUCGAUAGCUGGUUUGAGGUUUUGGUGCUUAAAAAAAAAUAGUUAGACUUAGGGUUUUUAUUCAGGAAACUUGGGAUUAUAAUCCUACAGAUGCCUAAUGAGUUGCAUGCAUGAUAAUGUAAAGCUCAACUACUUAGUCUACAAGUCCAUCAUCGUUCGCAAUGUUUGGACUCGUCUAUUAACUAGAUCUAUUGAUCUCAACUGUCGUAUUUUGAUUAAUAGAAAGUGUCUAUCGAUAAUCCUAUAGGGAUAUCGAUCGAUACACCUUAUGCACCGCCGAUCGAUUAUUCAAGUGUGAUAUCGAUCGACGCGCUCUAGUCAAGCUUUAUGCGCGGGUUGAAUAACAGCUUACUAAGCUCACUAGAUCAGCUCUCGCCUUGCUCAUAGCAAGAAACAUAGCUCUAUUAGAAUGUUUUCAGGAUGAGAAUAAAGCUCUCGCUUUUAUCAAUCAAAUCCAAGUGCAGGUUCUAGGUAGCUAAUCUAGACAAAUGCAUUAAUGAACAAUCCUAAAGAUGAUUAUCACAAAUCAGCAAUCUAUAGUUGGGGCUAAUCUCUCCUAACCUAUUUAAACCCUAAAAUCUAACAAUGGAACUACUCAGACAUGGCUAAGCAAUUUAUAACAACAGUUAAGAUUAAAAACUUAAUUAGAAUAGUAAAUAGAUAUCAAUGGAGUUCCAAUCACAAAUUAUAACUUUGGAUCUUCUCUCCAAUCUAUCAAAAUCCUAAAAACCUUUGCUGUGAAAAUCUUAAAACUAGAAAAGCACACUUUGCCUCUAACAUGGCGGCAAAGCUUAUAUAAUUAGGGUAAAACUCGUCAGGGGUAAUCUUGUAAAAAGGUGAAGACUUGGGCUUCAAGUUGGUUGUGACCAAACGGGUUUUCUGCGCGCUUCGCUGUCGAUUGAUACAUAGAUGUGAGUAUCGAUCGAUUAUUUCUCUCCAAUAUCGACCGAUGGUCGAGCUCGAUGGUCAUCUCGGGUGCUUGCUCCAAAUAUCUCCAAAACGCUCCAAAAUCAUCAAUUAUCUCCAAAACACUCCUGAUCUUAUAAAUAUAAUAAAUAGACUCUAUAAUAUAAUAGUUAUUAGUAAAAACACCUAUAAACUAUGGAUAAAAAUUGGUCAAAUCCAUAGUCUAUCAACUCCCCCAGACUUACCCUUUUGCUUGUCCUCAAGCAAAACAAACAGGCAGUCUCUCUGAAAGAGGUUUAAAACAGCAGACCCCGGGGGAUGAUCAGUUUCCCUUACGUCAGACCGGGGUCUGGUGCUGUUUUGACCGCUGAUUCUCGUUGAGGACGGGGAGCUCUGGGCUUCUGAUGAUGUCUUGGAGACGGUGGAGCCUAGAGCUCUGAUGUUUCCUGAGAAGGAAGUGGCGUAGGAGCGAGUCCUGAUGCUGGCGCGAAUAGAGUUCGGGAUCUCUAUCUCUGGUACCGAUUCUCGCCUGAUUCUGAAUAUUUUACUUCCUUAAAUAUAGGAGAUUGACUGGGAUCCACUUUGCCAGUGAAGGAAAGAUUUUUGAAUUUUGAAUCUCCCCCAAAAUCUGGAAGUUAAUAGAUUUGCGGCUUUUUCGGGAAUUUUCCCAACGGUUCCUUCUUUAUAGGCUUUCCCUUUCUUCUCUCCCUUCUUAUUUCUUGCUCUCUCAUCGUCGGGGCCUUGAGUCCAGGUAAUUUUUUCUUUCACCUCUCUCUUAGUUCUUCGGGUUUUGGUUAGAUGGAUCAGACCUCUUAUUAGGUUUCCUCGGAUUUUAGCUUUCUCAUCGCCGCGACCCGUUAAAUAGGAACCAUUGGCAUCAUGUCUAAGCGAUCCACUACUUCUGUUCCCAUGGCGGCCGAUAAGGCUAGGUUGAAGAGGAGGAUGGAAUCGCCGGUUUCCCGAUCAGACAGCUCGUCGGAGGCGAGUGAAGGAUCUGAUUACAAUCUGAUGGCUCCAUUGCCUCUAUCCUUUGUUUACACGGCUCCUUCAUUAGUGGGUCAUGCCUCGUCAGUCGGUGAGGAUGAUGAGCUGGCGGAUUGGCGGAGUAGGUACUCGCUUCCUUCUUCCAUUGUUCUCCCAGUUCCCACACCAUAAGAGCGCGCUUCCAGCUACAUCCCGAGGGAAAUCGCCGUCUACAAAGCUUUCUUUGACUCCGGCCUUAGGGGAACGAUUCCUGCUCUGAUUACGGGGUUGUGCAAUCUUUUCGAGAUUUCGCCCUCGCAACUGAAUCCCCCUGCUUGGAGAAUCCUCAUAGCUAUCCAAAACAUAGGUGAUUUGGAGUAUCUCUCCCUUGGUAUUAAUUAGGUCAUGUUUGCGUAUCACUUGGCUCCCCUUUACGGAGGAGAAGGGAGAUUCCAUCUUCGCCCACGCAGCGGUUUGCCGAUUGCGGAGGAGCUUCCAAAGAAUGAUCGGAAGGGACCGGUUUUUAAUAAAAAAUGGAAGGAGAGAAACGCUUUUAUGGCGUUCCCCGGGUCCUCUCAUCGAUGGAAUUUUAAUGGUAGGAGUCGUUUAAUCCUUUUGUUGAUCGGACACCUUUCUGAUCUUGCGUGUUUUUGUUGUGCAGCCGGAACUCAUUCUGCUCCUUCAGAAGGAGAGAAAGCUGUUCUCCGGGCGCGGCAGCUUCCUGCGGAUCGACGUCAGGUUAAUUUCUUGGUCAGCGAGACGGUGCUGCAACGUAGUAGCCUUUGGAGUAAGCACCUCCUUGCCCUAUCCUCUUUUCUCUCAUAAUUCCUUAACGAUUAUUUCUAUUUAAGAGACAUGUCGGGAGGCAGCCUAUCAGGAAGCGGCGAAGGUGAUGUCUGCGAAGAAAGGGUCUAGCAGUAGGAGUACAUCUGGGGACGAGGUGGUGAUUACUGGCAGCCGUCGUUCACCAGUGGUUAAGUUGGAGCCUUUUUCUUCUCUUCCGGGGAAGAGAUCCAAAAGUGGUGGCGUGACGACUCGAUCAGCACAGCAGUCGCUGACAUAGCUCGUUCUGCAGGUAGUUUAGCUACGGCUUUAUCCAACCUGAACUGGAACGUAUUUCCUCAAGAUGGCACUGUCUUGUCUAUAGGAGAUUCCUCAGAGGUGAUCCAGGUUCUUCAAGGAGGGCUUCUCCGGGUAAGUUCUAUUACCUGCCCGCUUUCCUUUUUGGUUUGGUAAUUUGAUCGAGAUCCGCGUUUUGUGCAGACCGUUUCCCAGCUGCACCAUCUUAGGGGGCGACUAUCGGAUGAAGGCUUGCUCUUCCUUCGAGAGGAGGUCGAGGUUUUGAAGCGCCAGGUGUCCGGAGAGAAGGAACAACGUGUGGCCUGGGAAUUCGAGAUACGCGAUCUUAAGCAGAAGAUAAAAUACCUGGAGAAGGUGGCCGAGGCCUCUUCAGCUGAUGCGCUGGCUGUGAAUCAGAAGAACCAAGAGCUGGAGGAAGAUAUCGAGGCUCUGAGGGCGGCGGCAGAGACUUUUAAGUUCGAGAUGGUGAUGGCCGUUAAUGGAGCCAGAGUCAUCGCUCGCUGGGAAUUGAUGAGGAAGUGGCUGAGGAAGCAGAGUGCCCAGUUGGACUUGGUCACGGCGUUGGAACAGUACAUGUCUGUAGUCCGAGAGGAAGCCAGGAGAAAAGGUGCCCCCCUUCCCACUUUCGAGGAUGAGCCUGCUAUUCCGCCGUCUUCUGAUAUGGACAUGGAUUCAUCCGUCAAGCCGAGAGGAUCCCCGACUUAAACUUGUGUUCCCUGUUUUUCCCUUCUUUGACUAAUGAUGUUUGUUUAAACCUUGGUCCUUCGUGGCCUUUAUUAUUUCUUCGAACAAUGGCCAUGUUGUUGCCUUCUUAUUAUCCAGACUCUUGCUUGCUUUAAAUCGAGUCUCUAGAGGUCGUUCUCAUAAUAGGCUAAUAAUCAAGAGUUUGUAUGAGGACCCGGGGAUCAUUGGAGAGGGAGGCGCAGAGGCUCCUUUUAGAUCCUUAAAUUACGUCUGGGACCCGAAGGUCCCUGUUGGACCACGAGAUCUUUUAUCUGGGACCCGGAGGUCCUUUCUCAAGGUCAUGGGAUCGAGACUGGGGCCCGGGGGUGAUGUAGGAAUCCGGAGAUUCCUUAGUUGGAUCCUGAGAUCGUGGUUGAAACCCGGAGAGUUCUAUGAUUUGGACCCGGAGGUCGUGUAAGAAUACAUGGUUUCUUCCUUUAGAUCCGGAGAUCGUAUUGGGCCCCUAGUGUAUCUGGACCCAGAGGUCGUGUGGGAACCCAGAGGUUCUUUAGGGAUGUAAUGACCCCGAUGCGCCCUAGGCUGCACAUGGGUUCUAUCCUUUUUGCUAGAAUUGUAUUAGGCCUUUGAGGCCGUGUUGGAACCCGGAGGUUUGGAUCCGGAGAUCGUUGUUUGGAACUCGAAGGUUCUUUGAAGUUGUAAUGACCCCGAUGCGCCCUAGGCUGCACAGAGGUUCUAACUUCUUUCGGAACCCUGAGGCCGUAUAGGAACCCGGAGGUUCUUCCUUAAACCUUGAGAUCUUUGAUUGGAACCCAGAGGCUAUAGGGGAACCCGAAGAUUCUUCCUUAGAUUUUAUACGUAGGACCCGAAAUUGUUUGGCGAACCCUAGGUUUCCUCUUUGGAUCGGGGGCUCGCAUAAAAACCCGGAGUUCCUUGUGAACCCGGAAUGUUUUUGUUUUUCGCAGGGACCGUACUCCGUCUUCCUAGGCAAGACUACUACCGGUACCUGUUUGGAUUCGCAUUCUUCCGCUUGGAAGCUGGCCACUAUCGAGUUCCUAUGUUGUAUUCUACUUCUGCAGGAAGUCACUGACAUGCUUAAAGGGUGCUGGUGUGGGUGUUGUGACCCAAGUGCCAGGCUCACGCUGCUUUCCACGUCUGGAGAAGCAGGAUUUAGAUUUCUCCUUGUGUUUCACAGUACUUUUGCAAUGAGUAUAUACCAUGUGUUCCCCGUAUCAUAUAGCUCGUAGCGUUUUAAUACAGGUACUUUUCACAUUGGUACUCUGGGGAACCCCAUGCGCCUUAGGCUGCACAGGGGUUUUAGGUAGUUUUGACAACAUACUCAGGCUUGCGCAUACCCAUUCCUACUUUAUGUCUCAUACCCAUUUUGAUUCUUUGUGGGCGUGCCGCUGUGGUCGUGCCACUGUGGUCGUGCCGCUUUUGUGAGGGUUGGCCAAGAUUGGAGGUCUCUGGAGACCUAAUCCAGCUCGUAUGCCCUUUAAGUAUAAUGAUUUCCCUCUACUUUUAUAGUCAGAACUAUUUUAUUAUAAGCUUUGUCCGGAGACGUUUAGCAAACAUAGGACUAGGAAAUAAUAAUGCUUAAAUAGUAUAUAGUAGUAUAGAAAUCAUGGUCCGGAGACCGUAUUAAAAAUGAUAGGCUUUGAGGUGCAGGGCAUUCCCGCAGUUAGGUUGUAUUUUAUCGAGCAGGUCGAGGCUUAGCGCCAUUAGCUCGUUGUUUUCCUCCUGAGAGGUGGAUCCGGAGACCGUUGUUCUUUCGUGCAUCUCUGUAGGUACAAUGGCCUCAGAGCCAUAGACUAGCGAGUAGGGGGUUUCCCCUAUUGCUGUUUGUUUUUGGAGUGGUAUGGUAGGCCCAGAGGACUCCGUGUAGUUCUUCCGCCCACUUCCCGUGAGAGCCCUCCAGUCACUUUUUGAGCAUGUUGACCACUAUUUUGUUUGUGGACUCGGCUUGUCCGUUAGACUAGGUUGUCGGGGUGUGACAAAAGUUAGUUUUAUGACCCAGUCCUUGCAUAACUCCUUGAAGUUGUGGCUUGUGGGGGACCCCGAAGCGAGUGAUUACGUAGGUCCACAGGAACUUGCGGAUCUGGAGAUCUGUUAUGCGGCUGAGCGCUUCUGCUUCGACCCACUUGGAGAAAUAGUCAGUGACUAUCAGAAGGAAGACCUUCUACCCCGGCGCCAUAGGGAAUUUCCCUACUAUAUCCAUGCCCCACUUUCCGAAAGGCCAUGGUGAGCUUAUGGACUUGAGGUUCUCCGGGGGGAGCUUGGAGACUGGAGUGUGCCUUCGGCAUUGGUCGCAGUACUUGGCUUGUCUGUUGGCGUCGGCGGCCAUCGUGGGCAAGAAGUAACCAGCCCUUCUGGCUCUGAGCACCAGACUUUUGCCGCUAGAGUGGGAUCUACAGUCUCCUUCGUGUAGUUCUACAAGGAUUCUAGCGGCUUCUUGGGGUGUGACACACCUUAGGUACGGGCCAGAGAAAGACCUCCGGUGUAGCUUCUCCUGGGAGAUAUGUGGGAACCAAAAUUCACACGUCGAGUUUUGUUAAUCGGAGGAAAGCCAAGUUAACCUAGCCUUCCCUGAAGGUCCCGGUUAUCUGCUGGGCAACGCACAACACAAUCAAUAUGAAAGAUCCGAAAGUAAUAAAUCGUAAAAGAGUGAAAAGAGAACAAAGAGGUCUUAUUUCCGAAUUCGCGUUUGAGCGUGAACAUUAGGUAAGAUCCUAGGCCACGAGAGCGGUCGGUAUGUUCGCUAGUCUAGCCACCUAAGUUCUAACCUAGUCGAGUCGCAGCUCGAUAGUAAAAACGGAAAAAUACCCAAAUUGCUCUAAGUAUUAAGUUUGCUCUUAGAAUGCUCUUCUCUUCUCUUCGUCCUAGGUCCUCCUUAUAUACUCCUCCUUAGGUCAGUUUACCUCUUCUCGGGACGGAUUUGUCGCAAAGCGGGCUUUCCCAUAUUUCCUUCUUCUUUGUGAUUAUCUUUGGAAAUUUGACAUUUAUCUCUUCCCGCGGAUGCGAUAAACCGUUAUACCAGUUUUUGAGUUCAAGUCUUUUGGGACCAAAGAUGGGCCGUGGUCCGCAAUUCGGACCCUCUUUGAGCCGUAUCGAGACUUAAGCAUUUUUACGAUUUUACUCGCGAAGUAGCCGUUGGUAUAGGCAUGGUUCUUCCAACGGAGCCCUGUUUCUUCGCAUAGCCGAGGCAGUUGGUGUUAAGUUAACCGUAACCUGCUCUACUACGAAGAAUAGGAAACUGUUCGAGAGACAUAACCUUCCCAACUUCCUGAAUACUUUCAACGAUGUUUUUUAGACGGAACGAGGGCAAGACCUAGGUUUACUUUCGGCUCUAAGGAUGUGCGACGAUUGAUCGGCUCUCGUUUUGCAUGUGGGCGAUUUCCACCUGGGUUUUUCCGAUUUAAAGUCCGCGACUUCGCGCCGGCUUAUAUGACUUGUAUAGAAUGAACCGAGCACUCUCCAGAGACCGUCUGGAGUGCUGACCAAAAUUUUGGAUUUCUUGUAUAGCGCGCUAUGGUAUCCUCGUUGGAUGUAAGAGAACCUUUACUUUUACGAAAGGUUAGACUACGAGUUCUUUUUUGAGAACGUUUUGGNNNNNNNNNNNNNNNNNNNNNNNNNNNNNNNNNNNNNNNNNNNNNNNNNNNNNNNNNNNNNNNNNNNNNNNNNNNNNNNNNNNNNNNNNNNNNNNNNNNNNNNNNNNNNNNNNNNNNNNNNNNNNNNNNNNNNNNNNNNNNNNNNNNNNNNNNNNNNNNNNNNNNNNNNNNNNNNNNNNNNNNNNNNNNNNNNNNNNNNNNNNNNNNNNNNNNNNNNNNNNNNNNNNNNNNNNNNNNNNNNNNNNNNNNNNNNNNNNNNNNNNNNNNNNNNNNNNNNNNNNNNNNNNNNNNNNNNNNNNNNNNNNNNNNNNNNNNNNNNNNNNNNNNNNNNNNNNNNNNNNNNNNNNNNNNNNNNNNNNNNNNNNNNNNNNNNNNNNNNNNNNNNNNNNNNNNNNNNNNNNNNNNNNNNNNNNNNNNNNNNNNNNNNNNNNNNNNNNNNNNNNNNNNNNNNNNNNNNNNNNNNNNNNNNNNNNNNNNNNNNNNNNNNNNNNNNNNNNNNNNNNNNNNNNNNNNNNNNNNNNNNNNNNNNNNNNNNNNNNNNNNNNNNNNNNNNNNNNNNNNNNNNNNNNNNNNNNNNNNNNNNNNNNNNNNNNNNNNNNNNNNNNNNNNNNNNNNNNNNNNNNNNNNNNNNNNNNNNNNNNNNNNNNNNNNNNNNNNNNNNNNNNNNNNNNNNNNNNNNNNNNNNNNNNNNNNNNNNNNNNNNNNNNNNNNNNNNNNNNNNNCGUUUUUGACCCCAACAGUUAGCCCCCCAGCUAGCUAGGAUCCGUGGACCUGGGUGUUAGGUCCUAGCUUGCGGUAUGGUCUGUUCUAGGUGGAAUUUAGACGUAAUCGUUUGUCGAAAGAUCGAAGGUGAAUAGUAAAAAAGAAAAAAUUGUAUAAGUAAGGGAAGUAAGUUUUUCAAAUUCUUUACUCACUUCUUCCCUUAAGAAAAGAUUUCUCCAAGAUCUCUCUUUGCUCAAAGAAAAUGUCUUCAAGAAAAGGAUCUUCAAAGAGGAAUUCUUCCUCACAAAAACUCGUGGGCGAUUUUCGCGAGUGCCGUGGCUUGGUUACUACCCUCUACGAGUCAUAGAACGAGGACUUCUCUUUUCCUACCGAGGUCGCCGAGAUGUCGGGUCUUAUGAAUGGGUGUGCCCAUGCCGAAUCUUUGGUUCCUCCGAUCGAAGGAAGGGUCCGACAGCUUUAGGUCUCCAUCGAGGUCUCGGAGGACACGGCGGAAGCGGUAACCGAUGUCGGUGAUGAAGGUGCCGGAGUCGCGGACGGAGAGGUGGAUCCGCCCGUGAGCUCGUUCGAGAUCUCCAUGUCCGGGUUCCUCGACUUCGAGCUUUGAGGAUUGUUGGGAUUAUUUCCCUUAGUUUUAUUUCGAGGUUUGACGUAUCUAGGCCGAGUGUGGCCGUAUUUGAUUUAUGUGUGUUAUGGCCUUGCGAGGCUAUGUGAACUAUGUGUUUGAGACCGGCCGUUUGGUGGCUUUGGGUCCUAGCCNNNNNNNNNNNNNNNNNNNNNNNNNNNNNNNNNNNNNNNNNNNNNNNNNNNNNNNNNNNNNNNNNNNNNNNNNNNNNNNNNNNNNNNNNNNNNNNNNNNNNNNNNNNNNNNNNNNNNNNNNNNNNNNNNNNNNNNNNNNNNNNNNNNNNNNNNNNNNNNNNNNNNNNNNNNNNNNNNNNNNNNNNNNNNNNNNNNNNNNNNNNNNNNNNNNNNNNNNNNNNNNNNNNNNNNNNNNNNNNNNNNNNNNNNNNNNNNNNNNNNNNNNNNNNNNNNNNNNNNNNNNNNNNNNNNNNNNNNNNNNNNNNNNNNNNNNNNNNNNNNNNNNNNNNNNNNNNNNNNNNNNNNNNNNNNNNNNNNNNNNNNNNNNNNNNNNNNNNNNNNNNNNNNNNNNNNNNNNNNNNNNNNNNNNNNNNNNNNNNNNNNNNNNNNNNNNNNNNNNNNNNNNNNNNNNNNNNNNNNNNNNNNNNNNNNNNNNNNNNNNNNNNNNNNNNNNNNNNNNNNNNNNNNNNNNNNNNNNNNNNNNNNNNNNNNNNNNNNNNNNNNNNNNNNNNNNGUACAGGAAGGCCAUCGGGUACUCUCUCGAAGACAUUCCGGCGAGCUGGCUAGUGUCGCGGCCGAGCUCGCCGGGCGAUCCGUUUUGGCUGUUCGUUUUCUCGGCUUUUGAAGUUUUGACCGAGAUUCAGUUUUUCAAAGGACUUUCGGACAACGAUUCUGUCGUGACUGAUUUUGACCCCAACAGUUAGCCCCCAACUAGCUAGGAUCCGUGGACCUGGGUGAAUAGUAAAAAAGAAAAAAUUGUAUAAGUAAGGGAAGUAAGUUUUUCAAAUUCUUUACUCACUUCUUCCCUUAAGAAAAGAUUUCUCCAAGAUCUCUCUUUGCUCAAAGAAAAUGUCUUCAAGAAAAGGAUCUUCAAAGAGGAAUUCUUCCUCACAAAAACUCGUGGGCGAUUUUCGCGAGUGCCGUGGCUUGGUUACUACCCUCUACGAGUCAUAGAACGAGGACUUCUCUUUUCCUACCAUCUCGUAGUUCUGCUUUGUUGUUACGGGCGUUCCUACUCGUUAGAUAGGGCCGUUUCUGUUACUUUGGCCGUUGAGGCUUUAGUUAAAUUGGCGACCGUUUCAUGAAUCGGGUUUUCCGCUGGUAGGGCGCUGGACUCCGGGAUCGCGUCGCUGUCCGGAGCCGUUGCCUGGGCGAGUGAUUCCGAAUCGCUCUUUGUGGAACCUUCGGGAGUACUCUGAGUUUUCUUGACUCGCUUUGAGCUAACCGCAGGGGUGUUCCGAGUUUGUCGUAGCUUAUGCUCGGCCAAAAAGCAGAGCCUAGAUUGUUUCUGGCAUCCCCAGAUUACUGUUGUUCCGUUUGGUGUUGGGAACUUGAUGCUAAGGUGGUAAGUCGACGGUACCGCCUUCAUUGCGUUGAUCCAUGGGGUUCCCAUGAUAACAUUAUAGAUGGCUGGGUUAUCGCCUACGGCGAAGUCAACAGUGAACUAUAUGUUUGAGACCGGCCGUCUGGUGGCUUUGGGUCCUAGCCGUUUUUUGCGGCUUCUAUAUAAAUGAUGAAUGAUUGACAUUCUGUAUGUUUUAGUUUAUACUUCUGCCAAGUGUGAGGGAAAGAUACGAGUUGUCACUUCGUAUCUUAACUCUUAGUUUAUCGUCUUGUUCGUUUGCUCUUACUGAACGAGGGCGUUCGGAAACGUUUAGGAGUUUCGCAAAGUUUCGUGAGCAUAUUUGAUAUCGACGAUGGGAGCGGGUCGCAGUGAGGUUUAUCGAGUCCGACGGUUUCCUCCUCGAAAACAAUCGUAUCGUUUGGAGCGUUCUCGGUCAGGGACCGAGUCGUCCAGUUAGAACUUGUUUCCGCCUUUCUUCCAUAGGCCUUGAUGGAUGAAACAGAGUCGCGGUAGAAUUACGAUUCUUCAAUGAUCAUGUUUAUCCUCCGGCGGGUACUAUUGUCGCCAAGGUCAUCUUGCCUUCUUCCGCGUUUUUCGCCAGACAGAUUUGCGCGUGCGUCCCUCUCGGGAGACUCUUUAUAAGUCCUGGGAGGGCGGUCAGAAUCCAGGAUGAGGUCUUCUAUGCUAGUGACCUUCGUGAGGUCGCCAGCGAGGAGUUUUGCGGCUAGCCUUGCGCUGAGAACUUUGCAGUCCGUAGUGGAAUGACCUUUGGUCUGGUGGAACUCGCAGUAGGAAUUAUCCUUAUACUGGUUCCUGGACCAGGUGUUUCCGGAGGUCUUCCCUUUUUCGGAAUUGAUAGUGUUCUUGUGCUCGCCCUGGAUGUCUUCUCCCUCGUGGUGGACAUACUUGUCGUUUCGAGAGCUUUUCUUUUUUGUGGGCGUCUUCUGCGGGUUGUACUUCUGGGAGAGGAUUUUCAUCUCCUCUUCCAUUAUGAUGAAGUCCAUUGCCUUAUGAAAGGCAUCCUGAACCGUUCUCGGUUUUUCGAAGGAUACCCAUUGCCAGAAUUUUGACCGGUACUAGAGAGUUUUCUUCAGAGCAUCGAUCGCCACUUUGUCGCUGAUCCCGGUGACUCUUGCCAUUACUAGCUUGAAUCUGUUCAUGAACUCGCGAAGUGGCUCAUCUUCUCUUUGAGACAGGCUCCAGAGAUCGACGUCCGAGGUUUCUCUGUCCAUGAACAUGGAAUACUGCUUGAGAAACUCUGAAGCAAGUUGGCGGAAACUUCCGAUGGAAUUUCAUUUUAGGCGAGAAGACCAUUCGAGCGCGGCUCCUUUGAGGUUUUCGACGAAGAGGAGGCAGUAGCCAGCGUCUUGUUCGCGUUCCUUGAGUUUCCACCUCCCCAUCGAGAUAUGGAAAGAAUGCAGGUGCGCUUUCGGGUCGGUGGUGCCAUCAUAGAUGGGAAUUUUGAUCUUCCCCGGGUCCGAGACGUUGGUCUCAGUAAUCUGGGCAGUGAACGGGGUUUUACGUGCUUCCUCGAGAAGUCUGUCGAUCUCGGGUGCAGCGCUUGUCGCGUGGUGGAUUUGUGAUUUCACCGCUUUCACCUCCGCUGCGAUUUUUGCUAUGUACUCGCGGAGAUCGUGGAUCUCAUCAGGAUUUCUGACAGCCGUGCGAGCUUGUCUGUGUUGGCCGCGGUGGAUCCUGGCCUGCUUCUCGGCCAGCUCCUCCUGUUCUACCCAAUAGAGGUUUUCUUCUUCCUCAGUCAUGGGUUUUUAGAAGGACGCGUCCUGCCGAGCAGACUGCCUUCGCGUUCUUCUUGUGUGGAUGUCAGCACCGUCGUCCAAGUGAUCGGACUGGUCGCUUAUAUCCAGGUCGAUGCGCUCAAUUUCUUCUCCUUCGUUGCUCCCGGUAGGAGGUGGAAGGUUCUCCGCAGUUGGCUGUGCACCUGGCUGGAGCAUUUCAUCAGGGUUUUGGCCUGAGGAAGCCUUGUCCGCGUGUGCAGCUCGAUUGCCCGGAGUUUCGAAAUUAAGUCUUCUACCGCUGCGGGCUCUUGUUGAAGAGGAGGCAGUAGCCAGCGUCUUGUUCGCGUUCCUUGAGUUUCCACCUCCCCAUCGAGAUAUGGAAAGAAUGCAGGUGCGCUUUCGGGUCGGUGGUGCCAUCAUAGAUGGGAAUUUUGAUCUUCCCCGGGUCCGAGACGUUGGUCUCAGUAAUCUGGGCAGUGAACGGGGUUUUACGUGCUUCCUCGAGAAGUCUGUCGAUCUCGGGUGCAGCGCUUGUCGCGUGGUGGAUUUGUGAUUUCACCGCUUUCACCUCCGCUGCGAUUUUUGCUAUGUACUCGCGGAGAUCGUGGAUCUCAUCAGGAUUUCUGACAGCCGUGCGAGCUUGUCUGUGUUGGCCGCGGUGGAUCCUGGCCUGCUUCUCGGCCAGCUCCUCCUGUUCUACCCAAUAGAGGUUUUCUUCUUCCUCAGUCAUGGGUUUUUCGAAGGACGCGUCCUGCCGAGCGGACUGGCUUCGCGUUCUUCUUGGGUGGAUGUCAGCACCGUCGUCCGAGUGAUCGGACUGGUCGCUUAUAUCCAGGUCGAUGCGCUCGAUUUCUUCUCCUUCGUUGCUCCCGGUAGGAGGUGGAAGGUUCUCCGCAGUUGGCUGUGCACCUGGCUGGAGCGUUUCAUCAGGGUUUUGGCCUGAGGAAGCCUUGUCCGCGUGUGCAGCUCGAUUGCCCGGAGUUUCGAAAUCAAGUCUUCUGCCGCUGUGGGCUCUUGUGGUUCCGCACGGGGCUUUGCUCCUGGCCUUCGCCGUUAAGAUUUCCACCUGUUUUGCGAGAGAGGCCACGAGUUUUCCUUGUUCGUCCAUCUUUUUCUAAGCGGAGGCAAACAUUUCCUUCAUCUGGUCUAGUAUCGCGGUGUCAGCAGUGACCGUUGAUAUGUUUCAAGCUGGAGUUUUAUCAGUGUUGGCAUCGACGGGAGUCCCAUCGUGCGUUUGCGGGUCUUUGUCAGCGUUGGUCGUCAUAUUGGACUGAGCGUGUGUGGUUGCGAGAGAGAUAGAUCCGUACCCUCCCCUCCUUCUAGCGCCAAACUGUGGGAACCAAAAUUCACACCAUCGAGUUUUCUUAAUCGGAGUAAAGCCAAAUUAACCUAGCCUUCCCUGAAGGUCCCGGUUAUCUGCUGGGCCACGCACAACACAAUCACAAUCAAUAUGAAAGAUUCGAAAGUAAUAAAUCGUAAAAGAGCGAAAAGAGAACAAAGAGGUCUUAUUUCCGAAUUCGCGUUUGAGCGUGAACAACAGGUAAGAUCCUAGGCCACGAGAGCUGUCCGUAUGGUCGCUAGUCUAGCCACCUAAGUUCUAACCUAGUCGAGUCGCAGCUCGAUAGUAAAAACGGAAAAAUGCCUAAAUUGCUCUAAGUAUUAAGUUUGCUCUUAGAAUGCUCUUCUCUUCUCUUCGUCCUAGGUCCUCCUUAUAUACUCCUUCUUCCUUAAUCUUGCCUUGGAGGCGUACCUCCUGCUCCAGAGCGGGGAGCAAGGCAGGGGAGAAUUCAGCCACGAAGUCUGCUAGGACCUGUGACUUUAUAGCCGUGGCAGGUCGAAAUAUUACGUCGUACUCCCCUAGUUCCACGGCCCAUUUGGCUAGGCGUCCGGAGACUACCGGUUUGUGGAGGACCAACUUUACAGGGAAGGAGGUAACAAUCACAAUUGGAUGAUCCUGGAAGUAGGGUCGGAGCUUGCGAGUGGUGACUAUCACGGCUAAGGCCAGCUCCGCGUCUAGGAGAGCCUUUCUUACAUAGUAGAUUGGUAGCUACAUGUUCCCCUCCUCGCGAACUAAGAAUGCGCUCACGGCCUGUUCGGAGACUGCUAGAUAUAGCAGCCGGACUUCACCGAGUAGUGUCUUGGACAGGAGAGGAGGAGUGGUAAGAUACGAUUUCAGCUCUUGGAGGGCGGAUUCGCAUUCUCCCGUCCAGUGGAAAUCCUUCCGAUUUUUUAGAGUUCCGAAAAAGGCGUCAGAUUUUUCGGAGAGUCUGGAGAUGAAUCAGCUCAAGGCUGUCAUCCUUCCCGUUAGCUUUUGAACCUCCUUGACUUUCUUCGGGGAAGGGAUCGAGUGGAUGGCCCUGAUUUGCUCCGGGUUGGCCUCGAUGCCCCGGUGGGUUACAAUGUACCCGAGGAACUUGCCAGAGCUGACCCCGAAUGAGCAUUUAGCCGGGUUGAGCUUCAUGUUAUAUUUCCUGAGGGUGGAGAAGGCUUCCUGCAGGUGACAUAUGUGGUCUUCCGCUUCCAAGGAUUUAACCAGCAUUUCGUAAAUGUAGACCUCCACGGUUCUCCCGAUUUGGUUCGCGAACAUCAUGUUCACCAGCCGCUGAUUGGUCGAUCCAGCGUUCUUUAGGCCGAAGGGCAUAACCUUAUAGUAGUAGAGUCCUCUGGACGUCAUGAAGGAUGGUUUCUCCUAGUCUUCCGGAUGCAUGAGUAUCUGAUUAUAGCCGAAGAACGCGUCCAUGAAGCUCAUCAGCUGGUGCCCCGCGGUGGCGUCCACCAGCUUGUCGAUAUGAGGUAGCGGGAAGGGGUCCUUUGGACCGGAUUUAUUGAGGUCCGUGAAGUCAAUGCAAACUAUCCACUUCCCGUUCUUUUUCUUGACCACGACGACGUUAGCUAGCCACUCUGGAUACUGCACCUCAUGAAUGAACCCCGCGCCGAGCAGGCUCUUGACUUCAUCGUUGAUGAUCACAUCUCUCUCAGGAGCAAACUUCCGUCUCUUUUGGCUGAUGGGUUGGUGUAGGGGAUCCACCUGCAGCUUAUGCAUGAUGAUCCCCGGAUCGAUCCCAGGCAUGUAUGCGUGGGACCAAGCGAAGCAAUCGGAGUUAGACCUGAGGAAGUCUAUGAGCCUUCUUCUCAACCCUUCGGUUAGCUUGGAGCCGAUCUUGAUAUGCCGGGUCUGAUCUCCUUUGGUUAAUGGCACCUCAUCCAUUUCUUCUACCUCCGGUUCCUCGGUGUGGUGAGCCAGAGGUUUGCUAUGUAAUUCCUAUAAGACCUUGGUCUUUCCUUUCAGAGUGGUCUGAUAGCAGGCGCGGGAAUAUUCUUGAUCCCCUCUGAUCGCUUUUAUGCCCCAGGGCGUAGGGAACUUCACCAUUUGGUGAAGGGUGGAGGGGAUGGCCCCCAUUCUGUGGAUCCAGGGCCGUCCUAAGAUCAUGUUGUAGGAAGAAUCGCAAUCAACCACGAGGAAUUUGGUUGACAUGUUGACUCCUUCGACGUAUACGGGGAGGGUAAUCUCCUCUGCGGUUUGCUUGACCUCCCCGCUGAAACCUAUAAGGGGGGUUACCCUACGAGUUAGAGCCCCUUCCUCCAGCCCCAGGUCAUUGUAUGCGACCUGGAAGAUGAUGUUGCCUGAGCUUCCAUAUUGUCUACCAGUAUCCUUUUUACCAAGCAGUUCGCUAUAGUGAGCGAGAUAACCAGGGUGUCGUGGUGAGGAGAGAGAACUUUCCCCUGCUCCUUGGCCGUGAAACUUAUUUCGUCCAUCCCUAGGAGCAGGCGUUUUGGCUUGGCUGCCUCUAUGACGUGUUUGGCGUUCCAGGUGCUUUUCUUCGCGGCCGCAUGGUUUAUGCCGCUGAUUUCCGAACCGCCCGAGAUGACAUGGAUCACUUGGUCCUGUCGCGGUGGUUUUAUUUCGAGGUUUGACGUAUCUAGGCCGAGUGUGGCCGUAUUUUAUUUAUGUGUGUUAUGACCUUGCGAGGCUAUGUGAACUAUAUGUUUGAGACCGGCCGUCUGGUGGCUUUGGGUCCUAGCCGUUUUUUGCGGCUUCUAUAUAAAUGAUGAAUGAUUGACAUUCUGUAUGGGCUUACCCGUUGUCUCCUUGCUUAGAUGGCUUUUGGCCUUCUUGGAAAGGAACUCCCUGAGGUGCCCUUUACUAAGCAGCUCGUUGACCUCGAUCUUUAGUGCGACACAGUCCUCCGUUUUGUGACCGUAGUCUCGGUGGAAGUCGCACCAGAAGCCAGGAUUCCGGAAAGAGUCGGAGGCUUUCAUCUUCUGAGGCCACUUGACCUGGUGGCCCAUCUGCCUCAGAACAUUGAUAAGCUUCGGCCUUGAGACGGAGAGGUGAGACAUGUCUGGCCACGUGGACACUGCCAUCCCUUCUACCUUCUCGAUUGGCCGGUUCUGGUACCUGCCCCGUUUUCGAUUCCCGGAGUCCCUAGCUGGUCUUUGAGAUGGUUUCUCGUCUCGCUCGGUUCGGUCUGGUCUGAUCGUCUUAGGAUCUUGCUUUUGUUGCGCCUUGGCACGGCUGGCGAUGUCUUCCUCCCAUUUGACCUGCGCCCAGGCUCGAGAUAGGACGUCUUCCAUGGUUUUGCACUCGUAUUUGGUAAGCUCUUUGUAGAGGUCCCUGUCGGGGAGCAGGCCUCUCUUGAAAGCAUAGAUAGCAGUGGGGAUACUGCAUUCGGGGAUAGCCACCUUUUCUUGAUUGAAGCGGGCUAUGUAGCCUCCCAGGGGUUCCGCUCGAUGCUGGAGGAUUUCGUAGAGGUUGUCGGAGGUUUUCUCCAGGUCCCUGCUGCUGCCGAAUUGUUCCACGAACUUAUCGCUGAGGACUGGGAAGGAAUCUAUGGACCUGGAGGGCUAGUUGAUAUACCAUUGCAGAGAAGGUCCGGUCAUUUUCGCGUGACCCAUUGGGGAGUGCUUCAGCGAGCAUCAUCUGCCUGUAUUGGGCAACAUGGUCGUCCUGAUCAGUGGUGCCAUUAUACACCUUGAUACUGGGGAAAGAGAACUUCCUGGGCAUCUCAAUCAAGGUGAUCUCAUCCAUGAAGGGAGUGUCAGCGUAGGAAUCGGGGUUGCUCUUCUGUAUGGGGGGAGCUACCCCUGGGAGUCUCCCUACCAUGGAUUGCAUAGCGUCAAGCCUAUCGGAGAACAUCUGGUGAGGGUGAGCGAUCAUGGGAGACUCCGCUCUCGCUGCUCCGUCUGAUGCUUCCUUAUUAGGCCCGGGUUCCGGUCGCUGUCCUCCCUGUCAUAGGUCUGAGCGUUCUUAGCCUUUUCUCGCGUAGAUGCUUCUCCUCCCGGCGCCGCAGUUGGGAGAUUCGCGCCUGCCCCGAAGUUUGGUGUUUCCAGAGGCGGCUUGGGGAGAACCUGAGUCCGGAAUCGACGCUUCUUGUUGACCGCUGCGUUAAGGGCUUGGUUCUCGUCUCGGAGGGUAAGAUUCUCCGAUUUGAGCUGGCUGAGCUUCUCGGCGCUCUGCUCCAGUUGCUUAUAGUGUUCGUCGAGUUUUUCCUUAAGGAUUUGGAACUCCAAGGACAGCUCGGGAUUGGUAUCUUCCCGAGCUCUAUGUAACCCGGUUACUUAAUCUUUCAGGUCAUCGAUUUGUCUUUGGAGUUCAGCCUCUCUCUGAGUAGCUUCGGGUAGCUCGUCAUGCUCAUCCACCGCCAUUAUCACGUAGUUUAGAUUACUCCCCUCCUUCUAGCGCUAAACUGUUAGGGGAUUUUUGUGUAGGAUCUUUGUGAGUACUACGGAACGAUGGACAAGGCUAAUAUUUGUAUUGAUUUGCAAGUAAGAAAGUAGAAGGAGACGUUUUAUUAGAUCAAAGAGCCGGAACUACAACAGUUUUGAGUAAGAACCCUAGUUCUAUCCGCCUAGCUCUAAUCUCUAAGUCUGAAGUGCCGAUCCCUUGCUUUAGGGUCUAGAUUCCCUUUAUAUAGUCUUCUUAAGGCGGGCCUUAGUCGGUUGGAGUAGGUUAAACUCUUCCGUAUUCGGAAAUAUGGAAGGUUCUCCGUAUCGAAAGUUUUCCAUUUCCCGUAGGAAUGGGAGCGAUCCAGAGACCGAACCCGGAAAACUCCAUAGCGGGGAACCAGGGUUCCUUCCAGCGGGGAUCCUGGGAACCGGGAUUCCUUCCAGUGGGGAUCCAGAGGCCGGUGUUCCUUCCAGCGGGGAUCCUGGGAACCGGGGUUCCUCCCAGUGGGGAUCCAAAGGCCGGUGUCCUGCCUGGGAUCUGGAGGAAUUCAAUACCUGAGUAUUUUUCCCCAACAUUUAGUACUAUCUGCAAUCAGAAAGUUUAGAAUUGUGCUAAAGAGUGGUUAGAUAUCUAGCAAAAUCUAAAAGUUCACAAUCCCCUUCUUGACUCAAUAAUAACAUAAUUUUGAAAACAUUUUAAUAAGACUAAUAAGUAGAUAAAUAUCAGUAAACCUCCCCCCAGAAUUAAACUACACUGUCCCCAGUAUAAACUCAGUCGGAGUUAUGGUGAGAACUAAAUCAUAAGGACUCAAUUUAACAAGUAAGAACGAUAUACCAGACCGGAAUGGAUGUCGACCGAUGUAGGGUUGUUGAUAUCGGUCGAUGCAGGUAUGGCCAUGUCGAUUGAUUUCGACAAUUACGCGUUGGUCGAUACUGAUGGCAAUCGUCGACUCGGUUCUACUUUUUUUUUAUGACCUGCAAUAAUUAAAAACCAACAUAAAUAGUAUAUCAAUAAAAACUAAAUAAAUAUUACCUAAUAGUGGGUUGCCUCCCACUCAGCGCUUUGUUAUAGUCAUUUAGCUUGACUUUGGAGGUGAUUUGGUUAGUAAUGUUGAGAACUGAGACUUGUUGGAAAACAAGUAUCCAUCUCUUCUUUGCGCUUGUUGAACCAUGUACCAGUGAAGUCUCUCAUAGCUUCAUCCCCUCUACGCCAUUUUUCUUUCAUUGUUACAGUUGUGUUUUCCAUUCGCUGCAACCUUUCUUCAAGAUUCUCCAGGUUGAACCGAUGUCUCCUAAGUGUGGCGUAAGUCUCAGCUGAGAUCUCCUCUCCAUGGUAAUGUGUGUUGGACGUGUCUGAUGUCAUCUUUGGUACUAGCCGUCCUCGAUUUUUAGCGUCGUCGACCGAUGUUCGAUGGCGAAUGUUUGUCGAUAUGUUGUUGGAUGUGUCGAUCGAUAACGAUGCUUCUGGUCGACGGGCUAUGUAACUCUGAAUCUCCACCAAUUCCCUUUGUAUAGCUUCAAUCUUGGAUGUCAAAGCACCGAUGCUAAGAUCCAUUGGGAAAUAGAUGUCAUCACAUCUCCCAUCGAGCCUCUCUUCUGUAGUUUCCAGAGCUCUAUAAAUUUAUUCUACCAACUGAUCUAUCUCUUCUCUGGUGUGAAAGUUCUGUGGUGGCUGCAUCGGAUGUGAAUGUGGUGAACUGGUGUCGAUCGAUGCUGGUAAGCGUGGGUCGAUCGAUGCUGGUAAGCGACAAUCGAUCGAUGAAUGAUGACGUCUGUCAAUCGAUGUCUGGCGAGAAGCUUCGGUUGCUCGCUGAAUUUUGGCUAUGUCUUGCUUCAUCUCCUCCAUGCAAGUAGUUAACCAACCGAUACUAUCAUUUAAUGGAUAGUAGACACCAUCAAGCUUCAUCUGGAAAGCUUCUUUGUUCUUCUCGUGUUCUCCACAGACUCCAUAGAACAUCUCAUUAAUCUCGUCCGUGGUGUAGAUCUCUGGUACCAGCUUGGUCUGUGUGAAUAAGUUAGCAUGCUCAGGAAGACAUAUGCAGCUUGGCUCAUCUCUUGAAGCUCUUUCCAGAAUUUUUAUGAUAUUCGUGUUGUGAAGACGAAUGGUGUUUUCAUCUAGAUCUCUGGCGUAUCUCUGAUCAUCUCUGAAGACUCCAUACUCAUCUUUCUCCUCCCAAUAAAAUUUCCUGUUACCAUAGAGAUCAUAAGCUCUUCUGCCGAAUUAUGGCUGUCUGUCGACCGAUGUUGGCACGGCAACGUCGAUCGAUGGUUGAGUUGGAUGGCGAGAUUUUUGUAUGAAGUUGUUGUCUAUGCCACCAGCUGUGUCAUAGAACUCCUUUGUAGCCUUAUGUUCUGGAUUGUUGUGGUGAUGCAUGAACAGAUUGUCUGCUCCAUUGGCUGUCUAAAGGAUAUUUGCGAUAUCUUUGCGAGAUAGGUGUAGUGUACUGCCGUCUAUUGCUUUUGCGUAGCCAUCAGGGUCCCUGAAAAUACCAAAUUCAUCUGGAGUUAGAAACUGGUGAUCGAAUUUAUCUUUUUCUCUUACAGUGGUGUUUGGUAUUGGACGGUUGUCGAUCGAUGUUGCAUUGUUGUUGUCGAUCGAUUGUUGGUGAUGUGUGUCGAUCGAUGGGCGGAUUGCUCUGUCGAUCGGAUGGCUGAAACGAGUUCUUUCCAAAGCAGCUACUGCUCUAAUCUGAUCUGUUCCAUCGCGUUUUUGCAUGUUGAGCAGCUCCUCGUCUGUGAACUUGUCACGUAUAUUAUCUGCUCCUGGUGCGUAGGUUGAUGUUUCUACUGCGAAGCUUUCGUGGUGGUCUUCAUCUGCCUAACUGCCAAUCGAGUAGUCUCCUUCUCGUGCACGGUUGACGUUAGUGUCGAUCGAUUUGCAGUAGGCAGUAUCGAUCGAUGUUCGUUUUUGGAAUCGUUGAUGAGGUUGAGUGUCGGUCGAUGGCCAAGUUGUCAUGUCGAUCGAUGGUGAAUUCCUUUUCCAGGAGGAAUGAUGUAAUAGUUUAUCUUCCACAUCAAGGAUGGCUCUGUACUCAGCAGCUCGUUCCUCCUCAUAGUCUUCAUCAUACUCUUAUGUAUGCAUAUUUUGUCUGGCGUAUGCGGCAAUAGCGGGAUUAUAGUAGUCGUUAUCCCAAUCAUCUGGACGACUAUCGACCGAUUCUUCUUGUGGUAUGUCGGUCAAUUUCUGGUGACCACUGUCGAUCGAUGUUGCAGUGUGAGUUUCGAUCGACGCCGAGUAAUCGGUUUCGUACUCGUUUUCACAGUGGCAAGCUGCAAUGACUCCUGAAUCAUUGAUUCUUCUGGAGAUCGAAUGUGGCAUCUUGACUGGUAUAGGGUCGUAGUGGGCAUUAGGAUCGAUGAGUGUUAGACACAACUGGUUGGUUUGCAUGUUGCACACUGCUCCCACUGUUGACAAGAAAACUCUCCCAAGUAGUAGAGAGGAGUUCCAGUUUAACUUGAUGUCCAAGACAUGGAAAUCAACUGGAACUAGGGCAUUAUUAAUCUGCACCUCUAGGUCUCUCACAAUUCCUCCUGACUUCUUCUGGGAACAAUCCAGAAAAGUGAAUAAUUCCUGCGAAGGCUCCACCUGCAGACCCAGAUGGUCUGCUAUAACCUUAGGUAGGAUGCUGACUGAUGCUCCUGUGUCGCACAAGGCAUGUGGGAACUCAAUACCCUUCACCGUGCGUGGUAUUGCAAAUUUUCCAGGAUACCCUUCAUCCUCAUCUUUUCUCUAGCUUCAUAGAACAUUCUCCUGAUGUCUUCUUAUUUCUCCCUUGUCUCUCUGAAGAACAUCCAAAAUAUGUGGGUAUAAUAAGCAUCCUCGAAUGGCUUAUCUAUAGGAAUCCUGAAGACUCUCUUCCAAAAACUUUCAUUUUCCUUAUCAUUGGCCCCCCUCUUCAGAUGUUUCGCCACUUUUUCCUUUCUUCUCCUUAGGGUUCUUCCAGUAGGAACCCUAUCCUCUUCCAUAGGAUCUUCUCCAUCAUCUGAAGGUGUCCUGACGGGCUUUGGUGGGUGUUCUGAAGGUUUGGGUUUGGGCCUGAGUGCAUUGAGUCGUGCAACAUCUAUCUUUGGCAUCUGCACUCGGUAGGUAAUAGGUGCUCGUCUAUCGAUAGGCGCUGGAGGUUAUCGAUCGAUGGCGCCUCUGAGUGUCGAUCGAUGGAUGAUUGUCCGUGUCGAUCGAUGGAGGUAUCAGCUCGUAGAGCGAUUCUGACUUUAUCAGGGCUGGGCGGAUGUGGGUGUUUUGCUGCGAACUCAUCGUGAAUUAGAAUCUUCAUGGCAUUGCAAGAUGCAGCUGACUCCGUAGGCGUCGUCGAUCGAUGCUCUGGAGUUCAUGUCGAUCGAUUUGGACUGAUGUAUGUCGAUCGAUGUUGGUGGUCUGGAAUCGAUUGACACCAUUGCGAUCCGCCGAGACUCAUCAAACUUUCUACCUCGAAAUCUCCUUCUUGCAGCUUCUCUUCCUUCACCACUUGCCAAAAAUCAUCCUCAAUGAUGGCAUUCACGUGGUGUUCAUCACAUCAUCCCCUACUCCUCUUGUCGAGGUUUCCUGCCUCUUAACAGCAUCUCCUGUCUGCACAACCUUCAUCUCCAGCUUCUUCAUAUGAGUGCUCAAAGUCUCAAACUUUGUGUUCAGGUUGGUGUAGACAGAAUAUAUCUUCCCAUUGAAGUCCACUGUCAUUCGUUGCUGUGCCUCAAGAACCCUAUCGAGCAUCUCUUCAAUCUUGCUCUCUUGAGUAGGCGGCGGUGGGUUCUGCUAGUAGGAACUUCCAUAAUUCAUGUUGUUGUCGUAGCUGUUGUUGUAGGGUUUCUGGUACUGUGAAUUUUGGUUGAAGUUACUCCUAUUUCCAUAGGAGUUUCUGUUUCCACCCUGGUUUCCAGAACCUUGGAAUCCAGUUCCACCAAUGUAGUUCACCUCUUUUUCAUCUCCUCUACCCUCUACAGCUUCUGCAUCUUCAACAAAGCUAACCUGCUUCCUGAGAAGUUUGUGAACACUAUCCAGCUUUGCCUUCACCUCAUCCAUCUGAUCGUUCCCAAGGAUGGUGGCAGAUCUUUUCCUCUCAAAAUCAGUGUUCUUGGUGCUAUUGCUGGAUGCUAGGUUUUCAAUAACCUUGACUGCCUGCUCUGGAUUCCAGGUGUUGAAGUUUCCAUUGCUAGAAGCAUCAAGAGCCAUUUGGUACUGCACCGCGAUGCCUCUGUAGAAAGUACUGAGCAGUUGUACUUCAUUGAAUCCAUGGUGUGGACAAUCUCUCUGAUAAGACUUGAAUCUGAUCCAAGAGCCCCUAAAUGAUUCUACAGGCUCCUAAAUGAAUGUAGCAAUCUUGCUUCUCAAGUCUUCAGCACGCGCUUCAUCAAAGAAAUUGCAUAAGAAUGCAUUUUUUAUGUCGCUCCAGGAUUUAAGAGAUCCUGGUUGUAACUACUUGAUGCUUUUGUUGCGCCUUGGCACGGCUGGCGAUGUCUUCCUCCCAUUUGACCUGCGCCCAGGCUCGAGAUAGGACGUCUUCCAUGGUUUUGCACUCGUAUUUGGUAAGCUCUUUGUAGAGGUCCCUGUCGGGGAGCAGGCCUCUCUUGAAAGCAUAGAUAGCAGUGGGGAUACUGCAUUCGGGGAUAGCCACCUUUUCUUGAUUGAAGCGGGCUAUGUAGCCUCCCAGGGGUUCCGCUCGAUGCUGGAGGAUUUCGUAGAGGUUGUCGGAGGUUUUCUCCAGGUCCCUGCUGCUGCCGAAUUGUUCCACGAACUUAUCGCUGAGGACUGGGAAGGAAUCUAUGGACCUGGAGGGCUAGUUGAUAUACCAUUGCAGAGAAGGUCCGGUCAUUUUCGCGUGACCCAUUGGGGAGUGCUUCAGCGAGCAUCAUCUGCCUGUAUUGGGCAACAUGGUCGUCCUGAUCAGUGGUGCCAUUAUACACCUUGAUACUGGGGAAAGAGAACUUCCUGGGCAUCUCAAUCAAGGUGAUCUCAUCCAUGAAGGGAGUGUCAGCGUAGGAAUCGGGGUUGCUCUUCUGUAUGGGGGGAGCUACCCCUGGGAGUCUCCCUACCAUGGAUUGCAUAGCGUCAAGCCUAUCGGAGAACAUCUGGUGAGGGUGAGCGAUCAUGGGAGACUCCGCUCUCGCUGCUCCGUCUGAUGCUUCCUUAUUAGGCCCGGGUUCCGGUCGCUGUCCUCCCUGUCAUAGGUCUGAGCGUUCUUAGCCUUUUCUCGCGUAGAUGCUUCUCCUCCCGGCGCCGCAGUUGGGAGAUUCGCGCCUGCCCCGAAGUUUGGUGUUUCCAGAGGCGGCUUGGGGAGAACCUGAGUCCGGAAUCGACGCUUCUUGUUGACCGCUGCGUUAAGGGCUUGGUUCUCGUCUCGGAGGGUAAGAUUCUCCGAUUUGAGCUGGCUGAGCUUCUCGGCGCUCUGCUCCAGUUGCUUAUAGUGUUCGUCGAGUUUUUCCUUAAGGAUUUGGAACUCCAAGGACAGCUCGGGAUUGGUAUCUUCCCGAGCUCUAUGUAACCCGGUUACUUAAUCUUUCAGGUCAUCGAUUUGUCUUUGGAGUUCAGCCUCUCUCUGAGUAGCUUCGGGUAGCUCGUCAUGCUCAUCCACCGCCAUUAUCACGUAGUUUAGAUUACUCCCCUCCUUCUAGCGCUAAACUGUUAGGGGAUUUUUGUGUAGGAUCUUUGUGAGUACUACGGAACGAUGGACAAGGCUAAUAUUUGUAUUGAUUUGCAAGUAAGAAAGUAGAAGGAGACGUUUUAUUAGAUCAAAGAGCCGGAACUACAACAGUUUUGAGUAAGAACCCUAGUUCUAUCCGCCUAGCUCUAAUCUCUAAGUCUGAAGUGCCGAUCCCUUGCUUUAGGGUCUAGAUUCCCUUUAUAUAGUCUUCUUAAGGCGGGCCUUAGUCGGUUGGAGUAGGUUAAACUCUUCCGUAUUCGGAAAUAUGGAAGGUUCUCCGUAUCGAAAGUUUUCCAUUUCCCGUAGGAAUGGGAGCGAUCCAGAGACCGAACCCGGAAAACUCCAUAGCGGGGAACCAGGGUUCCUUCCAGCGGGGAUCCUGGGAACCGGGAUUCCUUCCAGUGGGGAUCCAGAGGCCGGUGUUCCUUCCAGCGGGGAUCCUGGGAACCGGGGUUCCUCCCAGUGGGGAUCCAAAGGCCGGUGUCCUGCCUGGGAUCUGGAGGAAUUCAAUACCUGAGUAUUUUUCCCCAACAUUUAGUACUAUCUGCAAUCAGAAAGUUUAGAAUUGUGCUAAAGAGUGGUUAGAUAUCUAGCAAAAUCUAAAAGUUCACAAUCCCCUUCUUGACUCAAUAAUAACAUAAUUUUGAAAACAUUUUAAUAAGACUAAUAAGUAGAUAAAUAUCAGUAAACCUCCCCCCAGAAUUAAACUACACUGUCCCCAGUAUAAACUCAGUCGGAGUUAUGGUGAGAACUAAAUCAUAAGGACUCAAUUUAACAAGUAAGAACGAUAUACCAGACCGGAAUGGAUGUCGACCGAUGUAGGGUUGUUGAUAUCGGUCGAUGCAGGUAUGGCCAUGUCGAUUGAUUUCGACAAUUACGCGUUGGUCGAUACUGAUGGCAAUCGUCGACUCGGUUCUACUUUUUUUUUAUGACCUGCAAUAAUUAAAAACCAACAUAAAUAGUAUAUCAAUAAAAACUAAAUAAAUAUUACCUAAUAGUGGGUUGCCUCCCACUCAGCGCUUUGUUAUAGUCAUUUAGCUUGACUUUGGAGGUGAUUUGGUUAGUAAUGUUGAGAACUGAGACUUGUUGGAAAACAAGUAUCCAUCUCUUCUUUGCGCUUGUUGAACCAUGUACCAGUGAAGUCUCUCAUAGCUUCAUCCCCUCUACGCCAUUUUUCUUUCAUUGUUACAGUUGUGUUUUCCAUUCGCUGCAACCUUUCUUCAAGAUUCUCCAGGUUGAACCGAUGUCUCCUAAGUGUGGCGUAAGUCUCAGCUGAGAUCUCCUCUCCAUGGUAAUGUGUGUUGGACGUGUCUGAUGUCAUCUUUGGUACUAGCCGUCCUCGAUUUUUAGCGUCGUCGACCGAUGUUCGAUGGCGAAUGUUUGUCGAUAUGUUGUUGGAUGUGUCGAUCGAUAACGAUGCUUCUGGUCGACGGGCUAUGUAACUCUGAAUCUCCACCAAUUCCCUUUGUAUAGCUUCAAUCUUGGAUGUCAAAGCACCGAUGCUAAGAUCCAUUGGGAAAUAGAUGUCAUCACAUCUCCCAUCGAGCCUCUCUUCUGUAGUUUCCAGAGCUCUAUAAAUUUAUUCUACCAACUGAUCUAUCUCUUCUCUGGUGUGAAAGUUCUGUGGUGGCUGCAUCGGAUGUGAAUGUGGUGAACUGGUGUCGAUCGAUGCUGGUAAGCGUGGGUCGAUCGAUGCUGGUAAGCGACAAUCGAUCGAUGAAUGAUGACGUCUGUCAAUCGAUGUCUGGCGAGAAGCUUCGGUUGCUCGCUGAAUUUUGGCUAUGUCUUGCUUCAUCUCCUCCAUGCAAGUAGUUAACCAACCGAUACUAUCAUUUAAUGGAUAGUAGACACCAUCAAGCUUCAUCUGGAAAGCUUCUUUGUUCUUCUCGUGUUCUCCACAGACUCCAUAGAACAUCUCAUUAAUCUCGUCCGUGGUGUAGAUCUCUGGUACCAGCUUGGUCUGUGUGAAUAAGUUAGCAUGCUCAGGAAGACAUAUGCAGCUUGGCUCAUCUCUUGAAGCUCUUUCCAGAAUUUUUAUGAUAUUCGUGUUGUGAAGACGAAUGGUGUUUUCAUCUAGAUCUCUGGCGUAUCUCUGAUCAUCUCUGAAGACUCCAUACUCAUCUUUCUCCUCCCAAUAAAAUUUCCUGUUACCAUAGAGAUCAUAAGCUCUUCUGCCGAAUUAUGGCUGUCUGUCGACCGAUGUUGGCACGGCAACGUCGAUCGAUGGUUGAGUUGGAUGGCGAGAUUUUUGUAUGAAGUUGUUGUCUAUGCCACCAGCUGUGUCAUAGAACUCCUUUGUAGCCUUAUGUUCUGGAUUGUUGUGGUGAUGCAUGAACAGAUUGUCUGCUCCAUUGGCUGUCUAAAGGAUAUUUGCGAUAUCUUUGCGAGAUAGGUGUAGUGUACUGCCGUCUAUUGCUUUUGCGUAGCCAUCAGGGUCCCUGAAAAUACCAAAUUCAUCUGGAGUUAGAAACUGGUGAUCGAAUUUAUCUUUUUCUCUUACAGUGGUGUUUGGUAUUGGACGGUUGUCGAUCGAUGUUGCAUUGUUGUUGUCGAUCGAUUGUUGGUGAUGUGUGUCGAUCGAUGGGCGGAUUGCUCUGUCGAUCGGAUGGCUGAAACGAGUUCUUUCCAAAGCAGCUACUGCUCUAAUCUGAUCUGUUCCAUCGCGUUUUUGCAUGUUGAGCAGCUCCUCGUCUGUGAACUUGUCACGUAUAUUAUCUGCUCCUGGUGCGUAGGUUGAUGUUUCUACUGCGAAGCUUUCGUGGUGGUCUUCAUCUGCCUAACUGCCAAUCGAGUAGUCUCCUUCUCGUGCACGGUUGACGUUAGUGUCGAUCGAUUUGCAGUAGGCAGUAUCGAUCGAUGUUCGUUUUUGGAAUCGUUGAUGAGGUUGAGUGUCGGUCGAUGGCCAAGUUGUCAUGUCGAUCGAUGGUGAAUUCCUUUUCCAGGAGGAAUGAUGUAAUAGUUUAUCUUCCACAUCAAGGAUGGCUCUGUACUCAGCAGCUCGUUCCUCCUCAUAGUCUUCAUCAUACUCUUAUGUAUGCAUAUUUUGUCUGGCGUAUGCGGCAAUAGCGGGAUUAUAGUAGUCGUUAUCCCAAUCAUCUGGACGACUAUCGACCGAUUCUUCUUGUGGUAUGUCGGUCAAUUUCUGGUGACCACUGUCGAUCGAUGUUGCAGUGUGAGUUUCGAUCGACGCCGAGUAAUCGGUUUCGUACUCGUUUUCACAGUGGCAAGCUGCAAUGACUCCUGAAUCAUUGAUUCUUCUGGAGAUCGAAUGUGGCAUCUUGACUGGUAUAGGGUCGUAGUGGGCAUUAGGAUCGAUGAGUGUUAGACACAACUGGUUGGUUUGCAUGUUGCACACUGCUCCCACUGUUGACAAGAAAACUCUCCCAAGUAGUAGAGAGGAGUUCCAGUUUAACUUGAUGUCCAAGACAUGGAAAUCAACUGGAACUAGGGCAUUAUUAAUCUGCACCUCUAGGUCUCUCACAAUUCCUCCUGACUUCUUCUGGGAACAAUCCAGAAAAGUGAAUAAUUCCUGCGAAGGCUCCACCUGCAGACCCAGAUGGUCUGCUAUAACCUUAGGUAGGAUGCUGACUGAUGCUCCUGUGUCGCACAAGGCAUGUGGGAACUCAAUACCCUUCACCGUGCGUGGUAUUGCAAAUUUUCCAGGAUACCCUUCAUCCUCAUCUUUUCUCUAGCUUCAUAGAACAUUCUCCUGAUGUCUUCUUAUUUCUCCCUUGUCUCUCUGAAGAACAUCCAAAAUAUGUGGGUAUAAUAAGCAUCCUCGAAUGGCUUAUCUAUAGGAAUCCUGAAGACUCUCUUCCAAAAACUUUCAUUUUCCUUAUCAUUGGCCCCCCUCUUCAGAUGUUUCGCCACUUUUUCCUUUCUUCUCCUUAGGGUUCUUCCAGUAGGAACCCUAUCCUCUUCCAUAGGAUCUUCUCCAUCAUCUGAAGGUGUCCUGACGGGCUUUGGUGGGUGUUCUGAAGGUUUGGGUUUGGGCCUGAGUGCAUUGAGUCGUGCAACAUCUAUCUUUGGCAUCUGCACUCGGUAGGUAAUAGGUGCUCGUCUAUCGAUAGGCGCUGGAGGUUAUCGAUCGAUGGCGCCUCUGAGUGUCGAUCGAUGGAUGAUUGUCCGUGUCGAUCGAUGGAGGUAUCAGCUCGUAGAGCGAUUCUGACUUUAUCAGGGCUGGGCGGAUGUGGGUGUUUUGCUGCGAACUCAUCGUGAAUUAGAAUCUUCAUGGCAUUGCAAGAUGCAGCUGACUCCGUAGGCGUCGUCGAUCGAUGCUCUGGAGUUCAUGUCGAUCGAUUUGGACUGAUGUAUGUCGAUCGAUGUUGGUGGUCUGGAAUCGAUUGACACCAUUGCGAUCCGCCGAGACUCAUCAAACUUUCUACCUCGAAAUCUCCUUCUUGCAGCUUCUCUUCCUUCACCACUUGCCAAAAAUCAUCCUCAAUGAUGGCAUUCACGUGGUGUUCAUCACAUCAUCCCCUACUCCUCUUGUCGAGGUUUCCUGCCUCUUAACAGCAUCUCCUGUCUGCACAACCUUCAUCUCCAGCUUCUUCAUAUGAGUGCUCAAAGUCUCAAACUUUGUGUUCAGGUUGGUGUAGACAGAAUAUAUCUUCCCAUUGAAGUCCACUGUCAUUCGUUGCUGUGCCUCAAGAACCCUAUCGAGCAUCUCUUCAAUCUUGCUCUCUUGAGUAGGCGGCGGUGGGUUCUGCUAGUAGGAACUUCCAUAAUUCAUGUUGUUGUCGUAGCUGUUGUUGUAGGGUUUCUGGUACUGUGAAUUUUGGUUGAAGUUACUCCUAUUUCCAUAGGAGUUUCUGUUUCCACCCUGGUUUCCAGAACCUUGGAAUCCAGUUCCACCAAUGUAGUUCACCUCUUUUUCAUCUCCUCUACCCUCUACAGCUUCUGCAUCUUCAACAAAGCUAACCUGCUUCCUGAGAAGUUUGUGAACACUAUCCAGCUUUGCCUUCACCUCAUCCAUCUGAUCGUUCCCAAGGAUGGUGGCAGAUCUUUUCCUCUCAAAAUCAGUGUUCUUGGUGCUAUUGCUGGAUGCUAGGUUUUCAAUAACCUUGACUGCCUGCUCUGGAUUCCAGGUGUUGAAGUUUCCAUUGCUAGAAGCAUCAAGAGCCAUUUGGUACUGCACCGCGAUGCCUCUGUAGAAAGUACUGAGCAGUUGUACUUCAUUGAAUCCAUGGUGUGGACAAUCUCUCUGAUAAGACUUGAAUCUGAUCCAAGAGCCCCUAAAUGAUUCUACAGGCUCCUAAAUGAAUGUAGCAAUCUUGCUUCUCAAGUCUUCAGCACGCGCUUCAUCAAAGAAAUUGCAUAAGAAUGCAUUUUUUAUGUCGCUCCAGGAUUUAAGAGAUCCUGGUUGUAACUACUUGAGCCAAUGCAGAGCUUCUCCAGUAAGUGAGUACCUGAAGAGCUUGCAUAACAGGUAGUCCUCAGAGACUCCCUCGACUCUAAUAGCAAAAAUCGGAUCCUCGAACCUCUCCAGAUGGUCCAUAGGAUGCUCGAGGGAUAAUCCAUGGUAGGGUAACUGUCCCACAAGCGUGUAGUAUUGCGCUUUCAACUCAAAAUCCCUCUCGAUAGUUGUUGAGCAGAAUCGAGCGACACACAGGUGGUGUUGUCGGUCGAUGAGGAGUGCGCUUCCUUGCGGAUCGAACGUUCCAAACUUGCAUGAUCUGGUGAGAAUAGCAGUUGAGUUUCCUUAUUGCUUCUGGUACUGUUGGGCAUGUACCUGAAAAGCCAAGAAACUUUUAUGUCAGAAACUUAACAAAAAUUAGAUAAAUAUGCGAUCAAAGCUCCCCGGCAACGGGGCCAAAUUUGAUACCACUCAAAUUACCCUAAGGAGUGAUUUAUACUCUCUCAAAUAAGAGGUCGAGUUGUAGUACUUAGAGAUCGAAUUCACAGGGGGGCUAGGGAACCUAGGAAAUCUAAUAUGAUUUGUUAAGCAAGAUUGGUUUUAGAGUUUUUAAAUAUAAAUUGCAGUUUUUAUAUUGAACAAGUAUUUUCUCAAUAGCUGGUUUGAGGUUUUGGUGCUUAAAAAUGAAAUAGUUAGACUAAGGAUUUUAAUUCAGGAAACUUGGGAUUAUAAACCUACAGAUGCCUAAUGAGUUGCAUGCAUGAUAAUGUAAAGCUCAACUACUUAGUCUACAAGUCCAUCAGUGUUCGCAAUGUUUGGACUCGUCUAUUAACUAGAUCUAUAGAUCUCAACUGUCGUAUUUUGAUCAAUAGAAAGUGUCGAUCGAUAAUCCUAUAGGGAUAUCGAUCGAUACACCUUUUGCACCGCCGAUCGAUUAUUCAAGUGUGAUAUCGAUCGACGUGCUCUAGUCAAGUUUUAUGCGCGGGUUGAAUGAAAGCUUACUAAGCUCACUAGAUCAGCUCUCGCCUUGCUCAUAGCAAGAAACAUAGCUCUAUUAGAAUGUUUUCAGGAUGAGAAUAAAGCUCUCGCUUUUAUCAAUCAAACCCAAGGGUAGGUUCUAGGUAGCUAAUCUAGACACAAGCAUUAAUGAACAAUCCUAAAGAUGAUUAUCACAACUCAGCAAUCUAUAGUUGGGGCUAAUCCCUCCUAACCUAUUUAAACCCUAAAAUCUAACAAUGGAACUACUCAAACAUGGCUAAUCAAUUCAUAACAGCAGUUAAUAUUAAAAACUUCAUUAGAAUAGUAAAUAGAUAUCAAUGGAGUUCCAAUCAGAAAUUAUAACUUUGGAUCUUCUCUCCAAUCUAUCAAAAUCCUAAAAACCUUUGUUGUGAAAAUCUUAAAACUAGAAAAGCACACUUUACCUCUAACAUGGCGGCAAAGCUUAUAUAAUUAGGGUAAAACUCGUCAGGGGUAAUCUUGUAAAAAGGUGAAGACUUGGGCUUCAAGUUGGCUGUGACCAAACGGGCUUUCUGCGCGCUUCGCUGUCGAUCAAUACACAGAUGUGAGUAUCGAUCGAUUAUUUCUCUCCAAUCGGUCGAGCUCGAUGGUCAUCUCGGGUGCUUGCUCCAAAUAUCUCCAAAACGCUCCAAAAUCAUCAUUUAUCUCCAAAACACUCCUGAUCUUAUAAAUAUAAUAAAUAGACUCUAUAAUAUAAUAGUUAUUAGUAAAAACACCUAUAAACUAUGGAUGAAAAUGGAUCAAAUCCAUAGUCUAUCAACUUUCCAUUAAGCCGAUCUUUACAUUGUGAUACUUAUUAUUAGAGUUUUACCAAGAGUAGUUUGUAUACUACUAAUUCAGGAUAUUGGAUGGCAAGACAUAGACUCAAGACUGGAGAAGAUGUUUUUUACAUUGAACCUAAUAUCGCAAAGCUCCAAGACUUUGCUUGAAAGUUAAAGACUCCUCAAAAUUUUAUCAUUUUACAUGGCAGCUAAUCACAGGACAUGUAGAUGUCACAAGAAAUUUGAGUCGUCACCAUAGCGAUGUGACAAUAUUUGUCUAAGAUGUGGGGAAACUGAUGAGUCUGUAACUCAAGCUAUUCUUCAAUAUCAACCAUUGCUUCAAGCGUGGGAUCUAGCAUCUACACCAUCUCAUCCAAAUAUAUUUCCAGUUUCCAGCAUAUACACUAACAUGAAUUAUCUUUUUUAGAAGAAUAAUAGUACCGAAGAUCUGGAAAUUAACAUAGACUUUAUCCAUGGAUACUUUGGUAUCUUUGGAAAGUAAGUUAUGAUAAACUAUUCAUAGCGAUUGAUAAAGAACCAAUUGAACUGAUCAGAUAUGUAGAAGGAGAAUGCCAAGCAUGGUUCACGACAAAUGAACCAACUAGUGAUUUGAUCCAAACAGCAGUAGCAACAUCUCAAGGCUUACACUUAGAGAAUAUAUGUUUGGUAUAUGGGUUUUGGACCUCUACAUCGAUUUUUAGUGGAUGUGGGUGGAUGUGCAAAGAUAGCACUGAUCAAACACAAUUUAUGGGUUUAAAAAAUAAAAGACGAAGAGAAUAUGCAUUGCAAAUUUGCAGUUGGAAGCGCUACGCUGGGUAAUGGAAAUCAUGUUGUAUCAUUCCACAUUUCAGUACUUGGGACAUAAAGUAAAGACUUGAUAACGAUGUUACUGGAACCUUAUGCAUGGCCGAAUUUCUCAACAGAGUUGUAGAAGAUAUAAGAAUUGGAGAAAAAAUUCCAUAAUUUCAGGGAUAUUCCAUAUUCUCGGAAACAAAAUGGGACGCAUAUUUCUUAGCCAGAACAGCUCGAUUUAGAGAAUAAAUGUAUUCUUUUUAAUCACAAGUUUAAUGUAUUAAUAAAAAUAGCUAUCCAAGAUAAAUUUGAAAAGUUAAUGAAAGUUGUGGUAAAACAGGAAUUCCACAGAGAUAGGAAAGCAACUGGAUAAACUGUAUUCAGAAUCAUUAUACAAUUGUUAGUUCUUUCUUCUCUUCAAGCAACGGGAUAAAAUAGGAAAGCCAGAAGCUUGUUUUCUGAAACCAAUGCUAAAUGGCCAAGACUCUGUUCAGCCUACAGUGAGCAGAACCAAAUCAAACUCUUUCAGCUCCACAUUAUACUUAACUGCUACUUAAGUUAUAGAGCAGCAAGCAAAAGCACAACUAAAAACAAAACAAGACAGCAUUUAGUAGAACAUCUCUUCAUAUAUCUAUUUUAUAUAUGAAUCUAUUACCUCAAAUAAUUUCAGAGAGUUUAUCCAUUAAUAAUCCUGUUUACUACACUUUGAAAUAGACAAAAGAAGCUGAUGAUAUAGAAGAUGACGGUUACAGAAGACGGUGAUGAUAGUAGGGAAGAUGAUUCGAUUUGUCCGGUUGAGAAAAAGAAGAAAUGCUUUAGCGUAUUGACAACCACAUGAUAAAAAAACAUGCUAGUAAACGACAAAAAAAAAAAAAAAGGAUUAGGCUUUAGCGUUACUACAACAACCUCACUGGUCUUAUCUUUUUUCUUCUCCUUCCUUCCUCUCCCAAUCAAUGGCUUCUCUUACCUCCUUUUCUUCUCUCCUUCAACCAAAAGUCUCUUUUUCUUCUACCCUUAAACCAAAAGCUGUAAAGACUUCGACUUCAGCUCCUCAGACCCAGACAAUAACUGAAGGGCUUGAAGAAAAAUUUGGACGAAAGGGCAUAAAGUUCUCGGAACCAAACAUGGUCGAGCUGAAGGUCAGAAACGGAAGCUCUUUAAAGCUGAGUCUAGCAGAUGCUCAUGUUAUUUCAUAUCAACCAAAAGUAUACUGGAAAGACGACGGAUUCGAGGAAGUCCUUUACACAGUAGAGGACAGUAAUAUAACCCGAGGCGGGGUUGGUCUUAUCAUCAUAAACGAAGAAGAAGCUUCUUCAGUACUAUCAGGUUGUAAUUGGACUGUUAAGGACACUGAUUCAGACGCCAUUGAGGCUCUUCAGGUGAGAUUUGGUACUACCUAAAUACACCCAAUCAAAUCUUUUUUUGUUGAGACAAAUGAUGAAAUCUUGUGGCUUACGUUUCUCAGAUUGAACUGAGCUGUACGGCCGGAUUUCUUGACAUAACCUACAUCGUCUCUCUCUAUCCAGUAAGCAUAGCUACAGCUGUGGUGGUGAAGAACAACGGUCGCAAACCGGUUUCCCUUAAACCGGGGAUUAUAAGUUCCUUGAUAUUCAAGAAACGGAGUGGUGCUGGAAUUCAAGGGCUUAAGGGCUGCUCCUAUUGCCCCAGUCCACCAUUAUCUUCGCCCUUCGAGCUUAUGUCUCCUUCUGAUGCAAUGAAGGCAGACUCUUCCGGGUGGUUUGGGUCAGAAGAUGGGGAAAAACCGGGGAUUUGGGCAGUUGAAGACUCUAUGAUUACACUUCUUGAGAAGAAGAUGAGUAGAGUCUAUGCUGCCCCUCCGGCUGAGAGACUAAAGGCCGUCUAUAACACUCCACCUUCUAAAUUUGAAACCAUUGAUCAGGUAAUUUUAACUUCAAUAUAUUUUUCAGGUUACUCUCUGUUCUGAUAUUAUGGUAAUUUUUCGUUUAUGCAUUUGGAUGCAACAUAUGGUUGCAAAUGGCAUGUAGUAUGGUCAAUUUGGCCUCACGUUUAAUGCUGCAUUUGGAUUCAGAACCAAUCAUCCAAGAAAAUCAGAUAUAUGUUGGAUGCAAAAUGUAUGUAGUUGUGGUGAAAAUAUGCAUUAAAACUUAAUAAAAUAGCAAUUGACAACGAGAACAUAAUUGAUUUGAAUAAUGAAUAUAUUAAUUUUAUGUCACCUUAGGUUCAAUUUUAUUUCUGAUGUUGUAUCAGACUUUCAACUAAACACUAAUUUACAUUGAACAGGUUGACUCGUCUCUUAUAUAUGAUCGUGGAUCUUUGUUUAUCGUCUAAGUGUGUGUUUAUAACAUAACUACGAAUUUAUUAGAAUCUGAUGUCUGAAGUUUAAACUUUGUAGGGACGAGGAUUGUUCUUCAGGAUGAUAAGGAUGGGGUUCGAAGACAUGUACGUGGGAUCCCCAGGAUCAAUGUGGGACAAGUUUGGGAAGCAACAUUAUUUUGUGUGCACCGGUCCUGCAUCCAUGCUCGUUCCCAUUGAUGUUGGUGCCGGUGAAACCUGGAGAGGAGCAAUGGUAAUUGAGCAUGAUAAUUUGUAAAUUUCAUUUUCUAUAUAUCUAUCGUCUUUAUUUUCUUACAUAUUUUUGUCAUUCUGCAACGAAUAAGAUGUUAUUUCAUAUUGUACAUAUGCAAAGUCAAUUAGUCAAAAAAAAAAAUAUAUAUAUAUAUAUGCAAAGUCAUAACUACAAGGAUCAUCCUCGUCCCUUUUAUAUUAAAGGAGAAGCAUUCGUGUUAAAAGUAUUCGCAUGUGGCAGGCCUCACAAAGUUUUUAGAACAAAGACGCCGUUACAAGGCUUCUCGAAAAGUUUAUUGUGUUUUAAAGACAAAUUUUCCUUAUAUACGUUUACUAAUGGAACAUAAACUUUCGGACAAAUCAAUUACGAGCCGUUCAUAUCGGCUGCAUGAGUUGAUGAGUAUCAAAGGAGAGCAGCUAAUAUUAGAUUUUUUUGUGAGCAAAUUGGGUCAAAACCCAUUGAAGAAGUCCAAAUUAGGUAAGUACCAAGAAUAGUACGGGAACCGAAAAGUUGUGGAAAAUGGAAUAUGGUUGAUGACGAAAAUGCCCUUACCACUUGCGAUUUCGACUUCCACGAGCAUAGGGAAGUAGGGUUUAUAGGUGUAUUAGAAUUAUUAAGAUUUUCCACAGAUUAUGUGUAGAUAUUAUUUAGAUAUCAAAAGAUAUUAUUAGAUUUCAUUGGUAAACAAACUUAAACAGUGGUGAGUAGUGAUAACUUCUCGUCCACAUAACUUCUGACACAAACGGCGCAAGCCAAAAACGAAUCAACCCCAAAAGAUUUGCCUCACCCCGUAACAAUGGAGCUGUUCCAGAUAAUUAACAUAUACAACUUAGCCGGCUACUACCAAAGUGACACAAAUAAUAACAUUUAGAGAAAGAUAUUUAGCUAUUUUUGAAACUUACAAUGGUGUUUUCAUUUUGUCAAGGAGAAUGGAGAGUAGUCAAUGCUACUUCUUGGGUUGUUUGACUCUGCAAACCGUCUGUCUUGCAAGGUUGAGAAACCGUUUGUCACAUUCAUAAUUUCCUAGUAGAGACUUGGGGGGUUUUUUCUGCCGUUUACUCUUCCUACAACCAAGACCAAACUCCUCGGUCUCAGGUUGAAUGUCGUCACUUCCAGCAACACCACCUCCCUCGUCUCCCCCACUAAUACAUGCACUAACGACCUUGUCCACCACCGCACGUUCCUGCAGCAUCGGUGUCGGGGCAUGUCCAGGGCUGAUAGAUUUCUUCACGGCGUUAUUGUCAUCCUCAGAUGAGCUCCCAUAUUGAACCACCUCAGCAUGACUAACUGUAGUGCUACCACGAAUCCUUUCAUGUCACAUAAGACCUAAACCCUAAAUCCUAAACCCUAAACCCUAAACCCUGAACCCUACAACUAAUCUCUAAACCCUAAAUCAUAUACCCUUGCCCCUUGUGUUGCUAACAUGGACGCCCUCAUAUCUAAUAAAUAUAGUUUACGGAUAAUGUUUAUGGUAGCUCGACCAAUACUUAUAUUGACCAGCUAGUUCCAUAAACUCGACAUGUAAAAAAAGUAAACCCAAUACCGUUAACCAUGAACCCUGAACUGUAAACCCUCAACAUACAACCCUAUACCCUUCAUUUUACAACCUUAUGUUCUAAAUUAUAUACCUAAACCCUAAACCCUAAACCCAAACCCAAACCAUAAACCUUAAACACUAAACCCUAAACCCUUAACCGUAAACCCUAAACCCUACAUGUAAUCCCUAAACCCUAAAUCAUAAAGCAUAAAUCAUAUACCCUCGCCCCUUAUGUUGCUAACAUGAACGCCGUCAUAUCUAAUAUUUUACGGAUAAUGUUUAUGGUAGCUCGACCAAUACUUAUAUUGGCCAGGUAGUUCCAUAAACUCGACAUGUAAAAGUAAACCCAAUACCGUUAACCAUAAACCCUAAACCAUGAACCGUAAACCCUGAACAUACAACCCUAUACUCUUCAUUUUACCACCUUAUGCUUAAAAUUAUAUACCUAAACCCUAAGCCCUAAACCCUAAACCUUAAACCCUAAACCUUCAACCCUACAACUAAUCCCUAAACCCUAAAUCAUAAAUCAUAAAGCGUAAAUUAUAUACCCUCGCCCCUUAUGUUGCUAACAUGGACGCCCUCAUAUAUAAUAAAUAUAUUUUACGGAUAAUGUUUAUUGUAGCUCGACCAAUACUUAUAUUAGCCAGUUAGUUCAAUAAGCUCAACAUGUAAAAGUAAACUCAAUACAUUUAACCAUAAACCCUAAACCCUGAACCGUAAACCCUCAACGUACAACCCUAUACCCUUCAUUUUACAACCUUAUGCUGAAAUUUAUAUACCCUAAACCAUAAACCCUAAACCCUAAUUCCUAAACCCUAAACCAUAAAUCAUAUACCCUUGCCGCUUAUGUUGCUAACAUGGACGCCCUCGAAUCUAAUAAAUAUAUUGUACGAAUAAUGUUUAUCGUAACUCGACCGAUAUUUAUAUUGGCCAGCUAGUUCCACAAAUUCGACACGUAAAAGUAAGCCCUAAACUCUAAACCAUAAACCCUAAACCCUGAACCGUAAACCCUCAACAUACAACCCUAUACCCUUCAUUUUACAACCUUAUGCUGAAAAUUAUAUACCUAAACCCUAAACCCUAAACACUAAAAUCAUAAACCGUAAACCGUUAACAGUAAACCGUAAACAGUAAACCGU
This 94068-nucleotide long non-coding RNA is filed under the name Brassica napus (rape). RNAcentral describes it as "long non-coding RNA (BNAP_LNC015482)". The record is from RNAcentral. Lineage: Eukaryota; Viridiplantae; Streptophyta; Magnoliopsida; Brassicales; Brassicaceae.